This 134458-nucleotide long non-coding RNA is filed under the name Citrus maxima (pomelo). RNAcentral describes it as "long non-coding RNA (CMAX_LNC003396)". The record is from RNAcentral. Lineage: Eukaryota; Viridiplantae; Streptophyta; Magnoliopsida; Sapindales; Rutaceae.
UCCAAGGAGGAGUCGUUUACAUUAAUACCGGCAUUCAUUUUUAGGAGAGUCAAUCCUUCUUCUGGCGUUAGUGUACUAAGUUGAAUCUGUGUGUCACAACCCAAAGAAUCACAAACUGACUUUUUGCGAGUGGUUAGAAGGAUUUUGCAACAAUUAUCUCUACCACCGACGGUAAUACCUAAUUUUUUCUCCAAGUCGAGCUCUUUCCAGACAUCAUCGAUGAUUAUGAGGAUCUUGGUGCUUUUACUGUCAGAAAACAUCGAGCGCAAUCGGUCUGCUCCAUGUUUUUCAUCUUUCUGUUUUAAUUCCCAACCUAAUGAAUUUGCCAGCUCGUUUUGAACAUUUAUUAUGCUUGGAUCCUGAGAUACAGUGGCUAUCCCCACCAUAUCGAAAAUGUUUUUUUCCCGAAGUUGAUUGCCCACAAAUUUUGCCAGGGUUGUCUUUCCUACACCACCGAGACCAUGCAAUCCCACCAUCUUUGUGCUCUCUUUUUUCAGUGCGUCAAUGAUCUGAUUGCAAGCUGAUUCUGUGGUCUCGAAAAUAGAAGUAAAAUGACUUGGCAAACUUAAUUCUCUUUCUAAUGGUAGAGGUUUAGGAAAGGCAACUGUGUUGAAUUGGCUGCAGUCUUGUAGCAGAUCAGACAACUUGCUAGUCUUCUGUGAUGCUUUUCUACCCAGCCAAUAUCGGCAACACCAAUUAGGACACAAUCCAUGAAGACUACUAUCCUUUUCAUCUAUCUCUGCUUGCAACUUCCAAACAUCGUCCAAUUCUUCGACUCCAUUAUUCAGCCACUCCAUUACAUUUCCAUUGACUACUAUGUCGGGGCAUUUUCGUAGCUCAUCGUAUAUUCUUGUUUUGAUGCCAUCUCGUGCCUUCUUCAACUUAGUUUCUUUAUCCUUAAGUUCUUUAACAAUGCUGUUGAAACAGAACAUAUAGCGAGCUUGGUCAAUUGCUGCAUUCACCAAUAAUUCUUCAACCUUUGAUUUUAAAGCUUCCAUGCUAUUUAUCUGCAAAUAACGAAGUUGAUCUCAGCACGCUAUUAGCAAAACAACAAGGCUUGAUCACUAGACAAAAUGAGAACGUUUAAUUACCUUUUUCUGUACUGUGAAUGCACGUCUAUUAACACCAGCUUUGACCAAUAAGAGCAAAAUGCAGAGGCCGGGGGGGGGGGCUUAAGAGUUUCAGUGGCCUUUAGCUGCAAAACGGAAGAUGACAAAUAAGGUAAACGUUCCCAGCAAACGUGAUUUACGGUGAAUUAUAUUCAAAUUAGAUUAUUUUAAAAGUUGGUAAAUUAUUUAUCACUCUAUCUUAAUGAUACCUUAUUUGGGAUGGUAAAGAUUGGGGGUAAACUCCCUUUUAUUCUCACAUGUUUAUAGUAUUUAUAUUUUUAUAAAUUACCUAAAACAUCCACGUCACUACUUUUAUGGCUAUUGAACAUAUCAUUUCAAAUAUAAAAUACUAUUUCGGUCUAAUAUAAAUUAAAAAUCAAACAAAUCUAUUGUGCAAUAAAUGAAAAGUAAAGAAUAUUAAUUAGGUUUUAAUGGAAACAAAUAUAAAACAUAGAGGUUUUGAGUAACUUUUGUGAUUUUUUUUUUAAUGUUCAAUUUAGAAUUGAAUAAUUUGCAUAAUGAAAUUUUGAGGUUUCUAUAAUUUAUAUGAAGAUAAACUGAAAAAUAAGUUUAUAUGCCGAAAUUAAAAUAGUUAUAUAUUAGCAAUCAUAUAAUUAUCAAAAAAAUUAAUAAAAUUUAUUUAAAAAUUGGCCAAUUGUGUUUCAUGAGGAAAACAGAGAGCAUAAUGGACUUAUGUUGGGUCUUGGGAUUGAAGGACUAAGGGCAAGGGGCUGGGAGGUAGGACGGUAGGAAAAUUAAUUUUUUUUUUUUUUUAAAGUAUGGUCAACAUUAGUGACUUGGAGGUGAUUGCCGUUAAUCAAUUACCUUUAACUUAAGAAUUAAUACAAAUAAAUGGCAAAAAUAAUUUAAUGAAAAUUAAUUUAAUAAAAAAUUGCACUAAAAACUUAGAACUCAAAUUCUCGAUCAUUUUAUCCGUACGUUUUAAUCCGACGCUCAGAAUUGGCAUAAAACAAACUAAUAUAGCCAUUGGAAGUAAAACAAACAUCAAAUCAAGAGCCUAUGAAACGAUAAUAUCUCGUACCUUCUUCCUUAUAGAUCCUCAAUUGCUGCUGAAAGCUGCAUAUGACAAUAUAAAUAAACAUGAGAUCAAAACAUCAUAGGAUAUAUCUAACCAAUUAACAUCAUAUAUAACUCCUUGUUCUCAGUCAAAUCUUUCAUUCUUAGAUUAAAAAAAAAAGAAAUAAUAACUGUUAAGUGAUAUAGGAAGCAAAAGUAACACACCGAAAUGAAAGCAGCAAGUUCACAAAUGACAGAUGCGGUGACUUCAAGAGCAUGAAAAAUGAUUAAACUUUGGUAGAAAGGUCUGAGCCGUGUUUCACAAGUUGCUAUUGACUUCGUGGCUUCGCUUUUAUUUAUUAUUAUUAUUAUUUUUUUAAAUUCUAUAUCAGUGAGAAUUGAAAUGUGGAAAGUGUAAUGAUACACAUGCCUUAUCAUCUAUCAUGAGGGGUGAUUUGGUAAAACCGAUUUAAAAUAAAAAAAAGUUUAAAAAAAUUGAAAAAAGAUGCUUUGUGUCUGACUGCCUGUAUUUGGGGUAUUUUUCGGGUUGUUGAGAGUCAGUUUAAUUAAAUAUAAGAUUUUCAUUUUUCUUAUUAUAUUUUUCUCUUUAGAAUGAAUUUAAAUCUCAUUCUUAUUAAAUCCAUUUUUUUAAAUGAAAGUAGAUUUCUCUCCACACAUUUGAGAUAUAUUUUAAAAUUAAUGUUCAGCAUAUCUCUAAAUUAUAUUAUAAAUAUUUUUAUUUAAAAUCUCAACAAAUUUCAUAACACACAGAGAGAAAUACAUAUAUAUGUUGUAAUGUUUUAAUGAUGGAUCUCUAAAGUUGUCAAGUUAAAAAAUAAAUAAAAAAAUAAAAAAUACACACUUCAACUUAUUAUAUGAUAAAAUAUAGUAUAUUAAAGUGAGUAUUUUUUGUGUGAAAUAAAAUUAAAGUGAGUACUAUUACCACCUCACAUCUUAUAAAUUCUAGAAAAUAAUCAAGGCUUGACAUACUUUUAUUUAUGCAAAAGCAUAAGAAAAUAAUUCAAAGUAAUAAUUAGUGUACUAUUCCUCAAAAUUCUAGAAUAGAUUUGUUAGUUCUCUUUAUCUAUAGAUUGGUCCAUGAUUGGCAUCGCAAUAGCUCAGAAUCGCCUCAACGAUUGUUCCACACGGUCCAAGUCUUCUUAGCAAUAGUUUUAGAGAAAGUGUUUAGUAGUUCCAAGUCUUCUUUUUUUAACACAAAUGUUGGCAUGAUAUUCUUAAUAUAUUUUUAAAAUCAAAAUAAGAUGCAUAGAGGACAAUAAUUUUAUUUGAUAAUUGAUUUUUUUGCAAAGAAAGUUUGAACAUGAGAGUGAUGAGAGAUGAGAAUAUUGAUGAUGGUGUGUACUUUAGAUGGAAAAAUAGAUUGGAAAUAUAUAUAGACAUAUUAAAAGAAAAAAAUUUGGUCUAUUUCAUAAGAGAAACAAAAAAUUAUAAACGCAGGUGUUAAAAUGUAUUCAGAAUUUAUAAAUUUUUAUAAAUAUGAUAAUCAUUAGACCCUUAUAAAAGUAUAGCAAAAAGUUUAAAAUUUUUUAAUAAAUGUCGAAGAGAUGGACGAAGAAACCAUCCACCAGUUCAGAAUUAAUAAUCAAAGAUAUGAGGAUUCGAUCGAAGAAAUGGUGAAAAAUAAAAGGUCACGGGAUUGGUUAGUGGGACCCUAACAUUAAUGGUAAAAAAUAAAAGGACACUGGGUUGCUAUCAAUUUUUACAGUGUAGGUUCAUAGCCGGGGAAGUAAUUGGGCACAAAUAUCUCGGAUGAGAAAUAUCCAUUUUAUCCCGCAACUUUAUGUUUAUGGCCUCUAAAAAUUUUCACCUCUUUCACUUCUGGAACCCGUGCUUUCUGGCACAUGCACAAUACUUGGUUGCUACUUAUAAAGCGUUUUUACAAUUGCAACGACAUGGUGCUCUUUGAUAAUUCAAAAAUCCAAUAUAAUUUAUAGAGAAUUACAGAAUUGUGGUACGUGAUAAUUUGCUGACGCAAUGAGGCGCCUAAAUUCUUAUACAUGGGAUUUAAGUUAAAUAUGUAUAAUUAUGUAAUUAGAAAAUACUAGUUGGGGGUAUUUGUGUCCAUGAAAAUUUACAGCUGGUUGUUGACAUUACACUGCGGGUGUGUAAGUGUAAUCAUGGAUCUGACCAUUCAAAUUAAAAAAUGGGGGUCCCACUAACUUACGGAGUUAGUAAUUAUUACAUAUGCAGAUAUUCUCCCAUACGAUAACCUUAUCAUAAAUUUAAAGGAUACGAGGACUUGAUUGAAGAAAUGAAUGAAUAUUUGAAUUAAAAAAAAUUUAUAAUAAAGACAAGUAUUAAUUUACUAUGAAUGUAACUUACAUAUGCUGUAAGUUAGCGGGACACUAUUGAAUCACAAGCAAAAAACAAUCUGUCUUCUUCUUGAUUCCGUAAUUUGGCUGUCAAAAUGUAAUCUAUAAAGAUUACGAUACCUCGAUUCAAAAAAAUAUUUUUUUUUCUUAUGAAAUAAAUGAAAACUGAACACCAUUCAAUUAACCGUUUAUUUCCCCUUAAAUUUUUAAUCUCAAUGAAACAUAGAUCUAAUGGGAACUACACAUAUAUAAAAAUACUAUAGAUUGAAGAAGUUGAAUUUUUCUUGUGUGUUAAGUAUUUUUGGUUAAUACGAAAGGAUUCUAGCAAGUUAAUACAAAAGUAUCAUAAAUUCACUGUAGUACAAGAUUUUUUUUUUUUUCCUUUGAUGUUAAGAGUUUUGGAGAUUAAAAAAAAAAGAUGAAAGAAGAAGAUGAGAGAAGAAAAAAUAUUAAGAAUAGUUUUGGCAUUUUGAUGCGUUUUAUAGAGUAAAAUUUAUAUUUUAUAGUAUAAAAUGGUACACCCAAAAUUUAAUGAUAAAAUUUUAGGAAAAAAUUGCACUCGUCAAAAAAAAAAAAGAGGCUCAGCUUAGCCCAAAAUUUUUUUAUUAAUCGUCUAGUCACAAAUGUAAUCUCUUUUUUAUGAGAUUCUUUGGCGUUUUAAUUUAGUCCAUUGUUAGCAAUCCUAAUAGCUUUUAUGUGCACCUAUUUUUAUGUGAAAUAUGUUUCAAGCUUGAAUAAAAUCUGCGGGACAACUGGUAAGUAAUAAAGCUCAUCAUUUUUUAUUUUGAAAAUAAAGGGAAUCACUUACACUUUAGCACGAUAUUAUUUUUGAUAAGUCAUUUUUUGGAUAGAUUAUUUUUUCUGACGGGUAAUUUUUAGGACCUCUCCUGAAAUUUGAUGUAUUAACACUUAGAUGAAAUGUAUCCAUAUAAUUACAUAUACCUCCCCUAUUGUUAAUAUAAAAAUAUGUAUAGCGUCAGAUAAAAGGGUAAAUAUGUAAAAAUAUAUUUAAAAUUAAAAAUAUUUACUUUUACCAAAUCAUUAAAAUUUUGACCCACUUGCCCGCUGUUGGCCCAACCUUGACCAGCCGGUCAUGGCUCCACCGGCGACUGGUGGUGGUGCUUUGCCACUGCCGGAGUCCUCUCCUCACACCUGCGACCAAUCCCAUUCACGGCAGCCUUUGAAUCAACUGCAUCAACCAACACACAUUAACACAAGUACACGGCUUUUUGAAGUCUCUUUUGUUUUGCGUUUUCCCUUCACUGAGAAAAUUUGUCAGCUAAUAUAAUAAGCUUUGUUGCCUUAGAUUUGAGAUUACAGAGUCCUGAGCAGAUGUUGUGGCUGUGAUGUGGGUUUUAUUGUAUUUGACUAAUAGGCAAAAUACCUUUUAUUGGCCUACAAGGACGGUGCCUUUUUCUUCUUGUUGGGGAACUUCGUGAAGAAUCCAGCUUGCUUUUUUCUUCCUUUUCUUUCUUCAUUUUAAUUCAUUUUUUAAUUUAUAAUAACUUUUUGAGAUUGAAUUAUCGGCUUCACAUGUAAACAAUGGCAUUUGGUAUGUCACAAGUGCAUAGUUAUUCUUAUUUUUUAAUUUAUUUUUUUCUGAUGUUUUUGUUGCUGGAAUUAAUUUCUCAAGGUUUUGGCAUCACUCCCCAUUGGAUUUGCUAUGUUCAUGGUACAAUUGGCCACAAUCCCAAUCACUCGCACUGGAAUUAACCCAGCAAGGAGUCUCGAAGCUGCUGUUAUUAACAAUAAGGACAAGGCUUGAGAUUGACCAAUGGCUCUUUUGGGUGGUGGUGCUUUGCCACUGCCGGAGUCCUCUCCUCACACCGGCGACCAACCCCAUUCAAAGCAGCCUUUGAAUCAACUGCGUCCACCAACACACGUUAAUCCAAGUAUGCUUUUGUCUCAUCAGAACCCCCACACCCCCGCUGCCCCUUUGGCAAUCGCCGACGCCACCCAAUAGCGGCUAACAUCACCCUUGAACCAUCCCGAUACCAUGCCGCAACCUCUAGCAUCCCAAAACCCAAACUGCACACAACUCUCAAAACCCUUGCUCGAGCUUGUCACGCCGCAUACCACUGCCGUAAUUUGUACCAACAGUGAUGGUUCCAUAUCGUCACUGUCCAUCCCCUCAACCAACCCCCCAUGCAACCCCGACCUCAAUAACAUCUCAACAACCACGAACGCACGAUUUCUUCAACCUGCACUUACGGCCACUUUUAAUGAAAUUCUCACUGCCAACGGAAUUCUCAAAGUUAUAUAUAAUAAUUUAUUAUUUCAGCAGCAAGGAUAGUUUAAUAAUUUUAAAUGUUUAUUAACGGUCAUCUUAAUUAGUAACUAACGGCAGGGGAGGUAUAUGUAAUUACAUAAAUACAUUCUAUCUAAGUAUUAAUAAACCAACCCUCACAGAAGGUCAUUAGAAAUUAUCCUUUUUCUGACAGGCUCUUAGAUUUGGGAAAAUAAAUUGUGUACUUUUAAUGAAGAAAAGUAAAAGAUCAAUAAAAUAUUUUGUUGUUUUCGACAAUUUUUGCGUUGUCAAGUGCGCCUGGUACCUUUUUUUUUUUUUUAACUUUUGAGUUGUUGUUUAAUUUGUAUUAUAAUUAAUUAUCAUGGACCCACGUGCCACUGUUUCCAUUUCAAGUUUCAUAAUUUAACAGUGGAAAUGGGUUCCACAGAUAAUUUAUUUUAUAAUUUUUUAAAAAAAUUAUCAAAAUGUAAUAAAUAAGGUAAUAAUAAUUAAUAAAAAGUAGAUUUUAAGAUGGAAAAAUCUUUUUGUGUACUUAAUAAAAAGAUGAUAAGAUUGGGAUGCUUUUGGUUUACAUUCUCAUAGCUAUUUCUACUGAAAAAUUACAUCAAAAUUUAAUUAAUAAAUCAGUGAACUGCAGACUUAUUAAAUUUAAGCAAUUUUAAUAAGUCAUAAAUAUACUAAGUUAAAAUAGUAGUAAACCCAUCGUUACACAAUUCUCUCCAUUGAAUGUUCACCACUUUAAGAUAAUCAUAAAAUGACACUGGAUGUGCUAUUAUCUGUUUCAUUAAAAGCCUUCACAAAAUAAAAGGCCGGUGAACAAAGUUGGUCAUAGAAAAAAGGAGCAUAGAGCACAUACAUCCAGUUUUUAUAUCCUCUGAUACUGAGUCGUCACAUGCUAAUGCUAUAGACUAUAUGAUAAUCUACUAAGGUGACGCAUGCCAAUGCUAUAGACUAGCUUUUCAAAGGUUGAAGUGGGUAUACUUUUAGUAAAAAGACCUGCAAAAUUAUAAUGUAUCUAUUUGACAUCAACUUUUUUUAUCUGCUGGAGCUUAUGAUUAUAGAAGAUCUUCGGUAAGAUGUGUUUGAUUUUAUCUUCUUUUAUAUAUCCUCCUCUAACUUGUGUAAUAGUAGUAAACCCCUGCCCGUUUUUAUUUCGUUUAGUAUUUUCUAAAUGGCCGAAGGAAAAUUGGUAAAAACUCAUUUAAAAAUAAAAAAAAAUCAAAGAAAUUCAAGAAGAAGCUUUCUAUCUGCCAUUUGUAUUUGGGGUAUUUUUUUGGUUGUUAAGUGAAUGAGCUUAAAUCUAAAACAUUUAUUUAUAUAUUUCUUGUUGGAAAGAAUUUAAAUUUUAUUCUUAUUAGACUUAUUCUCUUUAAACAAAGGUAGAUUUUUCUCUAUGUGUUUAACGUGUAUUUUAAAAUUAAUGUUCAACAUAUCUUUAGAUUCUAUUAUAAAUAUUCAUAUCUAAAAUCUCAACAGAUUUCAUAAUAUAUAAAGAGAGAGAAUAACGUUUCUAAUAAAAAAUUUAUUAAGUUAAAGAAUAAUUCAAAAGAUAAAAUAACACACUCCAAUAUAUUAUAUAAUAAAAUAUAUUGUAUUAAAAUAUAUAUUUUGUUUACUUUUUUUAAUAUAUCUCCUAAUAACUUAAGAAAUCAUUUAUUUAACUAUAUAUAUAUAGAGAGAGAGAGAGAAAAAUGUUCACGAGAAACCUUUAAAACUGCAUGGUUUUAAAUGUUUAAAAUGUAAGAACCGAUGAACAAUUUUUGACAAAGACGUUGCGACCUAAGUAGGGAUAGCAACUAAAUUCGGAUCCAACUCGGAUAUGUAAGGAUCCGAAAGAUCCAGAUCCAGAAAAUUUUUUAUCUGAAUAUUAAAAAAUGUUGAUCCGGAUAUAGAAAUUUGGGAUCUGCACGUAUUGGGAUGGAAGUACAUUCGGAAAAUUGGAUAACGAGAUCUAGAUAACUUUUGUUUCAAAUUAAAAAUAUAUAUUAAAAAUUAAAUGAAAAAUUAAAAAAGUAAAUUUCAUUUGUGGAUUUAUGAUGUUGUUGUAUAUUAUUCAUGUUGAAUUAUUAAUUGCUGGAUAUGAUUGAAUUUUUUUUGAAAUUAUUGGGUAAAUUUUUGAAUUUUAUUUUAAAUUAAAAAUAUUUAUUAAAAAUUAAAUAAAAAUAAAACAUUAAAUUUUAUUUGUAAAUUUAUGAGAUUAUUGUAUGUUAUUCAUUUUGAAUUAUUAAUUGUUGAAUUAUGAUUAAAUUUUAUUUGAUAUUAGUAGGUAAAUUAUUAAACUUUCAAAUUAUAUAUUAAAUUAUUUAAUUAUAAUUUUUACGGAUCCGAAUAUCUAGAAUAUCUGUUCGCAUCCGGAUCUACAUAUUUUUUUACGAAUCCAGAUAUAAAAAUAUGAAUGUGGAUCCAAAUUCGGAUUUUGCCAACCCUAAACCUAAGCAUGAAUGUGCCUAAAGUUUUUACUAAGAACAUGGAUCAUUCAAUGACACGACAUGUUUUGCAGCUCUCAUUAGUAUAAUUGAAUAAUUAAUUCAUCUCUAUAUUCAGCUUACACCGUCUCAAAUUGCAUGCAAAUACGAAAGUACACUUUUGAAUCGUUCACUUGAGGAAAAUUAGAUUCUCCACGUAGAAUUUAGAUUCAAAGCAUAGCAAAUUAGACAUAAUUCUAAUUUAUAUGGGAAAUAUAAUUAGCGAAGACACUCUUUAUAUAAACAUUAUUGUCAUAGGAUGCCAAACCUAAUAAGAUUCAAGAUCUUAACAUACUUCAUAUGAAAUUUGAUCUUGACGCGUACCGACACGCAUAACAUCAAGACUCUACUUCAUAUAAUGUAACUUCAUGGAUUUUUCGCUCUCUUGUGAAAUUGACAAUUAUGGGCGCUGUGUGGCAGUGGUACAUAAUAAAAUAAACAUUUAUUUUUAGAAUAUUAUUAUUUAUCUCAAUUUUUUAUUUAAUAGUUAAUUUUAAUCAAUUCUUAAACUGUCAUAAUCAAUUAAUUUUUUACAUUAUGGUAUCUUAAAUAAAUUUUGGAUCUGUAAUAAAUAAAAACUGGUAACGUUUGUUCUUUUAAAACAUAAAACAACCGUAACAUUGGUUUUUACAUUUUGAAUUUUUCUUGCAUCACUAUUUAGAAAAAUGAUGUUAAAUCAACUCACAAAAUAUAUCAAGUCAUCUAAAAUCCAAAUAUUAUUACAUUUGUAUUUGUAUUGUUAAAUUGUUGGAACGACGGCAAAGCAAUUGAAAAGAGAUUAACAAAAAAGUAAAGAUUGGCCAAGGAUUAUUCAUGUUUAGGAAAUGCCUUAACUUUUGAUAUAAUCAUUGUUAUAAUUAUAUUGUAGAAAUAAUCAAUUACCUGUGUUUAUGUUGGUCUCCUUUUUUUCCAUUUCUGUACAACGAAAUAUUUGCAUGUUUUGAUAGAAAUUGGUUUAAAUGACAUUUAAAAUUGUAUAUCCCCAGACAAUUAACGAAAUAUUUGGAUGGUAGGAUGAAGUAAUAAAUAGUUUUACAAAUUACCAUAUUAGAGGUAAAAAAAAAUAAAAUCGAGAGGUUACUUGACAAUUAUGACGUUACUAACUACAAAUUUAACACAAAAAGUUUAAUUAACUUUUCUUUUUGAGAUGACAAAAUCUCUGGUGUUGAAAACAAUGAGGUUUGAGGUUCAAGCUUGAAUAUUAAGUUACAAUUAGUAGAUGGUCUUAGGACAUAUCAAAGAUUUCUUUAAAGACAAAAUAAUUAUUAUAAGCAAUAGGAAAUUAUGGUAUUCAGAACAUGUAACCUUCGCACAUGAAGCUUGAAUCCAGAACAAGAUGCAGCUAGCCAAUCCUUCCAACUUCCAAAAACCCACAAAAUCUCUGUCAACAUGUCUGUUCUACUUCAAUAAUAAGCACAUUCAUAGCGGUAUCAACAGCUUACAGCGCCAAAAUAUUUUCCCCAAAAAGAGUGAGAGAUUUCACUGAAGCUAAGUUGUGACUUGUGACUGCCCAAAUGUUCUAUAACACGAUAUGAUUAUUCUAGUAACAUCAACAUUUGCAUCCUUCUGUAUCUGUCUGAGCUCCUGAAGCAUGAUACCCGGUUGCCCAGCAAAAGAUGCAGCUAUCACAAUGAAUAAGGGAACAAAAUAGAUAACAAAGUCACAAAAACAAAGCUAAUCACAAUGAAUGAUAAGGUUUAGAGUAAACAUAAAGUUAUAAUCUUGAACAUAAGUGGCGCUCUUGAGGAAAAAAAAAAUUCAUUCUAACACAACAGAAUAAAUUGUAAAGAAAUCCCAGUUUGUAUAAAAGAAAGAAAACAAAAUUAAGGAAAACAUAAGCACAACAAAAUUUGACUGAUUAUUAAAAAUGAGAAAUGAGUUAUAAUGAGAAUUUUGGCUUUGUGGUGAAAUAAAUUGGGAAGUAUCCAAAGUUCGCAUGUAAAUAAUAUAAAUGAUAAGAAGACGAAGGGAACAAAAUGAUAAUAAGCAAGCCAAAUAUUAAAAUGCAGAUUCUACGCUUCCGCCCCCCCAUACUUCAAGUUAGUGUCUCGCUAAUCAUUUUAGAUGUAUCAAUUACAAAGGGAGGCCAUCUAUUUAUGGUAAGCGUACGCCUCUAAUGCUUUGCCAAGUGUCCAUUGAUAAUAUCACAAGGGCAAUUAAAUUGGUGUAUGUGUAUUACACCUCCUAAAGUCAUGUUAAGAUAGUUAGUGAGCUGAUAAAGUUUGUUGCACGUGUGAGUUGGUUAAGUCUGCUAGAAAUGCAAACGUGUAAAGCUGAGUCAGCAAGUUAGUUAACGUUAUUAUGAAUGCUUAGAUUCAGCCCACGUGUAUUGUAUGUAAUACUUAGAUUCAGGUCACGUAGAUUGUGUAUACAACUUUCUAAUAUGAGUAAUGAUACAGCCACAAACUCUUGUACAAACUUAUUUUAUACAAACUGACGUGAUAUUUAAUUCAAACUGAUGUGGGCCAAGUGAUAUUUAAUUCAACCAAUCUUAUCAUGCCACAUCAGUUUGUACAAAAUAAAUUUGUACAAGAGUUUGUGGCUGUAUCAUUACUCUUCUAAUAUUAUUUAGAUCUCAAUAUAAAUACUUGUAAUCAACAAAUACAAUAAUAAGAGUCAUCAUUCUUCAUUUUCUCUCUGUUUCUCUCAUAUUUUCUCUGCAUCCAAACACAAUAUUCUCAGUUCUUGACUGGUAUUAGAGUCGCAGUUUAAUUGUCCUGGCUUCGUUAAGCACAAAUUCAAACACAAAUCAGUCUCCUUCAUUCUUUACCCUCACAAAUGCGAUCAAAUUGGACAGAUCUUACUAUACGAUCUGGAAAUCUCAGAUCCUCUCUUCAGUGUGUGCCAAUGGACUUGAAGGCUUUCUUAAUGGAACUAAAAUUUGUCCAGAUCAGUUACUUACUCAAGAGAUUGAAAGUUAUGGUGUUGAAAAUGUUGUUGGUGAAAGCUCAGCUGAUAGAUCUCAGGAGAAUCCAGCCUUUGUUGCUUGGAAGAGGUAGGAUCAAUUGUUAUUAAGUUGGCUCAUGUCCUCCAUCAGUGUUGAGAUACUUAAGUCUUGUGGUAAAUUCUGAUUCUUCUCAUAAACUUUGGACUAAUCUUGAAGAAAAUUUUUGGAUUAGAAAAUAUGGCUAAGAAAGCACACUUAAAAAAUGAUGUUAAGCAAUCUCAAAAAGGGAUCAAUGACAAUAACUGAGUAUUUUGCCAAACUUAGAGCUGUAACUAAUAAACUUGCUCUAACUGGUAGACCUGUUUCUACUCUAGACUUUAUUACUCAUCUAAUCUCUAGAUUAGGCCAGCCAUACUACCCUGUUGUUGUGUAUAUUGAAGCUAAUAUGUUGAAAAUAUUUGUCAAUGAAGCCUAUUCUAUGCUUUUAACUCAUGAAGCAAGAAUUAAAUUUAAUCAUCCGAGUGCAAAUAAAGAAGCAAAGUUGAAUUAUGCUGCUAACAUAGCUUUGGCUGGACCUAGUAAUAACAAUAAGAAGUCUAGUAAUCAAGCUAAUUACUAUCAGGGCAACCAAGGUAACUGGAAUAGAAAUGCUAAUUGGUGUGGUAACAAUGGAGGAAGAGGUGGCUUUGGCAGAGGUUUUUCAGGGCAAGGAAGGAGUAAUUAGAAUAAUGGUGGUCAUUGGAACAACGAACCUUGGAGUAGUAGUCGAGCAGGUUAUAAUUGUUCUGAUAUAAACAUUAUGACAUGGUUGUUGGUGAACCUGUAAACAUAACCACAAAAGUAAGAAGGCAUAAUCUUUUUAUAAGAAACUCAAAAAUGUAUUAAUGAUGAAAAUUUUAAAACAGAUAGCUGACCAGCUGUUCACUAAGAAAACAAAAAACUGAAUAUUUGUGCUAUAAAAAGGCACACCCAAUCUCACCCCUAUAAAAGGCUAGAAUCAGCUACAAAUCCCUAUCUCAAAACCCCAUCCCAGUUUAGAUGAAUGAAGAAAAAAGAUGAAUCUUGAAACUCCUUAGAAACUGAAGCCCAAAGUGAAGCAAGAAGAUGAACUCUAUCCCAAGCAAGCAAUAUGGCAUAUUUCUCCAUUAAUGGUUCAAAUAAAGUGAAUGGCUUUCUCUGAUGAAUGGGAAAUUGUCAAGAUCAAUAGUCAAACUCACGCAAAGUAAACGGACUUAAUUCUCAGAGGCUACUCAUUCUAAGUCUUAAAGAAAAAUUUUCUAAUUUCUAAAGAUUAUAUGGGGAAAAAUCAUUAUUUUCUAACAUGGAAAAUUUGAUACGCUGUUUAAUGUCUGAUCACAAUCAUAAUAUGAGUACUAACAAAAACAUCUUUAAUCGGCAUGGUGCGAGUAAAACACCAUCACUUCAUCUUUGAUGGAAAGAUGAUAACAUAAAGAGAUGGUGAAAUGGUUUUGGUCCUUGGCAGCUUGUAAUCAAAAGAAAACAAAAAUCUACACUAUUAUUAAUGAUUACCGAAGCUACAGAAGUAUCAAAAUCGGAAAGUAAACAAUUGCAAAACACAUCAAUGACUGAAGGUUAGGUUCUAAAACUUCCGUAUUUAAUUUUCAAAGCAUGUUAUGUAUUAUUCAGAAAUAUGCUUUCACUUCAGGCACUUGACCAAGACGCAUUAAACAAAAAACGUGGCGUUUUCAUGGACUAGUACAUUCCAUGCUUCGAAAGUUUAUGUUUUAGACUGAUUCGUUUGAUACAUUAUUUGUUUAUUGCGUUUUUCUUGCUUUAAAUAUUAUGUUGGAUUGAUAAGUUUUGUACACAUUUAUAUUGCUCGCAGUAAAUAAUUUAUGACAUUUAAAAAACUAGCAACCGUCUAUCAAAAGAUUUCUACUAUAAAUAUAUAUACACAAAAAACUUUUAAUUUGGUCAAUUUGUUCUCUUAUUUAUUUUUGUUCUAUUUCUCUUUUCCUUUCCUUUCAUUUUAUUGUUUUAUGGUACAAAAUAAAAAAAUAACCUUAAAAUUUAGGGCAAAGCUAUGGUACCACAAUUGUAUGGUACCACAGCUGGAUCCAACCAUUGGAUCUAUCCCACAGUUGUCACCAGAAUUAGAUCCAAAGGCUGGAUCCAGCUGUGGUACCAUACAACUGUGGCACCAUAGUUAGACCCUAAAAUUUAAGGGUAAAAUACUCAUUUUACUAAAAUUCCGUUUAAUAUUAUAAAGCUGUCAAAUGUCAAUGGCAUAGUACACGAGUGAUACAAAUUAAAAACAAUAAAUGGCACCCCGGCUUUCGCAGCGUACUCAAGUGCAGCCACCACUCCAGAAUCUGGUACUGCAAUCACGACAUCACUCAACAGGAGCCUCGGUAGCAAGUACUUCCCCAAAAUGAUACCUCGACUCACAAACAUGUUGAAAAGUCAUGCACAUGACAUUCAAAUUCAAAAAUGCAUGCAAAAUUUCAAAUGGCUACCAAACAUUUGAAGAAAAAAAUGAAAAGUUGGCAAAUUUGUCAAAUUUGAGAAAUGGACACCAUUGACUAUUGGCUUAGGUUAGGUGGAAUAGUAAAGGGGUUGGUGCAAUAGUGCUAUUAUUUUUCCUAUAAAUAGAUGGCACUUAUUCCAUUCUUAAGCAUCCCAAAAUUGUUAAGCUUAUAAGUUUCUAAGAUUUUAAGAGAAGUGAGAGAAGUGUGUCUGUGGAAUUUAUCUUUCCUGCAGAGUGUGAGAGUACUGGGUAUAUUUAGGUUUUUGGGAAGUGAGAUUCGUUACUCAAAUAUUGUACUCUAUUAAUUGUUAAAUAAACAAUUAUUCUUUCUUACCUCCGUGGAUGUAGGUUUAAUUACCAAACUACGUAAUUCUUGUGUCCUUUAUUUUUUUGUAAUUAUUUGGUGCGCUUGAUUCCGCAUUCCGCGCACAACAAGUGGUAUCAGAGCCGACGGUUCGUACUUGGGGAGAUACGGUACUGUUCACGUAUACGGUAUUAUUCCCGUAUACAGUACUAUUCACGAAUACGGCGGAGACGGCCAUUUGUACUUGGGAGACAGUCUAUUAUAAGUAGUGUGUAUUUUUGCAUGUCUAGGAAAGUUUUGUCAACAAAGGCGAUAAGAGUCUAAGGAUUCUGGUUUUUAAUUGGGACCGAGUUCCCGUCCAGUCUCCUGAAAACUUUCCUGGUGCAUUUAUUCACGUGAAAUUAACAUUAUAGAGACUGUUUUUCAAGUGGAAAUAGUUCGUUGAGAAAAUGGUAGAAGGUGAAACUUCCAGAAUUGGGGAGAGAUCUACCGAGACUAUUUCAGGAGACACUUCAGGUGGGAGGCGAGAUUUGUCAAAUCGCUAUUCAGCACCUGUUAUAGGAGGCUAGAAGACCGAUGUUGAAAAGUUUGAUAGGAAAAUCAACUUCGGCAUGUGGAGGCGCGAAGUUAUGGAUGCCCUUAUUCAAAUUGAUCUCGGUGUUGUGUUGUUGAGAAAGAUCGAUACCAAAGAUAAUCCAUCAGAUAUAUUGAUGAAGGUAGUUUCUGGAGUUAAGUUUCAACAUUACUUGAAAUUAAUUCAAAUCCUUCAAUUGUAUUAAGAUAUGUCCUUCGGGAAUUAUGAACUACGGUUGGCUUGAUCCCAAAUUUUGGGUACGUAGGCAGUCGAAUCGACACAGCCAUUCUGGAUCCUUAUUGAAGGAUCACUUUGGGGAUGAGGGUUCAUUGGUAGUUGGCUCAGAUUUGGACAAAUUUUCGUCGAGGUGGAGAAUUGUUGAAAAGUCAUGCACGUGACUUUCAAAUUCAAAAAUGCAUGCAAAAUUUCAAAUUGCUACCAAACAUUUGAAGAAAAAAUGGAAAGUUGGCAAAUUUGUCAAAUUUGCCAAAUGGACACCAUUGACUAUUGGCUUAGGUUAGGUGGAAUAGUAAAGGGGUUGGUGCAAUAGUGCCAUUAUUUUCCCUAUAAAUAGAUGGCACUUCUUCCAUUCUUAAGCAUCCCAAAAUUGUUAAGCUUAUAAGUUUCUAAACUUUUAAGAGAAGUGAGAGAAGUGUGUCUGUGGAAUUUAUCUUUUCUGCAGAGUGUGAGAGUACUGGGUAUAUUUGGGUUUCUGAGAAGUGAGAUUCGUUACUCAAAUAUUGUACUCUAUUAAUUGUUAAAUAAACAAUUAUUCUUUUUUACCUCCGUGGAUGUAGGUUUAAUUACCGAACCACGUAAUUCUUGUGUCCUUUAUUUUUCUGUAAUUAUUUAGUGCGCUUGAUUCCGCAUUCCGCGCACAACAAAACAAACCUUCCAAAAACAACAGAAUUAGGCAAAGCAAAAUAAAUAUGCUCAAAGAUGCACUGCUUAGGUUCAGGGUGAGGCAUCAAACAAGGUGAUUGAACCCCAUCUUUAUCCACCAUCAAAACUUCACCGGGAUAUACCUCUCUCUCUCUCGCUCUCGUAUGUGGCCUCAAUCAAAUAGUGCACAAGUCUCUGACGCAAAAACCAGAGCACCAUUACUCCUACCCAUCACCAAUGGCAUAAACCCAUACGGGUCACGAACCGCAACAAGCUUAUCCUCAGUAACAAACACCAUUGAAUAAGCACCCUCAAGCUUCUCACAAACAUCCAUAAUCCUCAAAAAGAACGGCCUAGCUUUCGAUAUCGGAAUCAAAUGGAGAACAACCACAGUAUCAGAACUAGUAUUGAAAAUGGAUCCAUUAUCUUCGAGCUUAGCCCUCAAAGUAUUAUAAUUAACUAAUGUGCAACACCAACAGAACCAAACCUGUACCCAGCAACAAAAGGCUGCACAUUCUUAAGCAUAGAACUACCCGCAGUCGAAUAUCUAACGUGACCAAUGGCCAUAUCACCCGGCAUUUGAUCAAGUUUAGACUGAUUAAACACAUCAGACACUAAACCAACACCAGUAAUAGACUGAAGAACUUUGUUAUUCACAGCAACUAUACCUGCACCUUCUUGGCCGCGAUGCUGCAUCGCGUGUAGCGCCAAAUAGCACAAACGCGAGGCCUCUGGGUCACCAUAGAUGCCCACAACACCACACUCCUCACGGGGCUUAUCGUCGUCAUCAUCAUCAAAACUGCCAAAACCGUCAUCUGGGUAUUCUUUAUUUGUGGUGAAAAACUCAGAGAUGGGGUUUUUUUGAUAGAACAGUGAAGUUAUUUUUGUGGGUUAAAGAUUGUUGUUUCUGAGGAAAAAAGGGGUUUUUUGCGGGGUUUUGGAGAAAAGAGAAAGAUGGGUUUUUUGCGACGGCUUAGGGUUAGCAGAGGGAGAUGGGUUUGAGAGAAGGCAGAUGUUGGCGGUGCCUGUUGUGGUGGCUGCCAUUAAUGGCUGAAUUUAUUUUAUUUUAUUUGUUUUGGGUUGCCUUGCUCAAAGAAAAAACAUAGGAGGUGUGUGGAGGGAGACAGUGGCGAAGGGUACUUUAAGUAGAGGGGAACUUGUUCUAGGUUUUUUUCUGGAAUUGUGAGGGAAUCUGAUCCUGGGUUUGUGCAUAUGAUUCAAUUACUUAUAGGUGAUACUGUUGUGUCACCACAAAUUCUAAUUGGGAAGCUUCAGUUGUCAAAUUUUUUUCCAAGGGUUAAUUAGGUAGAACUUUCAUGUCGUCGAUUUUAUUUGGAGAUUCUAAAAGUAGUUUCCAAAAUCAACAAUGUGACACAGAUGCUUUAGAUUUUUUCCCUUGUGGGACAUGAAAAUUGAUGCAUGUUCCAACGCAUUGCUCUAUCAGAAUUGGAAUUAAACUUAGGUGCCGUUUGUUUUUUUGUCUGAAAUCUGAAUAGACUUGAAUUAGUCUGAAUUCUGAAUAGGUCUAAAUGUCUGAAUCCGAAUAAUAUGUUUGUUUUUUCGUCUGAAUCUCGAAAAAUAAGUAUUAAGUUGUUUUUUUUUUUUCAACUUAAAAAGCUGAAAAUAUGUACUUUUACAUUUGUAUCCUUAUUAAAUUUGAAUGUCAAAUAAAUAAUAUAUUAAAUACCACAAUAUUUUAAUAUUUAUAAAUAAAACUAUAUUCAAGUGAAUACAUAAUUAUUUUAGAAUUUUAAUAUAUAAAAUACCAUAAAUUUCAAAUUUUAUCGUAUAUAAUAUAAGAAAGAAAAAACAUGGAUAUUUUUAUAUGGGGUAAAUAUCUAUAGGUAAGUUUUGGGAUAAACAUGAAAAAUAAAUUAUAAAACAGAGAUAUUUUUGACAUUAGCAAGUAAUUGACUUAAUUCAGAUUUCUCCAUUAAGUAAAAAGCCAAAAAAAUUAGCUUAUUUUAUUAAGUCAAAAUUAUCUAAAAAGUCUCAUUAAGUUAUAAAAACAAACACCUCUAAUUAACUUAAUUAAUUAAAUUAAGUCACUGUAAGUCAUUAAGUUAAACAACAAACGCCACCUUAGUUUGUAUUCUCCUAUUCCGAAAGCAAAACUUAUAAGUGAUAUUCUAAGAAGAAGAAAUUAAGAACCAUAACAAAUUUGAUGAUUCUAAUUUGCUAGAAAUAUUGCAAUCCCAAACUAAGAAAGUUCAAACCAAUUAUUUGAAGAAAAAAGUAGGACGGAAGCUCCCAAAAUAUUGUUAUGUGUUGUAUGUUUUAGUUUGUGUUUCCCAAUCAAUAAGGAAAAGUAAGUACACAUGUAACAAAAAUUUAAUAAAAAAGAUUGGAGGUGACAAAACCGUCAAUCUUCUAAUUAACUUUCUCUCCUUUCGAAUUUCCUCGAGUUUGGUAGAGACUGCUUAAGUGGUAUAUCUAUUAUAAACACCUGAAGUCAAAGUUAAUAUUUUAAUUGUUAAGAAAAGUUAGAAAAAGAAAUUUUUGUAUAAGAGAAUUGAGUUUAAAUUUAGAAUUCCUUGGGAGGAAAUGAGUCUAAAUUCCAAUAAUAUAAUUAAACACUAUUUAUAUAUAUCAUUAGUUGGGUGAAAAUUUAAUUUCCAUCCUUUGAUGUGAAAAACUCUCUUGAUCAUCUAUUUUCAUAUGAUGGUAAUUUUUUGUUUAAAGUGAAGUUAUUGGCACCCUUUCAUUAUGCUUAUAAAAUCCUACUUCAAAUAAAAUUACACUUAAAGACAAUAGAAUUAAAUAAUAUAAUUUUUUCUUUAAAACAAAUUACUCAUCUAAUUUUUUAUAGGUUGCUUUGUAUCAAAUUAAAAAAAUUUUUUACAAAUUUAAAAUAAUCUAUUUUUUUUUCAAAUUUCUUAUUGAUUAAAUAUUUGUGUGCUUAAGAUAGCUUUAAAAUUAUAAGAUAAAAUAUAUAUAAUUUAAGCCAAUGAUUAACAUUAAAAAAUUUAUCUCUCAUAAAAGUUUUUAAUUUGUGCGUAGGGUAAUAAUAAAAUUGCAAAAGAAAUGAAAAAUAGCAAAACACUAUUUUGAGUUUAAACAAUAAAAAAAUUAAAUGAAAAAUUAGAAAUGUAUUUGAAAAAGGAUAUUUUUUGAAAAUAAAAUAAAUAUAAUUUAAAAAGAAAGAGUUUCACGAGGGGUGCAAUAGUUCAACUCUUUUGUUUAUAAGUUUUAAUGUGUUGGUAUCCUUAGCUUAGCUUUUCCCUAAUUAUUAUAUUAAAAUGUAACAACAAUGAUGAUCAACCCUAAUUUCAUGGAGGUCAAAGAUUUUGGUCAUGCCGCAUUAAUUAGUUCGGUCAUACUUUCUACAAAUUUAUUUACAUUUAAUAAUUUGCCCAAGACUAGGUAAGGCGCCGCCUGGAGUCAUAGAAUUUUAUAUGUCAAAAGUGCGUUUCACUUCAAUUAAGCUAUAAAUGUCGUUUAAUAUGCUCAUUUUGUAUUUUUUUUUAAAAAGUUUUAUUAAUUUUUAAAAAAAUAUUAUUUAUUUAUUUAUUUAUUUUUUUAAAGGUAAAGAAGUGGAUAAAGUUCAAAUUUAAUUUUUAUCCCUUACGUCAUGACCCUUAAGAUUUGAACUUAGGUAACCAAACGUAUAAUAAUAAUAUCUCAAAUUUCAUUUCAAAUGAUAUGCAAUAUAUUAAGUGAUUGUUAAUUUUUAUAAGAUCCGAGUGAAUGAAUUGUAUUAUCUCACUAAUUAAUUAAUGAGUGUCAUAUCAUUUAUGAUAACUUUUGUAUAAAAAAAAUUGCAUGGAUGAAAUAUCCUUUUGAGAAUUUAAUGGUUUAUCUCAUUUAUGAUUUAUUGUUGCAUUUAAUGAUAUUGCAAAUAAUUUUCUGAUAAUAUUAUUGUUUUGACGAGUAAGUUUGGAGUAAAUAAUACAUAUGGCAAGUGUGAGGUUUGUUAUUGCAUUUAUUUUGUGGAUCUAUUUAAAAGCCAAAAAAAGGCAUUUCGAUUCAUUAUGAUUCCAGAUAAUUUCAAGCCAUGUCAUUAUUGGGAUAAAAAUAAAGUAAAAUGGUUAAAACUAUUUUUAUGUAAUUUAUAAAAAUUAAUGAAGCAACUACAAAAUUUUUUUAAACGAAAAACAAUUGAAAUGUGUGUGGAAAAAGAAGAAAAAAAAUAAGGCAUUUAAAUAUCUUCUUAAAAAAUACGAUUGAUUAAAAUUAUUUUAACAGAAUGCUCUUCCAAAUACAAUUCCACAUUUUUUUUUAUUGCAGUGGGAUAUUCCAAAAUUGGCACAACUCAUUAAGAAUUCGACAACUCAAAUUUUAUUUAUCACUCUAUGCAUUUGACAAAUUAAAAAGAAAAAAAAUUCAUAUAUCUUCUGUUCAAAAGAAACCUUGGUAAAUAUUGUAAAACAAAUUACCAAUUUUUUUAAAUUUAUGCCAUUAAAUCGUCGCUAUUUUCUCGCCCACUUUCUUAAAAUAGAAUCGAUAUUUAUUGAUGGGUUGGGUUCGAGAGUAAGCACCAAUUCAGCAAAAUGGUUUUAUAGCAGAAAAAGCACUUGUAAGACAUUCAGAACACAUUUUUCAAUUUUGUCUUUUGAAAAUGAGUCUUGAGUUUCCGCAAGCCAAGAAGAAUGGCUAAAAAAUGUAUGGUAUCAAAAGAAAGAGAAACACACACACACAUUUUAUGUAAGAUACCGUAAAAGCCAAAUACAACCUUUUUGAUUCUCAGCAAUAACUUUUUUUUUUCCUUUUAAAAAAAGGAAGCCAUAUAAAUAAUGCUUUAAACAUUAUUUGCAACAAGGAACAAUUAUUUCAUGCUUUCAGGUAUUAGAAACUUUCCAAAACUGCUAGCAAGAAAGUGAAAUGUAACUUUACGUAGUCACAAAAUAUGUAUUGCUGUUAGCCCAAUUGUUAUGAAGUGGCUUCUGCAUCAGAAGAUUCCAGCUCCCACCAAGCAUUGUUAUCUCUCUUCUGAAUACAAUCUGCAUCGCUGGGCAUGAGUUAUAUCAUUAAUGUCUGCAUCCUCACUUACAUCAUCCCAAUCAAGUGCUUUUUCUCCAUAUCUGGAUUAUAAGUCCACUCCAAUCUCUUCAAAACAUCCUAGUCCUUCCAUCACAACUGCUACAACUUCCUUCCUAAUUACUUACCCAUUAAUAAAUCGCUCCAAGAAAAAAAAGCUUAGCAAUUCUCUUCAACGCCCCAUCACUCAUAUCCCCUACAACAACCAUCUUCAGACAAAAUCCGAAUCAUCCGACACAACCACCAAACACCCAAACCUUCUUUUGUCCACCAUAUAAAUCCUCAACAAAACAUCGGCAUCUUGUGGCUUAUCUAACACCAUUCUGACCCAAAAUCAUGCUUUUUUUAACUCAUCUGCAAAACCAUAACCCACUUUUGGAGUCAAAAUUGCGCUUGCAGCCAUUUUAUAUUUUUCCAUCUUUAUUGAAUAGCUGCCAACCAAAAGCACUCUCACCUUCCCUCUAGCUGAUCCUAUUUGAUUCGACCUUUUCUUUUGUUCACCCUCAUGAAUUUGCUUAAAAUGAUUAAAAAGCUUGUCAUUGUUAUAAAAUCUCCUUCCACAAUCACCAAUACAUACGGCUUAGCAGGCCUAAUUACACCCUUGAUUUCUAAUUGGUUAAACAAUUCUCUUUCUUUCUCUGCUCUCUUACAACUUGAGGCAUAUAACUAAACCCGUGGCUAUUAGCAUUUGCCACCAUGUAUUUAAGAAUCCCAAAUGAAGAUAUUGAUUUUUUUCAGUUUAAUUGCUGCUUCAAAACGGGGUACUAAAUUUGGAUUUUGUUAUCCAAAUACCAAAAAUUUCCCACAUUGUGUUGGACAGUUUUUGGUUCUAAAGUUGAUGACUGGUUUUACGAAUCAGGCUUCAAAUGAGAACUUCUAAACAAUAAGACAAAUGGGUUUUUGAGUUUCCAAUUUUGUAAACUUUGUUCUAUUGUUUAAGUUAUGAAAUCGCUGAAACAUCACUACAGCUACAGGUCUUUAUGUGUCAAAGAACUGCAGAAGCUGAUGAUCUAGCUGUAGUAGACUUCUAUUGCCCCUGUCGUUCUAGGAAGACAAACAAGUUCAGGAACUACUUCUGGACCAAACUCAUAAUAUUGCCACUGCUUUGUGCCAAUCUGAGAGGGAAAGCAUAUUGAAGUUCCUAAAUAAGGCACAUCAUGAUUUGACAGAAGUACCACUAUGAGGAACAAUUGAUUUCAGGAAAGCACUAAAAUAUGACAUAAUCUGCCCCUAAUGGUCUAAAGUAGUCAAGAAAUGAUAUCAACCAAGCAAAAACACAUAAACUAGUUGAGAUACAAAGUUAUUGUAAAAGUCAAUUUUGAUCACAAGUCCAUUAAAAUUAAAAGACAUUAGAAACUUAGAGAACAUUAUAAUUUAGGACUCAGCUAAGUUGCAGAUUCUGUAACUAACAGCUGUGUCCACAUUGGUCUUGCAUCAGCUGAGUUUGGGUUGCUUUUCCUCUCUCCUGCAACGCGUACGUGGAAGCGCCCCAUUUGCUGUGUUCUAUACCGAGUCGGUACCGUAACAAGCUCCUAUAAUUUAAGUUUGAUUACUGUAGACAAUAGUCUGCCUCUGCUCAAAAGCUAUGUUGCAAGAUAUAACAUCUUUGCAAUGUUAUACUUUCUAAAAGUAAUAAGAAAUGAAACCAAGGGGUAAAUCGAACACCAAAAGAAAUUUAGUCGGCCAACCACAUUAUGUUCCCACACAGUCCACUAAUUAAGUUAAUAAUUAAAAGGAAUCAAAAUCUAAGAAAUCUCAUCUUCAAGCAGAAUUAAUACAAACACACAGCGAUUGAAAAUCACAAAAUCAUAAAAAGAAGCUGACUUGAAAAGCUCAAAUAUACGUUCAUCAGCCUCUCAACUUAUAUCUAAGAACAAAUGCAGCUUGUGAAGACAUACAUAAUUGAAGCUGAUGAGCCAUAUUUAACAAAUGAUAAUCAAAACUUGUGUGAUUAAAAUUAUAAUUCAAUAAUCGAGCACAUAAAACAAGAAGUAACUAGUUGUAUAUAUACCAAACAACUUUCUGAAGUUAAGGCAUAAAACAACAACGUAGAACAAAUUAAUUAAAUAUACCAGCACCAAUACUCUUAUUAUUAUCCAAAUAUAGAAGACCAAUGUAUCAAACAAGGAAAAUGAAAUAUUGUUAAUAAAUAAAAAACGACUAGUGUCAAGAACUAAAGUAAUAAGUAAAACCCAUAAUCAGACACGACCACAUCAAAAUCUCUGAAAAUUGAGGUCUAAACAUUGAAAACAAUUAGACAUAUAUAACAGUCAAUCAAAACAAAGCCUCAAAAUAAUAAUGAACUACAAUAAGACAGAAACUAAAUUGUAAACAAGCGCAUACCCAAUAACAGUAAUCAAGUAACAAGUCAAAACCAGAAUCAAACGUAGAAUUUUGAAAUCCAUACGAACUCUAAUGUAUUAGAAUGAAAUAAUAAGGGCGAUCGAUAAACUAGACUCAAACAAAAACAUGCCCAGUUAAAAAACGAAGGUAAAUAAAUAAAAAUGGUAUAAAACUGCGAAAAAAAUUAAUGAAAUGAAGAGAAAAUCACAGGAAUCCUAUGAAGAGGAAGGUAAACAAAACCUUCGGGAGCCGAGAAGAUGCCUUUUUUGUUGACGUUUGUGCCUAUACAUGCAAUUUUUUUUUUUAAUUUUGAAGAAAGUAUUGGUUAAAUAUUGUCAGAACGAAAUAUUAAUAAUAGGGACUUGACUAGCUUACAGAAUCUGUAAGGUACAAACUGCAGCAUCAGCCGUUGGAUGUGGUUGGAUGUGGAGUGAGAAACUAAACAAUAGAAAAUCGGAUGGUGGGAUGACGGGAGAUGUUUGUUACAGAAUCUGUACUGUAGACAAGUCCUAAUAAUAGAUGCUGGCAAUUUCAACAAGGACAAUCUUCGAUUCAAAUGUACCCUUAUGAUAAAGAAAAAGCCAGCUUGGCUAAAUUUUGAGCACCACAUUAUAAGAUCUAGGUGUAUGUUUAACUAUGCAAAAUGAAAUAUCUAUUAAUUAUAAGUCCCUUGACCUCUGGAACCAGCCAACUGGUCUCUUUCCUACUAGACAACCUUCCAUCGAUCAGACUAAUAAUAUUUACUAAAUCAUGUUCUACAGUUAAUGAAGUUGGACCCAAGGCAAUUGUUAGCUUAAUGUCAUAGGCUGCUCAAAUUUCCUGUAAUUGGAGGAUAAUUAUGUGCACAUGAGUUCGCUUAGCAAAAGUCUGCCUAGGCGUGGAGUGCGCUUAAAAGUGGGAUGCACUUAGAAGUGGGAUGCACUUAGCAAAUCAUCCAAGCCCAACCCGAGAUCUAGAACUCUCUGCAUAUUAUAAAUAAGCUAAAAGUUUUUAUGUUUCUCCACGUAAGUCCCUAGGAUAUUUAUGGAAGUUGCUAGGAAGUUUCCUCCCCUAGAACUCUAAUACUUAUAAAUAGGAGUGGGCCGCCUCAUUUACCCACCAACCACACCACACACACAAACACUCCAGCACACAUACAAGCUCUCUAGCUUUUGUAAAAAGCUCUCUUGUAUAUUCUCUCUUUGUGAGUAAUAAAAUCAUAUUCAGCUAUAUUGCUCUACUUCUCUCUAGUAUUUUCCGCAAGUGUUCUUGCUUCGCUAGUUUGAGGAGUGGUCCAGGCUUGCUUAGCAACUUGUUUGCUACAAGGACAUCUUGGUCACAAAACAUGGACAUGCAAGGAAAAAAAAAUAUUGAUUCGUUCUAAAAAUAAUAUGCACUCUUCUCCAGUGAACCAAAAAAUUUAGGCUAAUGGUAGCAAGUGAAGGAAUUGUGAUUUCACAUGCAUUUUGUUGACAUGAAGGUAAAGAACUUUUUUAUAGUUUAUAUUGUUUAAUAUAAUAUUUGAAUUGCAAAAUAGGGGUACAAAAUAGAUACACGAAGGGAUAAAACUAAUCUGAUUAUGAUAAAUAAUGAAUUAUAAGAUUUAGGUUUAAUCAUAAAGACAUAAGUGGCACACAAAGUCACGAAUUGAUAUCAUCCACGAUGCAAGUUCAAACAACUGUAUAAUAAGUUGCCCCAAGCUAAACUAUUAAUCUAAUAACUAUUCCAGUCGAUGUGGGAUAAUUUUCCUAUCACCAUCUAUCACGUGCAAGCCGAAUUUGUUGCUUGGUUCUUACAUGUGGUAAGGUAAUAUGAAUCCACUUGUGCAUAAAUUUGGCUCCGAUAUUAUAUAGAAGCUUAUGACCCAAAAUUAUACUUAAAGGUUAUUUCAAGAUUUGAAGGUUGCCUCAAGCUAAUAUUAUUAUUAGCCUGGUAACCCUUUUUUUUUUGUUGAUAUGUGAUAUUUUCCCAAUAACUUUUAUUAAUCUUUAUGCUUAUGUUUUGUCAUUUAUCCCAAAAUAUAACAUUAACAAAAGUUCCAAAAUUUCCUUCAAGAGAUAUAUUUGAGACAAGUAAUUUGUGCAAUAACUUUGUGAAUUGAUGAGCAAAUUCAAAGAAAAGAAUAUAUGUGCCAAACGUAACGUUUAUUAUUGUGUUUAUUUGUAGAGCUAUUUAAAGCCUAAAAACAAAAAGCAUCAGUCUGCUAUUAUUUCAAAUAAGUUCAAGCCCUAUGUCAUUAUUGGUACAAAAAUGUAUUAGAAUGGUUAAAAACUAUUUUUAUUUAACUUGUAAACUUAGGAAAUUAUCAACUGUCCACCCUUAAAUUGCACUGUUAUAAAAAAUAUUACAAUAUUUUCAGAUUGUAUCAUUCAUCUACCAUAAAUUUACAAUCUGCAUCAUUUAUCCACCAAAUCAUUAACUUCGUUAAAAAGUGAUAGACGUCACAAGGGUAAUUUAGACAUUUAACACACAAAAAAAAUAAAAGAGAAAUUAUCUAAGCUUACCAUGUUAUCAAAAUUGCUACAAAAUUUUAAAUUUGUUCAAUUUUCCAAUCUAAGUUUAUGACCUCCAAGAUGUUACUUGCAGUUUGUAAUUAAUGAGUUCAUAAGGAUAAUUUAGACACUCAAUACGCAAAAUAAAAAAUAAAAUAAUGGCUUAAAACAUUAAAACAAAAAACUACAUUUUAUAAUUGAUAUUCAAUAAUACACAUAAAUUCUAUUUUUUUCUUAAUUAAAAAUAUUCUAAUUUAUUUUCUCAAUUUAUCAUCAUAAAUUUACAUUAAUAAACUAAAUCCACAAAUUACCCUAAACCCUAAUUCAUAAAUGCCCAAUCAAUCUAAUAGUUUAAUUCGAUUUCAUAAUUAAAAAAGCUAAAUUUAUUAUAUUAGUUAUGGUGUAAAGUCAAAAAUGCCCUUAAAUUCAAGGGUAAAAUAACAUUUUAUUUAAAUUCUAUAAAUUAUUCUAACAAUGUUAACAUAUUGGUGGACGGUUAAUAUAAGUUACAAACUUAAAAUAGAAAAUCAAAUAAAUUCAAAAUUUCAAACUAUUUUGGGCAAAUUUAGGACAUAUGGUUAAUAAUUUUCUCAUGUCUUUUUACAUUGGUUGGUAUAAGUUACAAACUUAAAAUAGAAAAUCAAAUAAAUUUAUAUUUUCAAACUAUUUAGGGCAAACUUAGGGUAUAUGGUUAAUAAUUUUUCUUUGUCUUUUUACGUUAAAUUGAGUUUCAAAGGUAAAAUGGUCAAUUUAUUAUAAUUAUGUUAAUGUUUUAGUGGAAGCAAACGAUAUAAUGGACGAAUGAUAUAAAUUGUAAAAUUAAGGUGCAUGAAUGAUACAACUUUAAAGUAUUGUAGUAAUUUUAAAAAUAGAACAAUUUAAGGGUGGAUUGGCAAUAAUUUAAACUUUAAUGAAGCAACUAAAAAACAUUUUUAACAAAAGAAAAAUAAUUGAAAUGCUUUAAGAAAAAUAAAAGAAAUUAAAUAUCUUUAUAAAAACAUAAUUGAGUAAAAUCAUUUUACAAAAUGCUCUUUCAAAUGCACAUUCCACAAGGCAGGGAGAACGGGUGGGUAACAAAAAUCUCACUUUUUAUGAGUUUAUAAAAUCUUACUUUCGCAGAAUCAAAAAAUAACCAAUACUAAUCACACAAAAAAUAAAAAUUAUUGUUGUCACGACAUUACGCACUUUCUUCGCUGUCUAGAAAUUAGAAAGCUAGAACAUUUUGAAGUUCCUCAAUACAAAAUGUGUGCUACUACUAAAUUGGCCCAAUUAAUGCCCAUCGAAAAGGCCAUCAAUUUAGCCGGCAAUUUUGUCAAAAUUUCAACAAUUGAAGAAAUAAUGAUCACAAACGGAACAGGUAAAUUUUGAAGUUGAAUAAAUCUUGAGAUACAUACAACAAAGCCUUGAAACUUUAUUCUUCACAAUUUGAGCACGCACUAAAUAUUAAACAAGUAUAGAACAAAGCUUAUUUUUAGCUUCUUGUGCGAACUGAAUACGCUGAAAUGUGUUUUUUUUUUUUUGGAUUUUUGGAAUUUUUUAAAAUCAUUUAUGUUCGCCGCCAUCUUUUUCUUCGCUGGCGUCUUCCUCUCUUGGCUGGCAUCUGCCUCGUCUGUAGUUUGCUGUGCCUAUAUAUCCAACCAAUAAAUUGGGCAUUAAAUACGAAUGAAUGAUGAAUAAAAUGAUAAAAAAAAAACAAACAGAGAAAAUUAUAAUAUAACACGUAUAUAUUGAAAGAGAAAUUUUGAUUUUAGGAUAGAUCAAUUAGCUAUCACAAACGAAAACAUGAACCAACUAUGUAUAGAGUCAAUUAAGUAAAGUUCUCAAGAGUUGACCUGUGCUCCUGAAUUCUUGGAAUCAUCUAUCUCCUUCUGAAUUUCCACGAAACUUGGGACAAUUAUUAACAUCUUCAUUGUAUGCAGAUGGAAAUGGGAUCUGAUAACCCGCAGGCCAAAAGUUGGCGAGCUUUGGUAAACCAAACAAUGUCAAGUUCCGAAGUUCAUUCAUAACAAUUUCAUUGUAAUCCGUGAUGUUUGCUCCAUCUUUAUGCCAGAAUACUUCUUCUAAUUCAUCAUUAGCUUCUAUCCAUAGGCCCUUCAGUUUUUGAAGACUUGGAGCUACGCUGAUAUGAAAUAGAUGCUUUAGCUUGGGGCAAUAAUGGACAGAGAUCCAUGUGAGUUUUGGGAAACAUACAGGUUGGAGAUGAUCCUCAUCCUCAUCCUCAUCGAUGAUUUGCUCUAAUUCCGAGCAAUAUAAAAUACGUAACUCCUCCAAUUGCAACAGAUUUCGAGCAAGUGUUGAUGAGAAGAGACGUCUCAGUGUAGUGCACCCGUCCACUCUUAAAUCGGUAAGACUUUGGAGGCUAAAAUUAUGAGUGGGACCUUCAUGAUAUAAUAAUACUUGCAGUUCUGGAAGGUUUUCCAACCACAACGACUUCAAACAUGGGAAUAGUUUGUUUUCUUGUUCCUCAGCGAUAAUAGCUUCCACUUGAAAUACCACAUAUACUCCAAGUUCUCCAAUACCCAAUGUUUCCAAAUUUUUAAAGCCAUGCUUCAACAGUGCUGGAAUCGUGUCACUCAAAUGGGAACAAUUGUCCACAUAUAGAUUUCGUAAUUUCUGAGACAAAUAAAUAAAUAACUUGAUGCAAUUAAAAUCUAUUAGCAGCUAGGAUUAUCACAUGAUAAGUGAUGAACACCGCAAAAAUAUCAUAAUACAUAUGUAAACUAAUAAAAUAAUUAAAAAGUAAUGGAUUAAAAAAAAUGAAAUUAGUUAAAAGAGAUCAUGUGAAGUGAUAUAAAUGUGACAUUAGAUUGUUUUAGAAAAAUUAUGGCUUGAUCAACUAUUUAAUUGAAUUUGAAUAAUAUUAUAUACACUUCAGAAGUAUUUGCAUCAAUUCUUUCUAAACUAAAAUGAGAUAUGAAUUUCAUUUGAAGAAUGGUUUUAGGCCCUAUAAUAAAGAAAUUUCCCUAAGAUAUCUGAGUAUUAUUAUUAUCAUUACCACAUCCACCACCACCAUCAUCAUCUCCAUAGGAUCAAAUAAUUAAUGGCUGAUCAUAAAAUUUAUUACUAAACUAUCAUUUUGAGUAAAAUUGAAUGAAAAGAAAAAACAUGAAUCCAAACAAACAUACCUCUUUGAGAUACUGCAAAUUGGCUUCAAGUUCAUUACUGUUGAUGGUCAAGUUGGGACAGUUAUGAAGGUUUAACUUUUCCAAUGCUGGCCAAAUUGAACAAUAAUUCUCUGAACAGAACUUGGUGAGUUCUGGGAGAUCUUCAAGUUUUAAUUUUCUCAACAAAGGGAGGGCGAGCAUCGUAUUUCCAUCUCCGACACUUAUUUCCCCUUCAUUAUGAUCAAACUUUGCUUCGACAAUAUAUUCCAGUCUCUCGCAUCCACUUACAUUGAGACUUUUAAGCUGCUCCAAACUUCUAGCUUGUGACAACGUGAAGAUAUAUGUCAACUUGUUGCACCUAUGCACAUUCAAUUUUGUAAGAGUUUGGAGACUAAUCACAUGUUGGGCGGGCGCCUUCCAUAUCCACUUCAGUUCUGGUAAGUCCCACAUAGAUAACUCUGCUAAUCUUGAGAGACUCUUUCCAUGCGGCGACUUAGAGGCUUCCAUUAUGCAUUCUAAAUCUUCGCAAUCGCAGACAUCAAGACAAGUCAACUCAUUUAAGCCCCUUUCAUCUAUGCUUGGCACAAUAUUGUAACAACCUAUAAUCCCACUUAAAUAAAGAAUUUCCAGUUCUUGAUACAAUGCCGAAAAAAUACCGAGCGAGGUCGCUUCAGGAGGGUGGUUACCAAUCAUUAAGAUCCUUGCCUUAUCAUCAUGUUCCCUUUCAUCAUAAACUCCUUCAACUUUAUAGAUGACGUACCUUUGCAAUUUCGGGAAUGUAAAGUCUUUUGGAAGACAUACAACAGAUCCGUCGACUUGGGAGUUCAACUCAGCAAGCCUAGCAUUACUUUCUUUUGAACUCAUCCCUUCAACCUCCCAAUUUUUUAUCCAACCAUAAAAUUCUUCUAAUUGAGGAAAUUUUUUUAUCGUAAUGGGAGACAUAGAACUAGAACCAAUAUACAGAAGUUUCAAUCUACGAAGUUCAUCCGACAAUUCUUCAGGAAUUUCAAUGGGAGACCGCUGGAGAUAAAGAAGUUCAAGUCUCUUCAACUUUCCAAGAAAAGACGCGUCACUCACAUCACAUCGAAUCAACUGUAGAACUCGGAGGUUUUUGUCGAGGAAUCGAAGCAAUUUUAGUGAAAGGACUCCACCUAUUAUAGUAACAACUUUCAAUGCUGGCAUCCCUUUAAAAAAAUGUUCUGGAAUUUGCAAUUUGUAAUUAUAUACGGUGUUCACCAAUCGCAGAAUAUGAAGGUUAGGGCAUAUCAAACCACUAGGAAGCUCUUCUUCCUUUUUAUCUACGACCAAAGACAUUCCUCUGCACUGUUCCAGGCCUUCUUCCACCCCCUGUUCCACCAUUUCGAUGCCAGUUAUACUAAAAAAUCUCUCCUCUUUCUCCUCCUUUUUGCUUAUCCAUAUGGCUACAUCACGGACUACGUCAUGCAUUUUCACAGAUCUGUCAUUGCCAGUGUCUAACAGCAAUGAAGAAGCUUUGAGCUCUUUCAUCGUUCCACUCAGUAGGCUCCUGACUUUUUCAAUUGCAUCAGCUCGAUACCAUCUCAACCCCACUGCAUAUCCAACCAAAUCAUCCAAAUCUACCUCAUAAUCCUCUGGAAACAAAGAACACAAUAAGAAGCACGACCUGGAAUCCUCACCAUUCAAAUAUUUGUAACUAAAUUUGAGACAAUGGUAAAUGCCUUGGUCCUCCUUGCCAAUACCUUCUAUUGUAUUGAGUUUUGCAUCUUGUAGUUUAUCUAGAGCUAGGUUCCACUCAUCAAAUCCUUUAUCUCUUAGUGCACUUCCAACAGCUUUAAUAGCUAAAGGCAGCCCCUUACAUUCAUCAGCAACCUGUUCUGAAACACCAAUCAAGGUUGAAUCAGCAACAUCAAUGCCAGCAAGCUUUCUUAGUAAAUCCAAUCCUUCUUCUUGUUGGGAAAAUAUGCUCUUUAAAAGCAUAUGUGUUUAUUUAAUUGUAAUAAACAAUUUUUCUGAUUAAUAAAAUAAAUGAGGUAUUUUAUUCAAAUAUCUUAAUUGCAUUAAUAUUUGUAUUAAAGUCCAUUUAAUCAUAUUAUAUGUAUUUAUGUGAUCACCAUGUGGAUUCACAGAAGACAUAAAUACAAGUUAUCUUAUGAUUAAAUAAAUUUAGUUCGCAGUUGAUAAAUAAAGUUGGGCACUUUAUUUAGGUAUAGACUGUAAUAAAUUCAUUGAAUGAUUUGUCUUAAUCAUGUAUGAAUUUAUUGAUGUAGUACGACUACAUUGAACAGGAUCACAUAUGAGAUUUAAUUAACUUUGUAAUAACUGUCAGACUUAUUAAAUCUCAUAGGCGUUGAUUUUACUGUAAUCUUAAUCUUGAGUUAAUUAUGAUUUCAUGAUUGUGAUUGUUAUUUCAUUUGAGUUACCAAUGGGCACGACACAUCCUUGUGGUCAAGAUUACCCGGUAUCUUGGUGGGAGCAAUUAUAAAUAUUGGAGUUAUGGAUUAACAAUAUAGAAUUUGUACAACACAUCUCUUGAUAGGUUUUCGGUACUUGAUCAUAGAAUUCUCUGGCCAGAGUGUGUCAACAUAUUUAGUAUGUUGAAAAUGAUCAUUAGAGAAAACCAGUAAGGAUCAAGGAAUAAGAUGUUAUUAAAUUGAUUGGACAGUUGAGAUAUCAAUUUAAUUAACGAUGUGGUACAAAGGAUUGUGCAGUAAAGAAAUCAAUGUGGCUUGGGACGAAUUAUUAUUCGAGCGUACAAUUAUGGAAGUCGGUUCCAAUCUUUUAGUGGAGUAGAUUUGGAAUUAAAUAAUUGGGCUAGUUUAAUUACAGGCAUAAUUAUUGUAGCCACUAUUGUAUGUUCCCAAAUGAUCCCCGGGUUAGCUCAUUUAAUUGACUGCACCACUACUGGACUAAUAAGCAAGAUAACUAGCUAUUUGGGUCAAAAACCUAAAUAUAUCAUUUAGUGGGAGGCUCCAUUUAAUUAGCUUAUGUGUAAGGGGCCUUAUGUUAUUUUACAUGGUGGGUCCCCUACAAAAUAAAAAGGAACGUGAGUUUUAUUUUGGGCUUUAUUUGGAGCCUAGGGUUUUCACUAAAGGGAGAUAUAUAAGGCUUAUUUUCCCAAAAGAAAAGAGAGAAGCCACUUUAUACAGAUCAGAGAAAAAGAUUUUUCUCUCCAUUGUUGAGAGAAAAAUUUUCUCGUGCUAGUUGCUUUGGUAGUGAUAAAGGCGCCCACACGUCAAGUGCAGAUCGAACCUGAGUCAUAACCUGGAAGAUCAUUGGAGACAGUUCGUGAUCUAACAAGAGUGGUGGUGGCGGAUCGUGAUCUAAGAGCCUAAAUCACUUCAACGGAAAAAGUCCAAUCGGAUUUUCAAGGUACGAUUUCUGGAUUACGUAUUCCUAUAUAUUAUAUGAGAGCGGUCCUUAAAAAGGUUUUAUAAAAUUUUAAAAACCAGAUUUUUCCCCAACACUUCUCGCUUUAGAACACCUAGUUGAAUCUGCGGGUCACAACGCAUGCGAUCACAAACUGGCUGCAGGCGAGUGGUUAGCAGGAUUUUGCAACAAUUGUCUCCAUCACCAACAGGAAUACCUACUGUCUUCAAGUCAAGUUCAUUCCAGACAUCGUCAAGUAUUAUGAGUAUCUUGCUGCUUUUACUCUCAGAAAACAUCAAGCGCAAUCGGUCUGCUCUCUCUUUUUCAUCUUUCUCAUUUAGUGCCCAGCCUAACGACUUUGCCAGCUCACCUUGAACCUUUAUUAUAUCUGGAUCCUGAGACACAGUGGCUAUCCCCACCUCAUCGAAAAUCUUUUCUUGUCGAAGUUGAUUGCCCACAAAGUUUGCCAAAGUCGUCUUUCCGACACCACCGAUACCAUACAAUCCCACCAUCGUCGUGCUAUCUCUUUUUAGUGCUUCAAUAAUCUGAUUGCCAGUCGAUUCUGUGGUCCCGAAAGACAUAAAAUGUCUUGGCAUAUGCAAUUCUUUGUCUGAUGGUAGAGGUUUAGGAAGGGCAACUGCGCUGAAUUUGCAACGAUGUUGCAGUUCGGACAACUUGCUACUCUUCUUUGAUGCUUGUCUACCCAGCCAAUAUUGCCAACCCCAAUUAGGACACCAUCCAUUAAGACAGCUCUUCUUUUCAUCUAUCUUUGCUUUCAAAUUUCGAACAUCGGCCAUUUCUUUGUCCACAUCCUUCAGCCACUUCUCCACAUCUUUCUCGAUUACAAUGGCUCGGUGUAUUUGUCGCUCUUGUUUUACUUUUUCAUUGAUGCCAUCUUGUGCCUCCUUCAAAUUAGUUUCUUUAUCCUCAAGUUCUUUAAUAACGCUGUUGAAACAGAGCAGAUAACGAGCUUGGUUCAUGGUUGCAUCCACCAGCAAUUCUCCAAGCCUUGAUGCAACACCUGACAAAAGUUCCAUGCUAUUUAUCUGCAAUUAAUAAAGUUGAUCUCAGUAAGCUAUAAGCAAAACAAUGAGGCUUGAUCACAAGAUUGAACGAGAAAGUUUAAUUACCUUUUUCUAUUCUGUGAAUGCACGUUUAUUGACACUAGCUUUGACUAGGGAUGGCAAUGGGGCAGAUAUGGGUUGGAUCUACUCUGCUCCAGAUCCAAAUCCAUAAUAAAAAUUAAGAUCCAUAUCUGCUCCAGAUCCGUCAUGAAUCCAUAUUUUUCGCUCCAUAUCCAGAUCCAAAAAAGAAAUAAAUAUCUAUAUCUGCUCCAAAUCCGAAAAAAAAAUAAAAAUCCAAAUCUGCUCUAGAUCUGUCGUGAAUUCUAAAAUUCAUUAAUAAAAAAGUAAUAAUUUUUUAGAUUGAAAAUUGAAGGGUAAAAUGUAUUGAUAACAAAUAAAUUAUAUAAUUUUUCUCAAAAAUAUAAUAAAUAUUGUAGCUUAUACUUUUACACCAAAACAACAAAUAAGUAAUUGCAAGAGUAAGAUCAAUCUAAUAUUCUAUUGUUUCCUUCAUCAUUUAAAUAUCCACGAUACACCUAUCUUCAUUCCUACAACAUUAGAUAAUGACAUAUAAAUUAAAUAUGAUUUAUAUUCAGUCCUUUAUUAUUUUUAUUAUGACCAUAUUUGACUAAAUAUAUGAAUAACUAUAUUCCUUAAAAAUUAUUUGGCCAAUAUAAUAAAAUAAAUUGCCAGGUUAUUUUACUUGGUUUGCAAUUUGAAUAUUGCAUGUACAUGCUUUGGGGCUGGCUGACCUUUAAAUUUACAAAACUAACCUUUAAGUUUUAAGAGUUUAAAUGCAUGGUAAAUACUACUAAUAUGUUAUGAAUAAAAUUUAUUAUCAUUAUAAUUUCACAAUUGUUAAGAAACUUUUAAAAUAAAAUAAAAUUAAAAGAUGAGUGGAUAUGGAUAUGGAUUUAGAUAUUAAGAUAGAUCCAUAUCUGCUCCAGAUCCGUCUUAGAUCCGCACAUCGAUAUCCAAAUCCGAUCCAAAUCCAUUUUAAACCGAUCCAAAUCCGAUCCGAUUGGAUUUGGAUCACGUGGAUCUUGGAUCAGAUCCAAUCCAUUGCCAUCCUUAGCUUUGACCAGUAAGAGCAAAAUGCAAACGCCGAGCUUUAAGUAGCCUUUAGCUGCAAAACAAAAGAGAAGAAAUAAGGUAAUUUAUUAUUAUUAUUAUUUUUAAGGACGGAUAAAGGGUAGCUAGCUUGCAGACAAAUUUAAUAAAAUCAAGACAAACCUAAGAGUUUUCCUAAUUUGUUCAAACAUGGAAUAAGCGUUUCACAACAGUAUAUCCAUAAAGGCCCCAGCGAACGUAAUAUGUGCUGGACUAUAUUGAAAUUAGAUUAUUUUAGAAAAUUUUAAAUAAAAAAUAUCAAACAACAAAGAAAUCUAAUAGAAUCUGGAUAAACAGCAUGGGAGAAUAUGGUAAAAUUGAUCAACUUGGUUCAAAAAUUACAAUUCUUUUUGAGAUUUGAACCAACGAUUUUGACUAAGGUCUCCUAAGCCACAAAGCAUAACUCUUACUACUAAAUUACACGCAUUUUGUUACAUUUAAAUGUGGUCAUAUUCUUUUUAUUAUCUUUUUUUAGAAGGGACUCAUGGUAUACUUAAAAGAAAUAAUAAUGAUUUAGAUGGGGCUGAAGCCCACUCAUGAAAAAAUUUAAAGGUUUUCAAGAUAAUUAACGAUUUUUUUCCAUCCAAUAUUCUAAUAGAAUGGUGCCAGAAUUCUCAAAUAAUAUCUUAAUAUUAUUCAACUAGUUGGCACCCACCUAUUGGAUGAUUAAUUUAAUAAUUUGUUAAAUUAUUUAAUACUCCAUCUCACUAUCUAAUGAUGUAAAUGGUGGAGAAGGAUCGUCUCCUAGACUUUUUUCUCUCACUAAUCUCUUAGUGAAAUAAGUGGCCGAAAUUGAAUUUUAAUUUUUGAUAUUGACAAUUAAAUUGGCUUGUUUCACAUUAUUAACAAUUAAGCCAACUUUUUUUUUCUCAUUUUUUCAAUUAGAUUUGGAAGGCUAUAAGAGAGUAGGAGAGAAAAAACACUAGAAGGAGAUCUUAAUCCAUAAAUAGUACCUUAUUUGGGAUGGUAAAGAUCGAGAUAAAUUUCCUCUUAGUCUCUAAAGUUUUGGCCUAUGCGCAGCCAUAAUUUUAGUAUUUUUAAAAAGAAUGGGAUUAGUUACAUUCUAAAAUUUAUUUUGAAUACUCUUUUACUCAACACACUCAUUCAAUAAAUAAAUUUUAAAAAAAAUAAUUUUUACUUUACACACUAUUUCAAUUGUCAAAACUAUCCUUCAUUAGGACCAUUUCAUUAACUAAUUAUUUUCUAUUGACACCCAUAAAAUAUUCAUCAUUCUUGAACCAUGUGGCGUUAAUUAAUGAUUCCGAAGCAUUAUCAAGAUUCAAGAUUUAUGUUGAAAUUCUUUCAUCAGACAUUUGAACCCAGCCACUAGCUAUAUACAUAUAUACUUUCAAAUGCAGCUCUGGGAAUAUUUUGUGACUGAUUUAUAAAGUGUUUUAGUUACAUUAAUGCAGUGAAACAAUAAAGAGUACGUGGCUUUGCUGAUUUCCAAAUCAAGUUGGGGAAAAAACAGAGCAUUUUUCUUUUAUAAUGGAUUAGAUUAGACGAUGAAGGAAAAAUUAUUAGCGAUAAUUAGUACUUUUGUGUGUGUUUAGAGUAAUAAUAUUAUUUUAAAUUAUAUUAAUGCCUUUGGUAGUGAAUUCAAUUAGGGUUAUUUUAGUAAUAUAAAUUUUCAUUAAAAUUAAAGUGUCCAAAUUAUAAUUUAGAUUUUUCAAAUGUAAAAUAAUAUUUUUUUAUCUGAUAUAAAUUAAAAUUCAAACAAAUGUAUCAUGCAACAAAUGAAAAGUAAAGAAUAUUAAUUAGGUUUUAAUAGAAACAAAUAUAAAUAGAUGUUUUGAGUAGUUAAUUUUUGUUAUUUUAUGCUAUUGGUAGUUUGUGGAUUAAAUAAUUUGUAUAAGGAUAAAUGGGGGUUUGUAUAAUUUAUACGAAGAUAAUCUCCAGAUAAUCUCCAAAAUAAGCUUAUAUGUCGAAUUUAAAAGUGUUAUAUAAGUAGUAAUCGUAUAUGCAUCAAAAUUUUUAAUAAAAUUUAUUUAGAAAUUGGCCAAUUGGGUUUUAUGAAGAAAAUAGACGGGCAAGUAAUUAUGUAACAAGUAAUUUGUAGGUUGUGGUACUUCUCCAUACUUCAAAUCACUUUUAUCUAAUCAAUUGAUAAAUAUUUUUUGGGCUCCAAUAAAAUGAAAAGAAAAAGUUAAAAAUAAUUCUGAAAUUAAAAACGUUAGGUACUGCCUAUAAGCUAUACAAUUUUACCUUUUCUUCUAUCACAAUUAGUAUUAGAAAUAAAAAUAGUUUCCAAAUAAAUGUAAUUAGGAGGUAAUAUUAUCUCAACAAUACCUUAUAGGGAAAAAGACAUCUACAUCCUAAAGUUCGGAGAAAUGGUCGUAAAGACCCCAGGUUUUCAGAAAGGGAUAUCAAAACCCUUUUUUGACCGUAAUACCCUUUAAAUCUAGUAAUUAGAAAAUUGUCUUUAAGAUUUUUUAAUUGACAAAUUUAAUAUAAAUAAUAUAAUCUAUCUAGUAGAUUAAUAAUAUUAACAAUAAAAAUAAUAUUAAAAUUUAAAUUCUUAUAUUUAUUUUAAUAAUAUAUUUUUAUUUAUUAUAAAGAUUUUAAAUAAAUCCUUGGGUUAAAUAGGUUUUCUAGUUAACAAAAUAUACCCCUAUUAAUAAUAUUGAAAUUACUUUCUACAUAAUAUUUAAAAUAAUUAUAAUUUAUUUAUUUUAAUAUUAUGUUUCUAUUUAUUAUUAAAAAUUACUUUAUUAGAGUAAAUUUUUAUUAAUUAAAGCUUUAAAAUCAAUUUUCUAAUUACUAAAUUAAAAGGGGAUUAUGGUCAAAAGGGGUCUUUCCUUUUUGAAAACUUAGGGUUUUUGCGACCAUCUCCCCAAACUUUGGAAUAUAGGUGUCCUUUUCCUGACUUCAUAUAAAGAUAUUCCAUAAGGUCUUAUAAUAACUUAUAUUAUAUGAAUUUAAUUAAAAGAUCAUUAAUACUUAAAUAAUAAUAAUUAUAGAAGACAUUGUAAUAAAUUAUUUGAUAUAUAUUAUUAAUGAUACUAUAUGUAUGUGUAUAUAACUACAUGAUGGCUUGGAUAUAUAUUGUUAGUGGUAAUAAAUUUUUUAAAAAAAAUUAAACUAAUGAUUUCAUGUGAUUCAAUGGUGGAUAAUUUAAAAUCAUAAAAUAUUAUUUUGACUUUCAAUAUUAACCGUUAGACUGUGAGAAAUUAAUUGCUCAAUAUUUUUUGUUAAAGUUUUAAAUUAAAAUAUCCCAAACCAUUUGUUUUACUUAAAAUACAAAAAAUAUAUAAAGAAAAUUUCUCAUUAAUUUUCAUAUUUUUAUUAGAGGUAAUAUUUUAUGUAUCGUCACCAUUAAUUGCCAUCAUUAAAGUAGUGACUCUCGGUAAUAUAAAAUUUUAUAAUUAGUUAAUUGCAAUCAAAUGAUAUCAAUAAAAUAAUAUUUCAUGAUUCAUAAAUUAAAGCUAAUUAAGAAUAUAUGUUAGUUUUAACUUUUAUGAAAUCAACUAAGUGAUAUUAGAAAAUAAAAUGAAAAUAAACUAGUGAAACUUAAAUUUUAUAAGGUUUGAAUAAUUUUCUACUAUGUAAGAAUAUUAAUUGUGACAUAAACCAUAGUUUCAUGGUAUAUGUAUGCCAAAUGGGGUAACAAAUAAUAUAUACUUCAUGAUCAUGAUAGUAUAUAAAGUAGUGGAUAUUUUAAUAUAUAACAUAAAAUUCUUUAAGACAUAGGUGGUCAAUUAUAUAUUUUUUAGGAUAUAGACAAUCUCAAUCAAGAGUUUAUUGAUGUGAAUAGAUGGCAUUCUCUUAAAUGUAUGUACUUAAUUGUGUUGUUUAUUGGUAUUAGAUACUCACUUAAAUGUAUAUACUUAAUUUUGUUGUUUAUUGGUAUUACAUGUAACAAAAUUUUAUAUUAAAUUUUGAAGUUUUAUAUUGUUGUUUCUAUUGAAUUUAUAAAUACAAUAAAAUUAUGGCCAUCAACAAUCACAACCAACUGCCACCAACAAUUAGAUUCUCAUAUCUGUUGACGACAAUUUUUUAUACUAUUGGAACUCCAAUCUUUGAUGCUACACAAUAGUUAAAGUACCGACAUCAAUAGAAUUUCCGUUCAUUGUAGAUCUAUAGUCAAAGUUUCGAAUCUUAAAAAUUUGACAGCAGAUUUAUGUCAAAUGAAAGCUUGUUACCAGUGAUUCUUAUACAAUUAUGUUGUUAUAGUAAUAAGGAUUCUAAUGGUACUAAAAUGCACUCCAUUAGACAUAAAGAUCCGACGACUAGUGGCGACAAUAACUAUCAUUAGUGACUUGGAGGUAAUUGCUGUUAAUAAAUUAUUUUUUAACUUAAUAAUUAAUACAAACAAAUAAAAAAGUAAUUUAAUGAAAAUUAAUGUAAUAAAUAAUUGAAUUAAAAAAAUUAAAACCUAAAUUCUCGACCAUUUAUCCGUAUGUUUCAAAUCCAACGUUCAAAAUUGGAAUAAAACAUAGUAUAGCCAUUGGAAGUAAAACAAACAUUAAAGAGACUAGGAAAAAAAUAUCUCAUACCUUCUAUAAUGAUACAUCCUCAAUCACUGCAGAAAGCUCCAAUUAAAAAGUCGCACAAGUUCGGAGAAAAUUACCUAACAACACAAAUAAACAUCAAAUCAAAGCAACAUAGGAUCCAGCUAAUUAACAUCAUAAGUAAGUCCUUGUUCUCAGUCAAAUGUUGCAUUCUUAGGAUAAAAUAAAAAAAAAAUUGAAAGAAUAACGGUAACUAGAAAGUUUGACGACAUAAAGAUCUAGCUAAAUUUUAAGAAGCAAAAGUAAAUAAUGAAAGCUCAAUAAAAGAUCAUCAGCAUUAACAUACCGAAAUGAGAGCAGCUCACAGAACUGGUAAUUUCCAAGAACGGGAAAAAUAAGUGAGCUGAUAUUGAGGACAACUAAAGUAGUCAUGGAGUAAUUUGCUAUUGAGGACACCUAAAAUAAGAAAAUUAAUUAACAUUGCUCUAUACACCAUUUCAAUAAUUUGACUAUUAAAAAAAAAAUCUAUCUAGAUCACGAUUUCUCAAAAUGAUACUUUUUCUAAUUAAAUAAAUCAAAAUGCUUGCUUCUUUCUUUUUCAGAAAAGAAAAAGUGGCAAUGGCAUCAAUUUUUUUGCUAGAUUAUUAUCACCAAAAGCACAAGCAAGGAAUAAGAAUACUCUCUGAAACCAACCAUGUAAAGAGUAGAAGUAAGUGGUCAAUUGUAAAUUAGUCUUUCUUUUUUCUUUGUUAUUUUUUCAUUUUUUGAAUGUGAACUAAAUAAAUUUAAGGGUGAAGCUAUUACACCUUGAAAACUAUAACUGAACACCCAUUUUUUUAAUUAAAUUUUUAUUACUAAAAUAACCAUGGAGUAAUUUGCUACUAAGGAAAACUAGAAUAAUAAAAUGAAUAAUGAUUGCUCUAUACACCCUUUUCUAAGUCUAUCUUCUUCUUAAUUUCAUAAUUUGGCUGUCAAAAAGUAAUCUAUCUAGAUCACGAUUUCUCAAAAUGAUGCUUUUUCUAUCUAAAUAAAUGAAAAUGCUUGUUUCUUUCUUUCUCGAAAAGAAAAAGUGGCAAUGGCAUCAAUUUUUGCUUGCAAGCACAGCGAGGAAUCAGUAUAAUCUCGGAAACUAACCAUAUUAAGAGUAGAAAUAUUUAUUUGGUUAUCACGAAGUAAGUUAGAAAUCAAUUAUAAAUGGUCUUUUUUUAUUUUUUAAUGUGAACUAUAUAAAUUUAAGGUGAGGUUAUUUACACUUUGAAAAACAUUCUGAAAACCAUUAUUUCAUUAAAUUUUUUAUUAUUAAAGGUCCGUUUGGGGCAGCUACGUUGAAGCAGCGCAGCUGCCCCAAACGCUCUCUAAAAUAGCCAUGGAGUAAUUUCUUACUGAGGAAAACUAGAAUAAUAAAAUCAAUUAUCAUUCUUCCAUGAACCCGUUUCUAGAUGUAUCUUCUUCUUGAUUUGGUAACUUGGCUGUCAAAAAGAAAUCUAUCUAGCUCACGAUUCCUCAAAAUGAUGCUUUUUCGGAUGAAAUAAAUGAAAUUGAACCUACGUACAAUCUGUCACAAACACGUUAUAAUGAGCCUAAUGAAAAGCAGUAUGAGAAAUUUUGCUUCCAUGUUGUUUCUUCCAUAUGUAAAGGUAGUAAAAAGAAAUUUAAGUCCUAGAAACAAAUGGAUGAAGAAUUAUCAAUAAUUAAAAUUAAAAAAAGAAACAGAGUUAUAAAAGAAUCACAGUUCCACCAAAAAUUAAGAGUUAUUUUAUUUGGUGGUUUCCUAUCCCGAAAGCAUUACUUGUAAAUAUGUGCUAACAAGUAAUAAUUAAGAAAGUUAAGGCCAAUCAUUUAGAAGGGAGAAAAAUGGAAACAUCCGGAAUAUUGUUAUGUGUUUUCAGUGCGUAUCUACCAAUCAAUAAUGAAAAAUUAAAUACGCAUGUGACGAAAAUUUAAUAAAGAGAACUGGAGGUGACAAAAUUUUUAUUAUUCUAUCUUUCUCUCCUCUGAAACUUCCUUAAUUUGGUUGGGAAGUGCUUUGUCUUAGGCAGUGGAUCUGUUAUAAAUACCCUAUGCUAAAGUUAAUAUUUUGAUUGAAGAAAAAAAUAGAGGAGAAAAAUUUUAUUAAAGUAUAACAUAAUUUGAUAAAUUUAGAAUUGAGGAGAGAAAAUGAGUCUAAAUUCGAAAAUUUUGGCACUAUUUACAUAUCAUUAUUUGGGCAAAAAUUCAUUUCUCUGCUUUCAUAUGAUUUGGUCUUUCAUUGUUACGGUGCCAAUUUUUUAUUUAAAGAUGUAAGAUAGUGGUACUAUAGCUUAGAUUUUCCGUAAUUACUACAUGGUAAGUACAAAAUAAAAUACUAGUUUAAAAUAUAAAAAUGAAAAACUAUUUUUAUAACCAAUAUUCAAUUAAAUACACUUGAAACUCUAUUUUUUCUUAAUAAAAAAAUUCUAAUUUAUUUUCUCAAUUUAUCUAAACAACUUUACCUAAUCAAGCUAAAUCUACAUAUUACCCUAAACCUUAAUUCAUAAACACCCAAUCAAUCCAAUUGUUAAAUCCGAUUUCAUAAUUAAAAAAGCUAAAUUCUAUUUUAUUAUUUAUGGUGCAAAGUAAAAAAUGCCCUUGAAGUUAAGGGUAAAAUUGAUAUUUUAUUUAAAUUUUGUUAAUAUUCUAAUAAUGUUAAUGUCUUAGUGGUUAAUAAAAUCACAAAGUCAAACUUUUGUAGUAUUUUUUAUAAUAAGUUAAAGAUAUAUGUUUGAUAAUUUUCCUACGUCUUUUUACGUUAAAUUGAGUCUCAAGAGAAAAAUGAUUAAUUUGCUACAAUUCUGUCAGUUUUCUGAUGGAAGAUAAUGAUACAAUGAAUAAAUAAUACAAAUUAUUAAAUUGAUGUUGAUGAAUGAUACAACUUGAAAAUAUUGUAGUAUUCUUAAUAGUAGAGAAAUGUAAAGGUGGAUGGUUGAUAAUUUAAUGAAGUAACUACAGAAUUUUCCUUUCAAAUAUUUUUUUAAAAUAUAUAAUGAGUAAAAAUCAUUUUACAGAAUGAUCAUACGCAUUUUGUAUCACAAACGAAAACAUGAACCAACUAUGUAUAGAGUCAAUUAACUGAAGUUCUCAAGAGUUGACCUGUGCUCCUGAAUUCUUGGAAUCAUAUAUCUCCUUCUGAAUUUCCACGAAGCCUGGGACAAUUAUUAACAUAUACAAACUUGGCAGAUGGAAAUGGGAUCUGAUAACCCGUAGGCCAAAAGUUGGUGAGGUUUGGUAAAUCUGACAGUAUCAACUCCCCAAGUUCAUUCAUAACAAUUUCAUUGUACUCCGUGACGUCUGCUCCAUCUUUAUGCCAGAAUACUUCUUCUAAUUCAUCAUUACCUAUUAUCCAUAUGUACUUCAGUUUUUGAAGACUUGGAGCUACGCUGAUAUGAAAUAGAUGCUUUAGUUUGGGGCAAUAACCGACAGAGAUCCUUUUGAGUUUUGGGAAACAUACAGGUUGGAGAUGAUCCUCAUCCUCAUCCUCAUCAAUGAUUUGCUCUAAUUCGAAGCAAUUCCAAACAUAUAACGCCUCCAAUUGUAACAGAUUUCGAGCAAAUGUUGAUGAGAAGAGACGUCUCAGCAUAGUGCACCCGUCCACUGUUAAAUAGGUAAGACUUUGCAGGCCAAAAUUAUGCGUGGGACCUACGUGAUAUAAUACUUGCAGUUCUCGAAGGCUUUCCAACUGCACCUCCUUCAAACAUGGGAAUAGUUUGUUUUCUUGUCCCUCAGCGAUAAUAGCUUCCAAUUGAAAUACCACAUGUACUCCCAGUCGUCUAAUACCCAAUUCUUCCAAAUUUUUUAAGCCGUGCUUCAACAGUGCUGGAAUCGUGUCACUCAAAUGGGAACAAUUGUCCACAUAUAGAAUUUUUAAGUUCUGAGACAAAUAAAUAAAUAACUUGAUGCAAUUAAAAUUUAUUAGCAGCUAGGAUUAUCACAUGAUAAGUGAUGAACACCGCAAAAAACAAAAAACAGAAAACAAAAUCCAUACAAAAAUAUCAUAAUACAUAUGUAAACUAAUAAAAUAAUUAAAAACUAAUGGAUUUAAAAAAAAAAUGAAAUUAGGUAAAAGAGAUCAUGUGAAUUGAUAUAAACGUGACAUUAGAUUGUUUUAGAAAAAUUAUUAUUCUAUUAAUUUAUAUGGCUUGAUCAACUAUUUAAUUGAAUUUGAAUAAUAUUAUAUACACUUCAGAAGUAUUUGCAUCAAUUCUUUCUAAACCAAAAUGAGAUGUGAUUUUCAUUUGAAGAAUGAUUUUAGGUCUUAUAAUAAAGAAAUUUCUCCAAAAUAUCUGAGCAUUAUUAUUAUCACCACCACAUCCACCACCAUCAUCAUCUCCAUAGGAUCAAAAGUUUAAUGGCUGAUCAUAAAAUUUAUUGCUAAACUAUCAUUUUGAGUAAAAUUGAAUGAAAAGAAAAAACAUGAACCCAAACAAACAUACCUCUUUGAGAUACUGCAAAUUGGCUUCAAGUUCAUUACUGUUGAUGGUCAAGUUGGGACAGUUAUGAAGGUCUAAAUUUUCCAAUGCUGUCCAAAUUGAACAAUAAUUCUCUGAACAGAACUUGGUGAGUUCUGGGAGAUCUUUAAGUUUUAAUUUUCUCAACAAAGGGAGGGCGAGCAUCGUAUUUCCAUCUCCGACACUUAUUCCCCCUUCAUUGUGAUCAAACUUUGCUUCGACAAUAUAUUCCAGUCUCUCGCAAUAAGUCACAAUGAGACUUUUAAGCUGCUCCAAACUUCUAGCUUGUGACAACGUGAAGAUUGAAAAAUUGAAUCGAAAAUGCUGUUUGGUUACUAAGAAAACAGAGAGAAAUAUGAUGAAUAUACUGGAUUGUUUAUUAAUAAUAACAAAUGAGUAAAACUCCAGACUUUAUAUAGUUACAUAUUUUGUUAGUAAAAGCUAUAUCAACUAAUCUAUAUUACUCUGAAAUUUAACUAACUAAUCAGUAAGAGGUUAGCUAAUACUAACUAACUGCAACACACGUGAGCUCUCAUUGUUGUUUAACAGAAUCAGCUGACUCAGCAUUGUUGACGUGGCAUUGCUGAUGAACCUUAGCUUCUGACUUCCUCUCUUUUCUCAGUUCAGCACAAUGAGCUUUCUUCACAGCCCCUCUCAAACUCAAGGGGCAUAAAUGCACAUUAAGUUUGUCUCUCAGAUAGGUGAACUGAGUAGAGUUUAAAGGCUUAGUCAUUAUGUCUGCUAUCUGCUCUGCACUGGGAACAUAGAGAAUCUUAAGAUCUCCAGCUAGAACCUUAUCUCGGAUAAAAUGCAGAUCAAUUUCUAUGUGUUUUGUUCUUGAGUGAAACACUGGAUUAUAAGCAAGUUCUUUGGCACUCACAUUGUCACACCAUAUAACUGGUUUCUCCACACAACAUAAACCAAUCUCAAGAAAUAAGGAUUUUAACCAUGUUAUCUCUGAAACAGCUGCUGCAAGUGCUCUGUAUUCACUCUCUGCAGAAGAUUUUGUAACUACAGAUUGCUUCUUUGAGGACCAUGAGAUUAAAUUGUUCCCUAGAUACACACAAUAGGCACCAGUGGAUCUUCUGUCAUCAAGAUCACUUCCCCAAUCUGCAUCUGUAAAUGCUGUAACCUUCAACUCACCUUCUUUAACAAAUUUCAGCCCAUAGUCUUGUGUUUCCUUAAGAUAUCUAAGCACACGUUUACAAGCCAUAAGAUGUUGAAGUGUUGGUGAAGCUACAUACUGACUUAGCUUAUGAACAGAGUAGGCAAUCUCAGGUCUUGUCAAAACUAAAUACUGGAGGCCUCCUACUAUGCUUCUGUAAUGAGAUGGAUCUUCUAUGUAGUAACCCAUUUCUCCUUCAACACUCUUCUGCAAUCUGUAAUCUUUGCUGCUGCUCAUUGGUGUGUCUAUUCCUUUACACUCGAGCAUAUCAACUUUAGCCAGCAGAUCUCUAAUAUACUUCCUUUGUGAUAGAUAUACACUAUCAGUAUCAUACAAGACUUCUAUUCCAAGGAAGUAAGAUAGCUUUCCCAGAUCCUUUAAUGCAAAUGCAGAACUAAAUAGCUUGAUAAAAUCUUCCAGCUCAUCACCAUUUGAUCCUGUAAUCAAUAUAUCAUCUACAUAUAUCAGGAUUAAAAUAAUUGAUCUUUUAUUCUUCUUCAAGAACAAAGAUGAAUCAGACUUUGAGUUCUCAAAUCCCCAUUGCAUAAGACUGUUUCUCAGCUUGUCAAACCAUGCUCGUGGAGCUUGUUUCAAACCAUAGAGUGCCUUGUGAAGUUUGCACACAAAAUCAGGCCUUUUGGAAUCAAUAAACCCUUCUGGUUGACUCAUAUAUACCUCCUCAAUUAGAUCUCCAUUUAGGAAUGCAUUAUUUACAUCAACCUGUCUUAUUUGCCAUUGAUUCAUUACUGCUAAGCUUAGGACCACUCUAACUGUUGCUGCUUUCACCACUGGACUGAAAGUCUCAAAGUAGUUAACUCCUUCUAUCUGCUGAAAUCCUUUAGCAACCAACCUUGCCUUAUAUUUUGCAACACUUCCAUCAGUGUUUGAUUUUACUCGAAACACCCAUUUGUUACCAACAAGUUUGUGAUGUUCUGUUCUUGGCACAAGUGUCCAGGUACCAUUUGACAUCAGUGCAUCAUAUUCAGUCUUCAUUGCUUGAAACCAUCUCUCAUCAUUUAUAGCCUCCUGAGCAGUAUCUGGUUCUUUAUGCAACAAUACUGCAGUAUAUACCUUUGGUUUAAAGAUACCUGCUUUCCCUCUAGUGAUCAUAGGAUGUUGGUUUAAUGGUGGUGGGGUUAUCACUGUCUGAUUGAGAUGAGAGGUAUUAUUAUUGUGUUGGUUUUGGGAAAUUUCAUCUGAGGGCUGAUCUAAUAUUGUAUCAGGUACAGAAGGCAACACUGUAGGUGCAGAUGAAUUAUUUCUAUCUGUGUUUGAGGGUUGCUGAUCUGUUACCUGUGUUGAGACUACUGCUGGAGGGAAAAUGUUGCCACUGGAGUAUGCUUGAGAAAAAGAUUCAUUGCUGGUGACUGAAAGAUCUGAUAUGACAGGUAAUGUUGACAACUGAAAAACUUGAAUAGGAGUAAUUGUGCAAUAUGUAUCAGACUUAGAUUUAUCUGAAGGAUGAAAGCUAGGAUCUGAAGCAAAUGGAUAUGAGUAUUCAUCAAAAACAACAUGCCUAGCUAUAUAUAUAUGACCAGAGGGAUGAAAACACUUAUAACCUUUAUGAAAUGGGCUGUAACCAAGAAAGAUGCACUUGGUUGUGUGAUAGUCAAACUUAUGCUUAUUGUAAUCUCUCAGAUAUGGAUAACAAGCACAUCCAAAGCAUUUCAGCAUGGUAUAAUCAGCUUUGUGUUUGUAAAGUUUUUCAUAUGGAGUGGUCAUCUUAAGUGCAGAAGUAGGGAGUCUAUUAAUGUGAUAAACUGAGGCAUGAAAAGCAUCCCACCAGAAUUGAAAAGGGAGUUUGGCUUGAGCUAGAAGUGUCAAUCCUAAUUCUACAAUCUGUCUGUGUUUCCUCUCAACAAGGCCAUUUUGAUGGUGAGUGUAAGGGCAAGAAUGUCUAAAGAGAAUGCCACAUUCAUUUAGGAAGGCAGUGAAUGGCCUGUAUUCUCCCCCCCAGUCAGAUUGGAGAAUUUUGAUAGUUGUUUGAAAUUGAUUUUCAACUUGAAGUUUAAACAGUUUGAACACUUCUAGAGCUUCUGAUUUCAGUUUCAAAGGAUAAAUCCAGGUGUAUCUUGUAUAAUCAUCCACAAAGCUAAUGUAAUAUCUAAAACCAUCUCUAGAACAUGCUGGUGAGGGACCCCAUAAAUCAGUAUGAACAAGUUCUAGUGCUGAUUUGGAUUUUAUAUCUGUAAUUGGAAAGUGGAGUCUGUGAAAUUUUCCCAGCUGACAUGCUUCACAGAAAUGCUUUGUUGCUUGAUUAACAAUAUUUGUAGAGCACAAAUUAGGAUGCACAAGCUUAAGUAAAUGAAUUAGACUUUGAGUAUUAGGAUGACCAAAUCUUUUGUGAAACAAAGACAUUUUAUUGAAUGAAUCAGUGCUACAAGUGUUCUUAUUGGACUGAGAAUAUUUUCCAGAACAAUGACUAUUGACUGAAGUGCUGAAAUGACACUGAGAUAGCAUAGAUACAGGCUUAUUUAUUGAACUCUGGGAUAGAAAAGAUGUAUAUGUAGGUUGUGGUGAUGAACUCAGCUGCGAUUUGUAUAAACCUUUCUCAGCAAUACCAAGUAGCAGAAUUUUCCCUUUCAGUAUAUCCUUCACAAAGCAAACAGAACCAAGAAAUUCAACAGAUAAGUCAUUAUCAGUGGUGAGUUUAGAAACACUUAUUAGGUUCUUUGUAAUAGAUGGAACAAGCAGUAUAUCUUUAAGUGCAAUGCAUGUACUAGCAGAUUGUGUUUUAGAGCUUUGAACUUUAAAAUUGGCAUUACCAACAUGUGUGAUUGACAGACCUUUACCAUCACCAAUGAUAAGCUUGUCAUUACCUCUGAACUCACUGCUGACAUGCAUAUUUGCCAUAUCAUUUGUCAGAUGGUGUGUAGCUCCACUGUCAAGAUACCAUCCUUCAUCUGCUGGUCCUUCAAAGUUAGCAGCAUAAGCAGCUCCAGCUCCAGCCACAGGCAAGCUCAUUGAAUCAGAUAUGUAUGAAGAACAUGGUGAUUAUACAUGUGAGGUAUUCCUGAAUAAGCAGCUGUAGCAGGCCAUGAAUCUUCAGAAGGUGCAGUAAGGUAUGUCAUAUAGGCUGAUCUCUGAUUUCUUCCUCUUUUCAUGUGUUGAGGCAUAUAGUUUUCUUCAAACCUAUGCCAACAUUCAGCUGCUGUGUGUCCAGUUUUAAAGCAGAUUUGACAAACAACAGAUUGUUCAUCACUACCAUCAGGAUUUGACAAACCAGAGUUAAUACUAUAUUGUCCUCUCAUGAAUUGUGUCUGCUUAUUGUUGUUUCCAAUCAUUUGACCUCUACCAAGAUUAUUACCAAAAUUUCCAGAUCCAGAAGGAAAUCCUCUUGGAUGAGAAUUGAUAAACAUUCCCCUUCCAGUAUGAAAAUUAUUCCUUCCAAAUUGAUUUCCACCAUGAAAUCCUCCAUUAUAUCCACCUCUUCGAGCAUUACCUCUUGUUUGAGCAUAAUAAGUAUUCAUCAUACCAUAGCUAUUGUUAUUAUGAGAAACAUUAGCAAGAUUUGCAUUGAGCAUCUGUUUUUCAUUUAGACUCUGUUCUAAUCUUGUUUCAUGUGUCAAUAGCAAUGCAUAUGAAUCAUCAAAAUCCAGCUUACUUGCAGUAAUGAAAGUUGCUAAAUCUAGAUAGCCUGGUCCAAGACCAUUAAGAAUCUGUUGUAACAGAUCUUUAUCAGAAACUGGACUACCAGCACAGGUUAAUUUGUCAGCUAUUUGUUUCAUUUUCAAACAAUAAUCCUCUAUAUUUAGCGAAUCUUUUCUCAAAACACUCAUCUCAUAUUUGAGUUGAAGAACUCUACCUUCUGAUUUUGCACCAAACUUUUUCUCCAAAGUUUUCCACACAUCAUAUGCAGUAUUACAAGAAUGAACAUGACUGAGAAUACCUUCAGUAAUUGAGCUUAAUAGCCAGCUUAGUAAUGUCUGAUCCUGUGAUCUCCAGAUCGUGUAUUCUGGAUUUUCAACUUGUUGUGAAACUCUUCCCAUUGUUUCAGCAUAGCUUCCAGAAGUAAGAAACUGAGUAGGUGCUGCUUUUUCUCCAUUGAUAUAGCCUUCGAGUCUGUUUCCUCUUAUGGAAGCUAAUACUUGAUUUCGCCAGAGCAUAUAAUUGGAUCUAUCCAAUUUGAUUGGCGUAAUAAAUGAAAAGGUAGUUUGUAUUGAUUGAUUCAUGUUUGUUGCGUUUGGAUUUGUGUUUAAAUUGCUUGAGCUUGCCAUAUUUCUGGCUCUGAUACCAUGAAAAAUUGAAUCGAAAAUGCUGUUUGGUUACUAAGAAAACAGAGAGAAAUAUGAUGAAUAUACUGGAUUGUUUAUUAAUAAUAACAAAUGAGUAAAACUCCAGACUUUAUAUAGUUACAUAUUUUGUUAGUAAAAGCUAUAUCAACUAAUCUAUAUUACUCUGAAAUUUAACUAACUAAUCAGUAAGAGGUUAGCUAAUACUAACUAACUGCAACACACGUGAGCUCUCAUUGUUGUUUAACAGAAUCAGCUGACUCAGCAUUGUUGACGUGGCAUUGCUGAUGAACCUUAGCUUCUGACUUCCUCUCUUUUCUCAGUUCAGCACAAUGAGCUUUCUUCACAAAGAUGUAUGUCAACUUGUUGCACAUAUGCACAUUCAAUUCUGUAAGAGUUUGGAGACUGAUCGCAUGUUGGGCGGGCGCCUUCCAUAUCCACUUCAGUUCUGGUAAUUGCAACAUAAAUAACUCUGCUAAUCUUGCGAGACUCUUCCCAUGCGGCGACUUAGAGGCAUCCAUUAUGCAUUCUAAAUCUUUGCAAUCGCGGACAUCAAGACAAGUCAACUCAUUUAAGCCCCUUUCAUCUAUGCUUGGCACAAUAUUGUGACAACCUAUAAUCCCACUCAAAUAAAGAAUUUCCAGUUCUUGAUACAAUGCCGAAAAAAUAACGAGCGAGGUCGCUUCAGGAGGGUAAUUAUUAAUUAUUAAGCUCUUUCUCUGACUAACAUAUUUCAUUUUAUCAACAACUCCUUCAACUUUAUAGAUGAUGUACCUUUGCAAUUUCGGGAAUGUAAAGUCUUUUGGAAGACAUACAACAGAUCCGUCGGCUUGGGAGUUCAACUCAGCAAGCCUAGCAUUACUUUCUUCUGAACUCAUCCCUUCAACCUCCCAAUUUUUUAUCCAACCAUAAAAUUCUUCCAAUUGAGGAAAUUUUUUUAUCGUAAUGGGAGAAACAGAACCGGUAUCAAUAAAUAGAAGUUUCAAUCUACGAAGUUCAUCCGACAAUUCUUCAGGAAUUUCAAUGGGAGAAUCCUCGAGAUAAAGAAGUUCAAGUCUCUUCAACUUUCCAAGAAAAGAUGCGUCACUCACAUCACAUCCAAUCAGCUGCAGAACUCGGAGGCUGCUGGCGAGGAAUCGAAGCGAUUUUAGUGAAAGGACUCCAUCUUUUAUAGUAACAACUUUCAAUGCUGGCAUCCCUUCAAAAAAAUGUUCUGGAACUUGAAAUUUGUAGUCACAUAGAGUAUUGUCCAAUCGCAAAAUAUGAAGGUUAGGGCAUACCAAACCACUAGGAAGCUCUUCUUCUUUAUUUCCCAUUACAAAGAUUCCUCUGUAUUGUUCCAGGCCUUCUUCCAUUGCCCAUUCUGCCAAUCCAAUGCCAACUUUACCAAAAAAUUUCUUCUCCACUAGUACUUCUGACCCUAUCCAUAUGGCUACAUCACGAACUAUGUCAUGCAUUUUCACAGAUCUGUCACUACCAGUGUCUAACAGCAGUGAAGCAGCUUUGAGUCCUUCAAUUGUUCCACGCAGUAGGCUUCUGGCGUGCUCUAUUGAUUCAGCUUGAUACCAGGUCAGCCCCACUACAUAUCGAACCAAAACCUCCAAAUUAAUCUCAUAAUCUUCUGGAAACAGUGAACACAACAAGAAGCAUAACUUGGAAUUGUCAUCAUUCAAAUUGUCGUAACUAAAUUUGAGACAACCGUAAACGUCUAGGUUCUCCUCAUCAAUACCUUCUAUUGCAUAGAGUUUUGCAGCCUUUAGGUUAUGUAGAGCCAGGUUCCAUUCAUUAAAUCUUUUUCCUCUUAGUGCACUUCCAACAGCUUCAAUAGCUAAAGGCAGCCCCUUACAUUCUCCAGCAACUUCUUUGGAAACAUCAUUCAACGUGGAGUCAUUUACAUCAAUGCCGGCAUUUUGUCGCAGUAAAGCCAAUCCUUCUUCUGGCGUUAGUGUACUAAGUGGAAUCUGUGUGUCACAACCCAAAGAAUCAAAAACUGACUUUUUGCGAGUGGUUAGAAGGAUUUUGCAACAAUUAUCUCUACCACCGACGGGAAUACCUAAUUUUUUCUCCGAGUCGAGUUGUUUCCAAAUAUCAUCAAGGAUUACGAGGAUUUUGCUGCUUUUACUCUCAGAAAACAUCAAGCGCAAUCGGUCUGCUCUCUCUUUUUCAUCUUUCUCAUUUAGUGCCCAGCCUAACGACUUUGCCAGCUCACCUUGAACCUUUAUUAUAUCUGGAUCCUGAGACACAGUGGCUAUCCCCACCUUAUCGAAAAUCUUUUGUUGCCGAAGUUGAUUGCCCACAGAUUUUGCCAAGGUCGUCUUUCCUACACCGCCGAGACCAUGCAAUCCCACCAUCUUUGUGCUGUCUUUUUUCAGUGCUUCAGUGAUCUGAUUACAAGCCGAUUCUGUAGUCUCGAAAGAAGAAAAAAAUCUUGGAAUAGGCAUUUCUGUGUCUGAUGGUAGAGGUUUAGGAAGGGCAACUGUGCUGAAUUUUCCGCGGUCUUGUAGAUCGGACGACUUGAGAGUCUCCUUUGAUGCUUUUCUACCCAUCCAAUAUCGGAAACCCCAAUUAGGACACCAUCCAUUAAAACAACUCUUCUUUUCAUCUAUCUCUGCUUUCAAAUUUCGGACAUCGGCCAUUUCUUCGACUACAUCCGCCAGCCACUUCUCUACAUCUUUCUCAACUACUACAGCGCAAUGUUUUUGUCGUUCUUCUUCUACUUUUUUGUUGAUGCCAUCUUGUGCCUCCUUCAAAUUAGUUUCUUUAUCCUCAAGUUCUUUAACAAUGCUGUUGAAACAGAACAGAUAGCGAGCUUGUUUUACGGUAGCAUCCACCAAUAAUUCUACAAGCUUUGAUCCAAUACCUGAUAAAAUUUCCAUGCUAUUUAUCUGCAAUUGACAAAGUUGAUCUCAGUACACUAUAAGCAAAACAACAAGGCUUGAUCACAAGAUCGAACGAUAAUGUUUAAUUACUUUUUUAUUGAAUGUUUAAUUACUUUCUUUUAUUAUAUGAAUGCACGUUUAUUAACGCCAGCUUUGAUCAAUAAGAGCAAAAUGCAAACGCCAGGCUUUAAGUAGCCUUUAGCUGCAAACAAAAGAGAAGAAAUAAGGCAAACGUGAUAGAUGGUGGAUUAUAUUGAAAUUAGAUUACUUUAGAAAUUUUUAAAUAAAAAUAUCAAACAACAAAUUUAAUAAUAGAAUCUAGAUAAAUCGAAGAGUUUGUUGUGCAUUGCGAGUGAAGACAGGCAGUUACAUGGGGGAAUCUUGUAAGAGUGAUGAAAAUUAAAAAGCCAUCCAUAAUUGAAGUUAAAAAGAGUAUUAGAGAUUAGAGGGGUUCAACAUCUUAUGCAAGCUCACUCAUGAUAAAAUUUGAAGAUAAUUAUCCCAUUUUUACUUCAAUCAAUAUUCUAAUACAAUAAUUCCAUAAAUCUCAAAUAAUAUCUUAAGAUUUUUUUUUUUCCUCAAAAUUACCAUUAAAAGUAAAACAAACAUGAAGCUAAGAGCCUAUGAAACAAUAAUAUCUCAUACCUUCUUUCUCAUAGAUCCUCAAUUACCCCUGAAAGCUCCGGUUAGAGAGUCGCACAAGCUCGGAGAAAAUUAAAAGCUGCAUCCAGCAAUAUAAAUAAACAUCAGAUCAAAACAACAAAGCAUAUAUCUAGCUAACUAAACAUCAUCUAUAACUCCUCGUUCUCAGUCAAAUCUUUCAUUCUUAGGAGAUAAAAAAAAGAUUGAAAUAAUAACUGUAACUGAUAUAGGAAGCAAAAGUAACAUACCAAAACGAGAGCGGCUAGCUCACAGAUCUGGUGACUUCCAAGAGCAUGAAAAAUGAUUGAGGUUUAAUAGCAAGUUCACAGAUGACAGAUGUGGUGACUUCAAGAGCAUGAAAAAUGAUAAAACUUUGGUAGAAAGGUCUGAGCCGUGUUUCACAAGUUGCUAUUGACUUCGUGGCUUCGCUUUUAUUUAUUAUUAUUAUUUUUUUUUUAAAUUCUAUAUCAGUGAGAAUUGAAAUGUGGAAAGUGAAAUGAUACACAUGCCUUAUCAUCUAUCAUGAGGGGUGAUUUGGUAAAACCGAUUUAAAAUAAAAAAAAGUUUAAAAAGAUGCUUUGUGUCUGACUGCUUGUAUUUGGGGUAUUUUUCGGGUUGUUGAGAGUGAGUUUAAUUAAAUAUAAGAUUUUCAUUUUUCUUAUUAUAUUUUUCUCUUUAGAAUGAAUUUAAAUCUCAUUCUUAUUAAAUCCAUUUUUUUAAAUGAAAGUAGAUUUCUCUCCACACAUUUGAGAUAUAUUUUAAAAUUAAUGUUCAGUAUAUCUCUAAAUUAUAUUAUAAAUAUUUUUAUUUAAAAUCUCAACAGAUUUCAUAACGUACAAAAAGAAAUACAUAUAUAUGUUGUAAUGUUUUAAUGAUGGAUCUCCAAAGUUAUCAAGUUAAAAAAUAAAUUAAAAAAUAAAAAAUACACACUUCAACUUAUUAUAUGAUAAAAUAUAAUAAAUUAAAGUGAGUAUUAUAUUUAUUUUUUAUUUUAUCUCUUAACUUAAUAACCUAAAAUAUAUUUAUUUAAUAAUGAUUAUAUAUAUAUCUAUAUAAUUUUUUUAAAAAAUAAACAAUUUAAGUGAAGCAAAGGACAUUUUAGAGGCAUUGCGAGACUACCAAUUUACCAUUUUGGGUUGCAAUAAAGUGAAAACUGUAGACUACCAAUCUACCAUUUUAUUGAAUCGGGUCCCGCUGACUUGGAGCUUAUGUAAAGUUACAUUCAUAACAAAUUAAUGAUGUCGUUGUAUAUUAUUCAUGUUGAAUUAUCAAUUGUUGGAUUAUGAUUGAAUUUUAUUUGAUAUUAUUGGGCAAAUUAUUGAAUUUUAUUUUAAAUUAAAUAAAAAUAAAAAAUUAAAUUUUAUUUGUAGAUUUAUGAGAUUAUUGUAUGUUAUUCAUUUUGGAUUGUUAAUUGUUGAAUUAUGAUUAAAUUUUAUUUGAUAUUAUUAGGUAAAUUAUUAAACUUUUAAAUUAUAUAUUAAAUUAUUUAAUUUUAAUUUUUGCGGAUCUGAAUAUUCAGAAUAUCCGCCUGCAUCGGUUACGGAUAAUACCCGCAUCUGGAUCCACAUCUUUUUCUACGAAUCCAAAUAUAGAAAUAUGAAUGCGGAUCUAAAUUCGGAUUUUGCUGACCCUAAACUUAAGAAUGAAUGUGCCUAAAGUUUUUACAACGAACAUGGAUCAUUCAAUGACAUGACAUGUUUUGCAGCUUUCAUUAGUAUAAUUGAAUAAUUAAUUCAUCUCUAUAUUCAGCUUACACCGUCUCAAAUUACAUGCAAAUACGAAAGUACACUUCUGAAUCGUUCACUUGAGGAAAAUUAAUUUUAACUCAAUAAGUCGUAAUUCUCCACGUAGAAUUUUAAUUCAAACCAUAGCAAAUUAGACAUAAUUCUAAUUUAUAUGGGAAAUAUAAUUAGCGAAGACACUCUUUAUAUAAACAUUAUUGUCAUAGGAUGCCAAACCUAAUAAGAUUCAAGGUCUUAACAUACUUCAUAUGAAAUUUGAUCUUGGCGCGUACCGACACGCAUAACAUCAAGACUCUACUUCAUAUAUUAUAAUGUAACUUCAUGGAUUUUUCGCUCUCUUGUGAAAUUGACAAUUAUAGGCGCUGUGUGGCAGUGGUACAUAAUAAAAUAAACGUUUAUUUUUAGAAUAUUAUUAUUUAUCUCAAUUUUUUAUUUAAUAGUUAAUUUUAAUCAAUUCUUAAACUGUCAUAAUCAAUUAAUUUUUUACAUUAUGGCAUCUUAAAUAAAUUUUGGAUCUGUAAUAAAUAAAAACUGGUAACGUUUGUUCUUUUAAAGCAUAAAACAACCGUAACAUUGGUUUUUACAUUUUGAAUUUUUCUUGCAUCACUAUUUAGAAAAAUGAUGUUAAAUCAACUCACAAAAUAUAUCAAGCCAUCUAAAAUCCAAAUAUUAUUACAUUUGUAUUUGCAUUGUUAAAUUGUUGGAACGACGGCAAAGCAAUUGAAAAGAUAUUAACAAAAAAUAAAGAUUGGCCAAGGAUUAUUUAUGUUUAGGAAAUGCCUUAACUUUUGAUAUAAUCAUUGUGAUAAUUAUAUUGUAGAAAUAAUCAAUUACCUAAUGUUUGUGGUGGUAAAAAUUAUUAACUUGUUUUAGUAUACCCGUGUUUAUGGUGGUCUCCUUUUUGUCCAAUUCUGUACAACAAAAUAUUUGCAUGUUUUGAUAGAAAUUGGUUUAAAUGACAUUUGAAAUAGUAUAUCCCCAAACAAUUAACGAAAUAUUUGGAUGGUAGGAUGAAGUAAUAUAGUUUUACAAAUUACCAUAUUAGAGGUUAAAAAAAAUCAAGAGGUUACUAACUACAAAUUUUAACACAAAAAGUUUAAUUAACUUUUCUUUUUGAGAUAACAAAAUCUCUGGUGUUGAAAACAAUGAGGUUUGAGGUUCAAGCUUGAAUAUCAAGUUACAAUUAGUAGAUGGUCUUAGGACAAAUCAAAGAUUUCUUUAAAGACAAAAUAAUAAUUACAAGCAAUAGGAAUUUAUGGUAUUCAGAACAUGUAACCUUCGCACAUGAAGCUUGAAUCCAGAACAAGAUGCAGCUAGCCAAUCCUUCCAACUUCCAAAACCCCACAAAAUCUCUGUCAACAUGUCUGCUCUACUUCAAUAUUAAGCACAUUCAUAGCGGUAUCAACAGCUUACAGCUCCAAAAUAUUUUCCCCAAAAAGAGUGAGAGAUUUCACUGAAGCUAAGUUGUGACUUGUGACUUGUGAGGCCAUCUUUUUUUAUAGUAAGCGUACGCCUCUAAUGCUUUGCCAAGUGUCCAUUGAUAAUAUCACAAGGGCAAUUAAAUUGGUGUAUGUGUAUUACACCUCCUAAAGUCAUGUUAAGAUAGUUAGUGAGCCGAUAAAGUUUGUUGCACGUGUGAGUUGGUUAAGUCUGCUAGAAUUGCAAACAUGUAAAGCUGAGUCAGCAAGUUAGUUAAGGUUAUUAUGAAUGCUUAGAUUCAGCAAGUUAGUUAAGGUUAUUAUGAAUGCUUAGAUUCAGCAAGUUAUGGUGUUGAAAAUGCUGUUGGUGAAAGCUCAGCUGAUAGAUCUCAGGAGAAUCCAGCCUUUGUUGCUUGGAAAAGGUAGGAUCAAUUGUUAUUAAGUUGGCUCAUGUCCUCCAUCAGUGUUGAGAUACUUAGUCUUGUGGUAAAUUCUGAUUCUUCUCAUAAACUUUGGACUAAUCUUGAAGAAAAUUUUUGGAUUAGAAACUAUGGCUAAGAAAGCACACUUAAAAAUGAUGUUAAGCAAUCUCAGAAAGGGAUCAAUGACAAUAACUGAGUAUUUUGCCAAACUUAGAGCUGUAACUAAUAAACUUGCUCUAACUGGUAGCCCUGUUUCUACUCUAGACUUUAUUACUCAUCUAAUCUCUAGAUUAGGCCAGCCAUACUACCCUGUUGUUUUGUAUAUUGAAGCUAAUAUGAUGAAAAUAUUUGUCAAUGAAGCCUACUCUAUGCUUUUAACUCAUGAAGCAAGAAUUAAAUUUAAUCAUCCGAGUGCAAAUAAAGAAGCAAAGUUGAAUUAUGCUGCUAACAUAGCUUAGGCUGGACCUAGUAAUAACAAUAAGAAGUCUAGUAAUCAAGCUAAUUACUAUCAGGGCAACCAAGGUAACUGGAAUAGAAAUGCUAAUUGGUGUGGUAACAAUGGAGGAAGAGGUGGCUUUGGCAGAGGUUUUUCAGGGCAAGGAAGGAGUAAUUAGAAUAAUGGUGGUCAUUGGAACAAUGGACCUUGGAGUAGUAGUCGAGCAUGUUAUAAUUGUUCUGAUAUAAACAUUAUGACAUGGUUGCUGGUGAACCUGUAAACAUAACCACAAAAGUAAGAAGGCAUAAUCUUUUUAUAAGAAACUCAAAAAUGUAUUAAUGAUGAAAAUUUUAAAACAGAUAAUGGACCAGCUGUUCAUUAAGAAAACAAAAAACUGAAUAUUUGUGCUAUAGAAAGGCACACCUAAUCUCACCCCUAUAAAAGGCUAGAAUCAGCUACAAAUCCCUAUCUCAAAACCCCAUCCUAGUUUAGAUGAAUGAAGAAAAAAGAUGAAUCUUGAAACUCCUUAGAAACUGAAGCCCAAAGUGAAGCAAGAAGAUGAACUCUAUCCCAAGCAAGCAAUAUGGCAUAUUUCUCCAUUAAUGGUUCAAAUAAAGUGAAUGGCUUUCUCUGAUGAAUGGGAAAUUGUCAAGAUCAAUAGUCAAACUCACGCAAAGUAAACGGACUUAAUUCUCAGUGGCUACUCAUUCUAAGUCUUAAAGAAAAAUUUUCUAAUUUCUAAAGAUUAUAUGGGGAAAAAUCAUUAUUUUCUAACAUGGAAAAUUUGAUACGGUGUUUAAUGUCUUAUCACAAUCAUAAUAUGAGUACUAACAAAAACAUCUUUAAUCGGCAUGGUGCGAGUAAAACACCAUCACUUCAUCUUUGAUGGAAAGAUGAUAAUAUAAGGAAAUGGUGAAAUGGUUUUGGUCCCUGGCAGCUUGUAAUCAAAAGAAAACAAAAAACUACACUAUUAUUAAUGAUUACCGAAGCUACAGAAGUAUCAAAAUCGGAAAGCAAACAAUUGCAAAACACAUCAAUGACUGAAGGUUAGGUUCUAAAACUUCCGUAUUUAAUUUUCAGAGCAUGUUAUGUAUUAUUCAGAAAUAUGCUUUCACUUCAGGCACUUGACCAACACGCAUUAAACAUAAAACGCGGCGUUUUCAUGGACUAGUACAUUCCAUGCUUCGAAAGUUUAUGUUUUAGACUAAUUGGUUUGAUACAUUAUUUGUUUAUUGCGUUUUUCUUGCUUUAAAUAUUAUGUUGGAUUGAUAAGUUUUGUACACAUUUAUAUUGCUCGCAGUAAAUAAUUUAUGACAUUUAAAAAACUAUCAACCGACUAUCAAAAGAUUUCUACUAUAAAUAUAUAUACACAAAAAACUUUUAAUUUGGUCAAUUUUUUCUCUUAUUUAUUUUUGUUCUAUUUCUCUUUUCCUUCCCUUUCAUUUUAUUGUUUUAUGGUACAAAAUAAAAAAAUAACCUUAAAAUUUAAGGGUAAAAUACUCAUUUUACUAAAAUUCCGUUUAAUAUUAUAAAACUGUCAAAUGUCAAUGGCAUAGUACACGAGUGAUACAAAUUAAAAACAAUAAAUUGAAAGUUUUUAUGCAUUUUCGUUUUAUUUUUUUUAUAGCCGAUACAAAUUAAAAACAAUAGGUUUAGACCGUUUAACAAAUCUUAAAUUAAAAAAACCCGUGGUGUAAUAACAAACUCACAUCAAACCCUGUCCACUGUCAUCCCUAAUUAUAUUUACCACUUCAUACUCACAGUGAUAAUUAUAUUACCGUUAAGAAUGAAGCAGAAGAGUUUCCCCAAACAAGCUAAAACACCGCACUUCAAUUUAAAGAAUUUUUAUAUCACAGUACCGGGACAAAAAGUUUAAUGCAACAACAUACAUUAAGUUAAUUCCAUAAUCUAUCCCCAAAGAAAGACAAACACAAGCUUAUAAGAUUAAAACUUUGGAAAACAUUAAAGAGUCAGACAAAAUUGUGUAAUCUUCAGAGUUUGGAGCCUAGUUCAUCCAGGAAAGCAAAAGAAAUAAUAAUAAUAAUAAUAAUAGUGGUGGUUUGAUCUCAAAAGGUGGCAUCAAAGCAAUAACGUCUUCAACUUCCAUUCAACCCAUCAUCCACAAAAUCACCAACCCGUUUCACCUUCAUCUCCUUGGGCUUAACAGGGUACUUUCCAGAGAAGCAAGCAAAACAAAAAUUCUGAGAAUCAUUGCCUAACAACUUGUUCAAGCUGUCAAUCGGCAGAAAAGCAAGCGAAUCACACCCAAUAAACUCCCUGAUUUCCUCAACGCUCAUCCUGUUGGAAAUCAACUCCUCAGUACUUGGAGUGUCUACUCCGUAGUAACAAGAAGCUAUGAUUGGUGGGCUUGCAAUUCUCAUGUGAACCUCUUUAACUCCAGCCUCCUUAAGCAACCUAACAAUUUUUGAUGAAGUUGUUUCUCACACUAUCGAAUCAUCCACAACCACAACUCUCUUUCCCACCAACCACAACCUUACAGGAGAGAGCUUAAGCUUGACACCAAAGUCCCUAAUUUUCUGGGAAGGCUCAAUGAAAGUUCUCCCAACAUAAUGUGACCUUAUCAACCCUUGUUGAAAUGGCACCCCGGCUUUUGCAGCGUACUCAAGUGCAGCCACCACUCCAGAAUCUGGUACUGCAAUCACGACAUCACACUCAACAGGAGCCUCGGUAGCAAGUACUUCCCCAAAAUGAUACCUCGACUCAUAAACAGACCUUCCAAAAACAACAGAAUUAGGCAAAGCAAAAUAAAUAUGCUCAAAGAUGCACUGCUUAGGUUCAGGGUGAGGCAUCAAACAAGGUGAUUGAACCCCAUCUUUAUCCACCAUCAAAACUUCACCGGGAUAUACCUCUCUCUCUCUCUCUCUCUCUCGCGUAUGUGGCCUCAAUCAAAUAGUGCAGUGCACAAGUCUCUGACGCAAAAACCAGAGCACCAUUACUCCUCCUACCCAUCACCAACGGCAUAAACCCAUACGGGCCACGAACCGCAACAAGCUUAUCCUCAGUAACAAACACCAUUGAAUAAGCACCCUCAAGCUUCUCACAAACAUCCACAAUCCUCAAAAAGAACGGCCUAGCUUUCGAUAUCGGAAUCAAAUGGAGAACAACCACAGUAUCAGAACUAGUAUUACAAAAUGGAUCCAUUAUCUUCAAGCUUAGCCCUCAAAGUAUUAUAAUUAACUAAUGUGCAACACCAACAGAACCAAACCUGUACCCAGCAACAAAAGGCUGCACAUUCUUAAGCAUAGAACUACCCGCAGUCGAAUAUCUAACAUGACCAAUGGCCAUAUCACCCGGCAAUUGAUCAAGUUUAGACUGAUUAAACACAUCAGAGACUAAACCAACACCAGUAAUAGACCGAAGAACUUUGUUAUUCACAGCAACUAUACCUACAUCUUCUUGGCCGCGAUGCUGCAUCGCGUGUAGCGCCAAAUAGCACAAACGCGAGGCCUCUGGGUCACCAUAGAUGCCCACAACACCACACUCCUCACGGGGCUUAUCGUCGUCAUCAUCAUCAAAACUGCCAAAACCGUCAUCUGGGUAUUCUUUAUUUGUGGUGAAAAACUCAGAGAUGGGGUUUUUUGAUAGAACAGUGAAGUUUUUUUUGUGGGUUAAAGAUUGUUGUUUCCGAGGAAAAAAAGGGUUUUUUUGCAGGGUUUUGGAGAAAAGAAAAAGAUGGGUUUUUUUGCGACGGCUUAGGGUUAGCAGAGGGAGAUGGGUUUGAGAGAGGGCAGAUAUUGGCGGUGCCUGUUGUGGUGGCUGCCAUUAAUGGCUGAAUUUAUUUUGUUUUAUUUUAUUUUUUUGGGUUGACUUGCUCAAAGAAAAAAGAGAGGAGGUGUGGAGGGAGACGGUGGCGAAGGGUACUUUAAGUAGAGGGUUACUUGUUCUAGGUUUUUUUCUGGAAUUGUGAGGGAAUCUGAUCCUGUGUUUGUGCAUAUGAUUCAAUUACUUAUAGGUUUAUUGUUGUGUCACCACAAAUUCUAAUUGGGAAGCUUCAGCUGUCAAAUUUUUUCCAAGGGUUUAUUAGGUAGAACUUUCAUGUCGUCGAAUUUAUUUAGAGAUUCUAAAAGUAGUUUCCAAAUAAAGAGAUGGACCAAAAUCAACAAUGUGAAACAGAUACUUUAGAAUUUUUUUCCUAUUCCGAAAGCAAUAGGAAUGUUCCAAUGCAUUGCUCCUACCAGAUUUGGAAUUAAACUUAGUUUGUGUUUUCCUAUUCCGAAAGCAAAACUUAUACUUACUGUAUAAGUGAUAUUCUAAUAAGUAGAAAUUAAGAACCAUAACAAAUUUGAUGAUUCUAAUUUGCUAGAAAUAUUGUAAUCCAAAACUAAGAAAGUUAAAACCAAUUAUUAGAAGAAAAAAGCAAGACGGAAGCUCCCAGAAUAUUGUUAUGUGUUGUGUGUUUUCAGUGUGUAUUUCUCAAUCAAUAAUGAAAAGUAAGUACACAUGUUACAAAAAUUUAAUAAAAAAGAUUGGAGGUGACAAAACCUUCAAUCUUCUAAUUAACUUUCUCUGCAUUGGAAUUUCCUUAGUUUGGUAGAGAUUGCUUAAUUGGUGUAUCUAUUAUAAACACCGUAAGUCAAAGUUAAUGUUUUAAUUGUUAAGAAAAGUUAGAAGAAGAAAUUUUUGCAUAAGAGAAUUGGGUUUAAAUUGAGAAUUCUUUAGGACGAAAUGAGUCUAAAUUCUAACACUAUAAUUUAGCACUAUUUAUAUAUAUAUAUAUAUAUAUAUAUAUCAUUAAUUGGGUGAAAAAUUAGGGUACGCCUAUGUUGUAACAGUUGCAAAGUACCACUAAUUUUUAUCUUUUGUGAUGUCAAAUUUCAUUUAAUCUCUUUUUUUUUUUAUAAUUUAUUUAUAACGUUAUGUGUUUUGGCAGGUGAAUUUUUAAAAUAUAAUUUUAUUUUAUUUAAUAUAAUUUAUUUUUUUUCUUUAUAAUUUAUUUAUAAGUUUAUGUGGUUUGGCUGACGAUCUAUUAAAAUGUAAUUUUAUUUCAUUUAAUAUCAUUUAACUUCUAAAAGAACAAAUAUAACAAUAAGCCUUUAACUAGAUAAUAUUAACUAAUAUUUUUAAUAAAAUAAAAUAUUAAAAAUAUAUUCUUUUAAAUAAAAUAAAUAAUAUUAAAAAAUAUUUAUUUUUUAGGACUCACAAUUGCUUAUUCUAUUUUAUUUAAUAUUAUUUAAUUUUGAAAAAUAAAUAUAAUAAUCUAUGAGUAAAUAAUAUUAAAUAAAAUCAAAUAAAAAUUAUUAAAAAUAAUAUUAAUUUUUUUUAGACUCAUUAUUGAUUAUUUCAUUUUAUUUAACAUUACUUACUUUCAUGAAGGAAUAAAUAUAACAAUAAGCCUAUGACUAUAUAAUGUAAAAUAAAAUAAAUAAAUAAUAUUAAAAAUAUUUAUAUUUAAUAAAAUAAAUAAUAUUAAAAAUUUAUCUUUUUGAAUAAAAUAAAUAAUAUUAAUUACAAAUUAUAUUUUUUUAAGACUCACAACUGAUUAUUUAUUUUAUUUAAUAUUAUUUAGUUUUUUAAAAGAAUAAAUAUAAUAAUAACUCUAUAACUAAAUAACAUUAAAUAAAACAAAAAUAAAUACUAUACAUAAUAUUAAAUAAAAUAAAAUAAAUUAAUAUUAAAAAUUAUAUUUAUUUUUUAAUGCUUACUACUGAUUAUUUUACUUUAUUUAAAAAAAUUUAAUUUUUUGAAAGAUUAAAUACAACAAUAAACUUGUAACUAAAUAAUAUUAAAUAAAUGAGAUUAAUAAUAUUAAAUAAUAUUUUUAAUAAAUAAAUGAUAUUAAAAAUUAAUUUUUUAAAUAAAAUAUAUAAUAUUAAAAUAAAAUUUAUUUUUUAAGACUCACUACUAAUUAAACAACAUAAAAUUUUAAACAAUUUGGACUUAUGUGAUAAAAGUUUUAAUUCUUUAGCUCUUUUGCGUUUUUGAUAAAUAGCAGGGAGCAUAAUGUUAAUAUUCAAAUAAACAAAUCUCUACCCUUCAAUCUAUCUUUUCAUUAAAUCCAAUGAUGAAGAAUUGAAACCAUAAAAAAUAAAAUUAGGUGGUACCUUGCAACUGUUGCAAGGUAGUUAAGUCCAAAAAAUUACAUUUGAUGUGAUUUUGAUCGUUUAUUUUUAUAUGAUGGUAAUUUCUUGUUCAGAGUGAAACUAGGGGUGGGUACGGUUCGGUUCGGAUCGAAAUUAAGAAGAAUCGACUUAAAUCGGUUAUUUUAUAAAAAGAACCGAAUAAGAACUGAAUUCAAUAAGAACUGAUUUAACAAGAUUCGUUUGAGUUCGAUUCGGUUUGGUUUGGUUUUUUCGGUUCUGGGCCUAUUGACCCUAUUUUGAAUUUCUAAAUUUUUAGCUCAUUGGGCCUCAUGAAUGUCAUAAUUUUUUUCAACAAUUAAUUCAUCCUAAUUUCAUUACAAAUAUUAACAAUAAAUACAAAGUAUUCAAAACACAUUUGAUCACUAAUAUCUUACUAACUACUAAUAAGGUACUCACUACUCACAAAAUAUGAAAUAUUAAGAUUUCAAAAUACAUAACCAAACUCUAAUACUCCAUCUACAUAAACAUAAUGUUGUAAAGACAAAUAAAAAUAACAACAGUGAUUCGGUUCUUCGGUUCGGUUUUUCGGUUCAGUUGAGUGAACCGAAUAUCGAACCGGUAUUUCGGUUUUUUUAUAAAUAAUAUAUUUCAGUUUUUUUUAACAAUUAAAACCAAACCAAAUUAGAACCAAACUGUCGGUUUGGUUCUUUUUUUAAGAAUACAGUUUUUUUGUCCAGUCCUAAGUGAAGCUAUUGGCACCCUUUCGCUAUAUUUAUAAAAUCCUACUUCAAAUAAAAUUACACUUAAAGACAAUAGAAUUAAACAAACAUGUUUUUUUUUUCCCAAACAAAUUACUUACAUUCAUAAUUAUUUUUCUUCUAAUUUUCUACAUGUUGCUUCAUAUCUAAGUAAAAUAAAUUGUAUAAAUUUAGAAUAAUCUAUUAUUCUUUUUAAAUUUCGUAUUGAUUAAAUACUUUUGUGCUUAAGAUUGCUUUAAAAUUAUAAGAUAAAAUAUGUGUAAUUUAAGCCAAUGAUUAACAUUCAAAAUUUUAUCUCUCAGAAACAUUUUUAAUUUGUGUGCAGGGUAAUAAUAAAAUCGUAAAAGAAAUAAAAAAUAGCAUAACACUACUUUGAGUUUAGAAAAUAAAAAAAUUAAACAGAAAAUUAGAAGUGUAAUCUAAAAAAAGGAUAUUUUGUAAAAUAAAAUAAAUAUAAUUAAAACAAGGUUUCAUGAGGGGUGCAAUAGUUCAACUCUUUUGUGUAAAGUUUUAAGAUGUUAGUAUCCGUAGCUUAGUUUUUCCCUAAUUAUUAUAUGAAAAUGUAAUAACAAUGCUGAUCACCCCAAUCUCAUGGAGGUCAAAGAUUUUGGUCAUACCGCAUGAAUUAGUGCUUUUGGUUGGCAAAUACUUGUAUAAAUUUAUUAACAUUAAAUAAUUUGACCAAGACUACGUAAUGCGCCGCCUGAAGACUGGAGUCAUCGUAUUUUAUACGUCAAAAGCGCGUUUCAGUUCAAUAAGCCAUACAUGUCGUUUAAUAUGACCAUUUUGUACUUUUUUUAUAAAAAAAAAUUAUUUAUUUUAUUAAAAUAUUGUUUAUUUAUUUAUUUUUUUUAAAGGUAAAGAGGUGUGUAAAAUCUAAAUUCAAUUUUUAUCCCUUAUGUCCUGGCCCUAAGAUUUGAACUCAGGUGAACAGCCAAAUGUAUAAUAACAUGUAUUUCGAAUUUCAUUUUAAAUGAUAUGCAAUUCGUUAAGUGAUUGUUAAUUUUUUAUAAGAUACGAGUGAAAGAAUUAUAUUAUCUCACUAAUUAAUUGAUGAGUGUCAUAUCAUUAUGAUUCCAAAUAAUUUCAAGCCAUGUCAUUAUUAGGAUAAAAAUAAAGUAAAAUGGUUAAAACUAUUUUUAUGUAAUUUAUAAAAAUUAAUGAAGCAACUACAUAAUUUUUUAAACGAAAAACAAUUGAAAUGUGUGAGGAAAAAGAAGAAAAAAAUAAGGCAUUUAAAUAUCUUCUUAAAAAAUAAGAUUGAGUAAAAUCAUUUUAACAGAAUGCCUUCCAAAUACAAUUCCACAUUUUUUUUUAUUGCAGUGGGAUAUUCCAAAAUUGGCACAACUCAUUAAGAAUUCGGCAACUCAAACUUUAUUUAUCUCUCUACGCAUUUGACAAAUUAAAAAGAAAAAAAAAAAUUCAUAUAUCUUCUGUUCAAAAGAGACCUUGGUAAAUAUUGUAAAACAAAUUACCAAUUUUUUUAAUUUAUGCCAUUAUAUCGUCGCUAUUUUCUCGCCCACUUUCUUAAAAUAGAAUCAAUAUUUAUUGAUGGGUUGGGUUCCAGAGUAAGCACCAAUUCAGCAAAAUGGUUUUAUAGCAGAAAAAGCACUUGUAAGACAUUCAGAACACAUUUUUCAAUUUUGUCUUUUGAAAAUGAGUCUUGAGUUUCCACAAGCCAAGUAGAAUGGCUAAAAAAUGUAUGGUAUCAAAGAAAGAGAAACACACACACACACAUAGAUUAGUGGGGAGAUAUAUGAGUGUGUAAUUUGUAUAUAUAUCCCUAUUAAUUGUUGAUAGUCCAAUGGGUAUAUGCAAAAUGAAAAAAAUUGGCUGUCCUUUAAGACAAAAUUGACUGUCACAUGAAAAUGUUAGCACACUUGCCACGCAACAAAAAUAAAGAUUCCAAGAACAACUUUAUGGUCCCCUUUCUGUCCAAACAUAUGCGAUAGAAAUUAGUGUAAACGACACUUGAAAUAUAUAUGUAGAUCCUCACACAAUUGAUUAAAUAUUUAUAGUAGGGUGGAGUGAUAAAUAGUUUCACAAAAUUAUUGGAAUUAACUGCUUAAUACAUGAGAUCUAUCUCAUUAAGUAUAAAAGAUUGAGUGCUGCUUCAAAAGCAUGACGUUGCUGGCAACAAAUUUAACACAAAAGUUUAAUUAAUUAAAAUCUCGUAUUAAGAACAAAAGGUUUGAGGUUCGAACAUUCUCAUUCAAGAAAAUCAAGUCAAAAUAUUACAUCUUCCAGCACAUAUCAAAGAUUUUUUCAAUUUCCAAAACCCAACAAAAUCUUUGUCAAAAUAUAUGAUCUAGUCCCAUAUUAAGCACAUUCAUAGCUGUAUCAACAGGUUCAAAAUAUUUUCCCCAAAAAGAGAUAGAGAUUCCAUUGAAGUUGAGUUGUGACUGUCCCAACGUUUUGUAAUUAUAUGGUUCAGGAUACCAAUAUGCCGGAGCUGCAAAGGUUGACUUCUACUAUCCUAUCAAUGUCUAUACUUUCUAUUGAAUUUCCUUGUUUUUUUUUUAAUUUGCGAGAUUUAUUUUUGGAAAUCUUUGACACAUUUUAUGUAAGAUACCAUAAAGCCAAAUACAACCUUUUUUUAUUCUCAGCAGCAACUUUUUUUUUUCCAUUUAAAAAAAGGAAGCCAUAUAAAUAAUGCUUAAAACAUUAUUUGCAACAAGGAACAAUUAUUUCAUGCUUUCAUGUAUUAGAAACUUUCCAAAAACGCUAGCAAGAAAAUGAAAUGGAACUUUACCUAGUCACAGAAUAUGUACUGUUGUUAGCACAAUUGUUAUGAAGUGGCUUCUGCAUCAGAAGAUUCCAGCUCCCACCAAGCAUUGUUAUCUCUCUUCUGAAUACAAUCUACAUCGUUGGGCAUGAGUUAUAUCAUUAAUGUCUGGAUCCUCACUUACAUCAUCCCAAUCAAGUGCUUUUUCUCCACAUUUGGAUUAUAAGUCCAAUCUCUGCAAAACAUCCUAGUCCUUCCAUCACAACUGAUACGACUUCCUUCCUAAUUACUUUCCCAUUAAUAAAUCGCUCCAAGAAAAAAAAGCAUUAGCAAUUCUCUUCAACGCCCCAUCACUCAUAUCCCCCACAACAACCGUCUUCAGCCACCUCAACGUUGACUCUUGAAAGACCUCCACAAAAUCCGAAUCAUCCGACACAACCACCAAACACCCAAACCUUCUUUUGUCCACCAUAGCCACCAUAUAAUUUCUCCCCAAAACAUCGGCAUCUUGUGGCUUAACUAACACCAUCCUGACCCAAAACCGUGCUCUUUUUAACUCAUCUGCAAAACCAUAACCCACUUUUGGAGUCAAAAUUGCGCUUGCAGCCAUUUUAUUUUUUUCCAUCUUUAUUGAAUAGUUGCCGACCAAAAGCACUCUCACCUUCCCUCUAGCUGAUUCUAUUUGAUUGGACCUUUUCUUUUGUUCACCCUCAUGAAUUUGCCUAAAAUGAUUAACAAGUUUGUCAUUAUUAUAAAAUCUCCUUCCAUAAUCACCAAUACAUACGGCUUAGCAGACCUAAUUACACCCUUGAUUUCUAAUUGGUAAACAAUUCUCUUUCUUUCUUUGCUCUCUUACAACUUGAGGCACAUAACCAAACGCGUGGCUAUUUGGAUUUUGUUAUCCAAAUACCAAAAAUUUCUCACAUUGUGUUGGACAGUUUUUGGUUCUAAAGUUGAUGACUGGUUUUGCGAAUCAGGCUUCAAAUGAGAACUUCUAAACAAUAAGACAAAUGGGUUUUUAGUUUAUAAUCUUGUAAACUUUGUUCUAUUGUAUAAGUUAUGAAAUCGCUGAAACAUCACUACAGCUACAGGUCUUUAUGUGUCAAUGAAUUGCAGAAGCUAAUGAUCUACUUGUAGUAGACUUCUAUUGCCCCUGCCGUUCUAGGAAGACAAACAAGUUCAGGAACUACUUCUGGACCAAACUCAUAAUAUUGCCACUGCUUUGUGCCAAUCUCAGAGGAAAAGAAGAUUGAAGUUCCUAAAUAAGGCACAUCAUGAUUUGAUAGAAGUACCACUAUAAGGAAAAAUUGAUUUCAGGAAAGCACUAAAUUAUGACAUAAUCUCCCCCUAAUGGUCUAAAGUAGUCAAGAAAUGAUAUUAACCAAGUAAAAACACAUAAACUAGUUGAGAUACAAAGUUAUCAUAAAAGUCAAUUUUGACCACAAAUCCAUUAAAAUUAAAAGUCAUCAGAAACUUAGAGAACAUUAUAAUUUAGGACUCAGCUAAGUUGCAGAUUCUGUAACUAACAGCUGAGUCCACAUUGGUCUUGCAUCAGCUGAGUUUAGGUUGCUUUUCCUCUCUCCUGCAACGCGUACGUGGAAGCGCCCCAUUUGCUGUGUUAUAGAACGAGUCGGUACCGUAACAAGCUCCUAUAAUUUAAGUUUGAUUACUGUAGACAAUAGUCUGCCUCUGCUCAAAAGCUAUGCUGCAAGAUAUAACAUCUUUGCAAUGUUAUACUUUCUAAAAGUAAUAAGAAAUGAAACCAAGGGGUAAAUCGAACACCAAAAGAAAUUUAGUCGGCCAACCACAUUAUGUUCCCACACAGUCCACUAAUUAAGUUAAUAAUUAAAGGGAAUCAAAAUCUAAGAAAUCUCAUCUUCAAGCAUAAUACAAACACACCGGGAUUGAAAAUCACAAAAUCAUAAAAAGAAGCUGACUUGAAAAGCUCAAAUAUACGUUCAUCAGCCUCUCAACUUAUAUCUAAGAACAAAUGCCUGCAGCCUGUGAAGACAUAGAUAAUUGAAGCUGAGGAGGCAUAUUUAACAGAUGAUUAAACUCAUGCGAUUAAAAUUAUAAUUCAAUAAUCGAGCACAUAAAAUAACAAGCAACUAGUUGUAUAUAUACCAAGCAACUUUAUGAAGUUAAAUAUACCAACGCCAAUACUCUUAUUUUUAUCCAAAUAUAGAAGACCAAUGCAUCAAACAAGGAAAAUGAAAUAUUGUUAAUAACUCAAAAACCACUAGUGUCAAGAACUAAACUAAUAAGUAAAACCCAUAAUCAGACACAACCACAUCAAAAUCUCUAAAAAUUGAGGUCUAAACAUUGAAAACAAUUAGACAUAUAUAACAGUCAAUCGAAACAAAGCCUCAAAAUAAUAAUGAACUACAAUAAGACAGAAACUAAAUUGUAAACAAGCGCAUACUCAGUAACAGUAAUCAAGUAACAAGUCAAAACCAGAAUCAAACGUAGAAUUUUGAAAUCCAUACGAACUCUAACGUAUUAGAAUGAAAGAAUAAGGACGAUCGAUAAACUAGAAUCAAACAAAACAUGCCCAGUUAAAAAACGAAGGUAAAUAAAUAAAAAUGAUAUAAAACUGCGAAAAAAAUUAAUGAAAUGACGAGAAAAUCACAGGAAUCCUAUGAAGAGGAAGGUAAACAAAACCUUCGAGAGCUGAGAAGAUGCCUUUUUUUGUUCACUUUUGUGCCUAUACAUACAUUUUUUUUUUUUUUGUAAUUUUGAAGAAAGUAUUGGUUAAAUAUUGUCAGAACGAAAUAUUAAUAAUAGAUCCUGGCAAUUUCAACAAGGACAAUCUUCGAUUCAAAUGUACCCCUAUGAUAAAGAAAAAGCCAGCUUGGCUAAAUUUUGAGCACCACAUUACAAAAUCUUGGUGCAUGUUUAACUAUGCAAAAUGAAACCUCUAUUAAUUGUAAGUCCCUUGACCUCUGGAACCAGCCAACCAGUAUCUUUCCUGUUAGACAAACUUCCAUCGAUCAGACUAAUAAUAUUUACUGAAUCAUGUUCUACAGUUAAUGGAGUUGGACCCAAGGCAAUUGUUAGAAGUCCGCCUAGACAUAGAGUGCGCUUAGAAGUGGGAUGCUUAGAAAUGGGCCGCCAACACAACCAGCCAACCGUAGUGUGCUUAGCAAAUCACUGAAACCCGGCCCAAGAUCUAGAACUAUCUACAAAUUGUAAAUAAGCUAAAAGUUUCUAAGUUUCUCUACAUAGGUCCCUAGGAUAUUUAUGGAAGUUGCUAGGAAGUUUCCUCCCCUAGAACUCUAAUACCUAUACCCUCUCAUUUGCCCACCAACCACACCACACAGACAAACACUCCAGCACACACACAAGCUCUCUAGCUUUUGUAAAAAACUCUCUUGUAUAUUCUCUCUUUGUGAGUAAUAAAAUCAUAUUCAGCCAUAUUGCUACACUUCUCUCUAGCAUUUUCUACAAGUGUUCUUGCUUCGCUAGUUUGAGGAGUGUUCUAGGCUUGCUUAACAACUUGUUCGCUAUAACGACAUCUUGGUCACAAAACAUGGACAUGCAAGAAAAAAAAAAUAUUGAUACGUUCUAAAAAUAAUACGCGUUCUUCUACAGUGAACCAAAAAAUUUAGGAUAAUGGUAGCAAGUGAAAGAAUUGUGAUUUCACGUGCAUUUUGUUGACAUGAACGUAAAGGACUUUUUUUUAUAGUUUAUAUUGUUUAAUAUAACAUUUGAAUUGCAAAAUAGGGGUACAAAAUAGAUACACGAAGUGAUAAAACUAAGCUGAUUAUAAUAAAUAUUGAAUUAUAAGAUUUAGGUUUAAUCAUAAACACAUAAGUGGUGCACAAAGUCACGAAUUGAUAUCAUCCACGAUGCAAGUUCAAACAACUGCAUAAUAAGUUGCCCCAAGCUAAACUAUUAAUCUAGUAACUAUUCCAGUCGAUGUGGGAUAAUUUUCCUAUCACCAUCUAUCACGUGCAAGCCGAAUUUUUUGCUUGGUCCUUACAUGUGGUAAGGUCAUAUGAAUCCACUUGUGCAUAAAUUUGGCUCCGAUACUAUAUAGAAGCCUAUGACCCAAAAUUAUACUUAAAGGUUAUCUCAAGAUUUGAGGAUUGACUCAAGCUAAUAUUAUUAUUAGUCUGGUAACCUUUUUUGUUUGUUGAUAUGUGAUAUUUUACCUAUAACUUUUAUUAAUCUUUAUGCUUAUGUUUUGUCAUUUAUCCCAAAAUAUAACAUUAACACAAGUUCCAAAAUUUCCUUCAAGAGAUAUAUUUGAGACAAGUAAUUUGUGCAAUAACUUUGUAAAUUGAUGAGCAAAUUAAGAGAAAAGAAUAUAUAUGCCAAACAUAACGUUUAUUAUUGUGUUUAUUUGUAGAGCUAUUUAAAGCCCAAAAAAAAAAGCACCGGUCCGCUAUGAUUUCAAAUAAGUUCAAGCCCUAUGUCAUUAUUGGUACAAAAAUGAAUCAGAAAGGUUAAAAACUAUUUUUAUUUAACUUAUAAACUUAGGAAAUUAUCAAAUGUCCGCCCUUAAAUUGCGCUAUUAUAAAAAAUAUUACAACAUUUUCAGGUUGGAUCAUUCAUCUACCAUAAAUUUACAAUCUGCAUCAUUUAUCCACCAAAUCAUUAACUUCGUCAAAAAGUGAUAGACGUCACAAGGGUAAUUUAGACAUUUAACACAAAAAAAUAAAAGAGAAAUUAUCUAAGCUUACCAUGUUAUCAAAAUUGCUACAAAAUUUUAAAUUUUUUCAAUUUUCCAAUCUAAGUUUAUGACCUCCAAGAUGUUAAUUGCAAUUUGUAAUUAAUGACUUCAUAAGGAUAAUUUAGACACUCAAUAUGCAAAAUAAAAAAUAAAAUAAUGGCUUAAAACAUUAAAACAAAAAACUACGUUUUAUAAUUGAUAUUCAAUUAAAUAAACAUAAACUCUAUUUUUUCUUAAUUAAAAAUAUUCUAAUUUAUUUUCUCAAUUUAUCUUCAUAAAUUUACAUUAAUAAACUAAAUCCACAAAUUACCCUAAACCCUAAUUCGUAAAUGCCCAAUCAAUCUAAUAGUUUAAUUCGAUUUCAUAAUUAAAAAAAGCUAAAUUUAUUAUAUUAGUUAUGGUGCAAAGUAAAAAAUGUCCUUAAAUCCAAGGGUAAAAUAGCAUUUUAUUUAAAUUCUAUAAAUUAUUCUAACAAUGUUAACAUUUUGGUGGACGGUUAAUAUAAGUUACAAACUUAAAAUAGAAAAUCAAAUAAAUUCAAAAUUUCAAACUAUUUAUGGCAAAUUUAGGAUAUAUGGUUAAUAAUUUUCCUAUGUCUUUUUACAUAAGUUGAUAGAAGUUACAAACUUAAAAUAGAAAUAAAAUAAAUUUAAAUUUUCAAAUCAUUUAGGGCAAACUUAGGGCAUAUGGUUAAUAAUUUUCCUAUUUUUUUAACGUUAAAUUGAGUUUCAAAGACAUAAUGGUCAAUUUAUUAUAAUUCUAUUAAUUUUUUUAAUGGAAGCAAGCGAUAUAAUGGAUGAAUGAUAUAAAUUGUAAAAUUAAGGUGCAUGAACGAUAUAAUUUUAAAGUAUUGUAGUACUUUUAAUAAUAAAACAUUUUAAAGGUGGAUUGGCGAUAAUUUAAACUUUAAUGAAGCAACUAAAAAAAAUUUUUAACAAAGAAAAAUAAUUGAAUGCUUUGUGAAACCAAAAAUAUUUGAAAUGCUUUAAGAAAAAUAAAGGAAAUUAAAUAUCUUUUUAAAAAACAUAAUUGAGUAAAAUCAUUUUACAAAAUGCUCUUUCAAAUGCACAUUCCACAAGCGCACAUUCCACAAGCCAAGAAGAACGGGUGGCUAACAAAAAUCUCACUUUUUAUGAGUUUAUAAAAUCUCACUUUCACAAAAUCCAAAAAUAACCAAUACUAUCACACAAAAAAUAAAAAGUAUUGCUGUCACGACAUUACACACUUUCUUCGCCGUCUAGAAAGGUAGAACAUUUUGAAAUUCCUAAAUACAAAAUGCGUGCUAUUACUAAAUUGGCCCAAUUAGUGCCCAUCGAAAGGCCAUAGAUUUAGCCACCAAAUUUGCCAAAGUUUUAACAAUUGAAGAAAUAGUGAACUCAAAAGGAACAGGUAAAUUUUGAAGUUGAACAAACCUUAAGGUACGGGAAAUUUGCAACCUACCCCCAAAUAAAUUGACAUUUUGCACCGCGUCCCCAAUAAAUUUGACUUAUUGCACCGCGCACCUAAAAAAAUUGACAUUUUGCACCACGUCCCCAAUUCCGUUACUUUUUCAGUUAUUUCUAACAGCUCCGUCUAACUUUUGAUUGAAUGACAAAAAUGCCCCUCUAUAUAAAAAAACAAAAUUUUUAGCUCAUUUAAUUUUUUUAAGGUUUUUUUUCAAUUGCAAUAAAAAAAAAAUUCUUCUUACAUGUUCAUUGUCACCACUAUUAUUUUUCCUUUAAUUUUUUUAAGAUUUUUUUUUUAAUUUUAAUAAAAAAAAUCCUUGUUACAUGUACAUUUGUCACCACUAUUAUUUUCCUUUAAUUUUUUUAAAGAUUUUUAUUUUAAUUGCAAUAAAAAAAUUUCUUGUUACACGUACAUUGUCACCACUAUUAUUUUUUCUUUAAUUUUUUAAAGAUUUUUAUUUCAAUUUUAAUAAAAAAAUUCUUGUUACAUGUACAUUUGUCACCACUAUUAUUUUCCUUUAAUUUUUUAAAGAUUUUUAUUUUAAUUGCAAUAAAAAAAUUUCUUGUUACAUGUACAUUGUCACCACUAUUAUUUUUCCUUUAAUUUUUUAAAGAUUUUUAUUUUAAUUGCAAUAAAGAGAAUUCCCAUUAAAAUUAAUUUAAGGAAUAAACUUCCAAUUUUACCCCUCCACCGUUAAACUUAAUUGAGAAAAUAAUGGAAUUGGGGGCGAGGUGCAAAAUAUCAAUUUUUUUGGGUGCGCAGUGCAACAAGUCAAAUUUGUUGGGGACGCUGUGCAAAAUGUCAAUUUAUUUGGGGGUAGGUUAUAAAUUACCCCUUAAGGUACAUACAACAAAGCCUUGAACUUUAGUCUUCACAAUUUAAUCACGCAAUAACAUUAAGUAUCCACCUAAAAAAACAAGUAUAGAACAAAGCUUGUUAGCUUCUUGGGCAUUAACUAUGAAUGAUGAGUAAAAUUAAAAAAGCAAACAGAGAAAAUUAUAAGAAGAAUAAAAGCAAACAUUUCAAAAAAAAAUUAUGAGAAGGAAAAUUUUGGUAGAACUCCGUGGCUCAUCUGUGAAAUUAAUGUCAAUAUGUAUUUUUAUGUAAAUAGGGUCUCUGGAUUUUAGGAUGAAUCAAUCAGCUACCACAAACGAAAACAUGAACCAACUAUAUAUAGAGUCAAUUAAUUAAAGUUCUCAAGAGCUUACCUCUGCUCCAGAAUUCUCGGAAUCAUCAAUCUCCUUCUGAAUUUGCGCGAAGCUUGGGACAACCAAGAAAGCGUCCAGGUGGAACUGGGUUUGGAUAACCCGCAGGCCAAAAGUUGGUGAGGUUUGGUAAAUUUAUCAGUUCUAUGCCCUGAAGUUCAUUCGUAACAAUUUCAUUGUAAUCCGUGACGUCUGCUCCACCUUUAUGCCAGAAUACUUCUUCUAAUUCAUCAUUACCUACUACGAAUAGGUACUUCAGUUUUGGAAGACUUGGAGCUACGCUGAUAUGAAAUAGAUGCUUUAGCUUGGGGCAAAAACAGACAGUGAUCCUUGUGAGUUUUGGGAAACAUACAGGUUGGAGAUGAUCCUCAUCCUCAUCCUCAUCAAUGAUUUGCUCUAAUUCCAAGCAAUUCGAAACAGAUAACUCCUCCAAUUGCAACAGAUUUCGAGCAAGUGUUGAUGAGAGGAGCCGUCUCAGCAUAGUGCACCGCUCUACUGUUAAUCGAGUAAGAUUUUGCAGGCUAAAAUUAUGCGCGGGACCUUCAUGAUAUGAUACUCGCAGUUCUCGAAGAUCUUCCAAUCCCAACCCUUUCAAACAUGGGAAUGGUUUGUUUGCUUGUCCCUCAGCGAUAAUAGCUUCCGACUGAAACACCACCAGUACUCCAAUUUUGCUAAUAUUCAAUUCUUCCAAAUUUUUUAAGCCGUGCUUCAACAAUACUGGAAUCGUGUCGCUCAAAUGGGAACAAUUGUCCACAUUUAGAAUUUUAAAGUUCUGAGACAAAUAAAUAAAUAACUUGAUGUAAUUAAAAUCUAUUAGCAGCUAGGAUUAUCACAUGAUAAGUGACGAACACCGCAAAAAACAAAAAUAGAAACAAAAUCCAUACAAAAAUAUAAUAAUACAUAUGUAAACUAAUAAAAUAAUUAAAAAGUAAUAUGGAUUGAUAAUGUGAAGUGACAUAAAGGUAACAUUAGAUUGUUUGAGAAAAAUUAGUAUUUUAUUAAUUUUUAUGGAUUGAUCAACUAAUUAAUUGAAUUUGAGUAAUAUUAUAUACACUUUAGUAAGUGUUUGCAUCAAUUCUUUCUAAACCAAAAUGAGAUAAGACUUGCAUUUGAACAAUGAUUUUAGGCCCUAAAAUAAAGAAAUUUCCCUAAGAUAUUUGAGCAUUAUUAUUAUCAUCACCACAUCCACGAUCAUCAUCAUCUCCAUAGGACCAAAUAAUUAAUGGUUGAUCAUAAAAUUAAUUGCUAAAUUAUCAUUUUGAGUAAAAUUGAAGGAAAAGAAAAAACGUAAACACAAACAAACAUACCUCUUCAAGAUACUGCAAAUUGGCUUCAAGUUCAGUACUGCUGACAGUCAAGUUAGAACAGCAAAUAAGGUCUAACUCUUCCAAUGCUGUCCAAAUUGAACAAUAAUUUUAUGAACAGAAGCUCUUGAGUUUUGGGAGAUUGCAAAGUGUUAAUUUUCUCAACAAAGGGAGGGCAAGCAUCGUAUUUCCAUCUCCGACACUUAUUUCCCCUUCAUUGUAAUCAAACUUUGCUUCGACAAUACAUUCCAUUCUCUGGCAUCCACUUACAAAGAGACUUUUAAGCUGCUUCAAACUUCUAGCUUGUGACAACGUGAAGAUAUAUGUCAAAUUGUUGCACCCAUACACACUCAAUUUUGUAAGAGCUUGGAGGCUGAUCACAUGUUGGACGGGCGCCUUCCAUAUCCACUUCAGUUCUGGUAAUUGCCACAUAGAUAACUCUGCUAAUCUUGAGAGCAUCACAGGAUUCCCACUCUUUCCAUACGGCGACUUAGAGGCAUCCAUUAUGCAUUCUAAUUCUUUGCACUCAUUGGCAGAAAGACAAGGCAACUCAUUUAAGCCCUUUGGAUCUAUGCUUGGCACAAUAUUGUGACAACCUAUAAUCGUUCUUAAAUUAAGAAUUUCCAGUUCUUGAAACAAUGCCGAAAAAAUACCGAUCGAGGUCGCUUCACAAUUAUUAAUCUUUAAGCACCUUCUCUGUCCAAAAAUUUCAUCUUCUUCGUCCAUUAGAAAUUCAAGUUUGUUACCGUUACUGACGUAGUGCCUUUGCAAUUUCGGGAAUGUAAAGUCUUUUGGAAGACGUGCAAUGUUUUUGUCAGUAUGUACAGUCUUUCCGUCGUCAUUUUCUUCUGAACUCAUCCCUUCAGCCUCCCAAUCUUUUAUCCGACCAUAAAAUUCUUCUAAUUGAGGAAAUUUUUUUAUCGUAAUGGGAGAAAUACGACCAGAGUUAAUGAAUAUAAGAAGUUUCAAUGUACUAAGUUGAUCGCCAAAUUCUUCAGGAAUUUCAAUGGGAGACCCCUUGACACAAAGGAUUUGAAGUCUCUUCAACUUUCCAAGGAAAGACGCGUCACUCACGUUACAUCGAAUCAACUGCAGAACUUGGAGGUUGGUGAGGAAUUGAAGCGAUUUAAGUGAAAUGACUCCUCCUACUAUAGUAACAACUUUCAAUGCUGGCAUCCCUUCGAAAAAAUGUUCUGGAAUAUGCAAUUGAUAGUCAUAUUCAAUAUUCUCCAGUCGCAAAAUAUGAAGGUUAGGGCAUACCAAACCACUUGGAAGCUCUUCUUUUUCAUUUCCCAUCAAAGAGAUUCCUCUGUAUUGUUCCAUUGCCCGUUCUGCCAAUUCAAUGCCAACUUUACUAGUAAAAUAUUUUUUCUCCAUUGAGCCUAUCCAUAAGGCUACGUCACGUACAAUGUCAUGCAUUUUUACAAAUCUGUCAUUACCAGCGUCUAAUAGCAGUGAAGAAGCUUUGAGCUCUUUAAUCGUUCCACUCACUAGGCUCCUGGCAUCUUCGAUUGACUCAGCUUGAUACCAAUCCAACGCCACUGCAUAUCCAACCAAAUCCUCCAAAUCUAUCUCAUAAUCUUCUGGAAACAGCGAACACAACAAGAAGCAUGACCUUGAAUCCUCAUCAUUCAAAUAAUCGUAACUAAAUUUGAGACAAUGGUAAACGUCUUGGUCCUCCUUGCCAAUACCUUCUAUUGUAUUAAGUUUUGCAUUUUUUAGUUUAUGUAGAGCUACUUUCCAUUCACCAAAUCCUUUACGGCUUAGUGCACUUCCAACAGCUUUAAUAGCCAAAGGCAGCCCCUUACAUUCAUCAGCAACUCGUUCUGAAACACCAAUCAAUGAAUCAGCAUCAAUGCCGGCAUGCUUUCUUAGUAAAGCCAAUCCUUCUUCUCGCUUUAGAACACCUAGUUGAAUCCGCGUGUCACAACCCAUGCGAUCACAAACUGGCUGAAGGCGAGUGGUUAGAAGGAUUUUGCAACAAUUGUCUAUCUCACCAACAGGAAUACCUACUGUCUCCAAGUCAAGUUCAUUCCAGACAUCGUCAAGGAUUAUGAGGAUCUUGCGGCUUUUACUCUCACAGAACAUCAAGCGCAAUCGGUCUGCUCUAUCAUUUUCAUCUUUCUCCGUUAAUGCCCAACCUAACGACUUUACCAGCUCACUUUGAACAUUUAUUAUAUUUGGAUCCCGAGAUAUAGUGGCUAUCCCUACGUCAUCGAAAAUCUUUUGUUGCCGAAGUUGAUUGCCCGCAAAUUUUGCCAAGGUCGUCUUUCCUACACCACCGAGGCCAUGCAGUCCCACCAUUUUUGUGCUUUCUCUUUUCAGUGAUUCAAUGAUCUGAUUGCAAGCCAGUUCUGUAGUCUCGAAAGACGUAAAAUGUCUUGGUGCGGGCAAUUCUUUGCUUGAAGGUAGAGGUUUAGGACGGGCAACUGUGCUGAAUUUGUCGUAUUUCUUUUGUAGAUCGGACAACUUGCGAGUCUCCUUUGAUGCUUUUCUACCCAGCCAAUAUAGGCAACGCCAAUUAGGACACCAUCCAUUAAGACAACUUUUGUUUUCAUCUAUCUUUGCUUUCAAAUUUUGAACAUUGGCCAUUUCUUUGACUACAUCCGCCAGCCACUUCUCUACAUCUUUCUCGACUACUAUGGCGCGGUGUUUUUGUCGAUCUUGUUCUACUUUUUCAUUGACGCCAUCUUGUGCCUCCUUCAAAUUAGUUUCUUUAUCCCCCAAGUUCUUUAAUAAUGCUGUUGAAGCAGAACAUAUAGCGAGCUUGGUUUAUGGUUGCGUCCGCCAAUAAUUCUCCAAGCUUUGAUGCAACGCCUGAUAAAAUUUCCAUGCUAUUUAUCUGCAAUUAAUGAAAUUGAUCUCAGUAAGAUCGAACGUGAACGUUUAAUUACUUUAAUUUUUUUUUUUGGCUUAUUAACGCCAGCAUUGAAAUUAGAUUACUUUAGAAAUUUUUAAAUAAAAAUAUCAAACAACAAAUUUAAUAGAAUCCAGAUAAACCUAAGAAUUUGUUGUGCAUUGCGAGUGAAGACAGGCAGUUGCAUGGGGAAUAUGAUAAAAGUGAUGCAUAAUUGAAAAGCCACCCAUAAUAACAAUUAAAAAGAGUAUUAGAGAUUAGAGUAGUUCAACAUUCUAUGCAAGCCCACUCAUGAUAAAAUUUGAAUUGUUUCAAGAUGAUUACCUUCUUCUUUUUUUUUUUUUUUACUUUAAUCAAUAUUCUAAUAAAAUAAAACCAUAAUUCCAAAUAAUAUCUUAAUUUCCUUUACCUUCAAAUGUUCAUUAAACUCACAUAUUGGAUAAUUAAUUUAAUUAUUUGUUAAAUUAUUUAUUACCCUAUCUUAUUAUUCAAUAGAUAUAAAUGACACCUUAAUUAGGUUUUAAUUGGAAACAAAUAUAAAAUAUUAUUUUUUGAUUAAUUUUUGUGAAUUCUUUUAAUGUUCGAAUUAGAAUAGAAUAAUUUGUAUAAGGAUGAUUUAUACAAAGAUAAUCUGCAAAAUAAGCUUAUUUGUCGAGUUUAAAAGAGUUAUAUGAGUAAUCAUAUAUUUAUCAAAAAAUUUUAAUAAAAAUUUUGUUUAAAAAUUGGCCAAAUGGGUUUAAAAUAGAAGGGCAUGAACAGCGCCACUUUCAAUUUUUUUUUUUGGUGGUUGUACAAUUGAAAAGACGUAUUGAAAUGGACCAAUUUGAAAUGGCAGGAGAGCAUAAUGGACUCAUGUUGGAACUUGGGUAGGAAAAUUAAUUUUAUUUUUAAAAGUAUGGUCAACAGUACUGACUUGGAGGUGAUUGACGUUAAGUUAAAUUAAUACAAACAAAUGGCAAAAAUAAUUUAAUAAAAAUUAAUUAAUAAAAAAAUGAUUUAAAAAUAAGAACUUAAGUUCUUGAUCAUCAAUAUCCGUAUGUUUUUAAUCCAACGGCUCAGAAUUGGCAUAAAACUAGCCAUUGGAAGUAAAACAAAUAUCAAAUUAAGGGCUUAUGACACAUUAAGAUCUCAUACCUACUUCGUUGUCUAUCCUCAAUUACUGCUGAAAGCUCCAGUUAAGAGAGUUCGCACAAGUUCGGAGAAAAAUAAAAAGCUGCAUAUGGCAAUAUAAAUAAACAUCGGAUCAAAACGACAUAGGAUAUAUCUAGCUAAUUAACUUCUUAUAUAAGUCCUUGUUCUCAGUCAAAUCUUUGAUCCUUAGAAAAAAGAAAAAAAAAAAGAUUGAAAUAAUAACUGUACAUUUUUAAUCCAACGUGCAAAAUUGGCAUAAACAAACUAAUAUAGCAUAAAACAAACAUCAAAUUAAGAGCCUAUGAAAUAAUAAUAUCUCAUACCUUCUUUCUUAUGUAUCCUCAAUUACUACUGACAGCUCCAGUUAGAGUGCCAUAAUUUCCGAGAAAAUUAAAAGCUGCAUCUAGCAAUAUAAAUAAACAUCAGGUCAAAACAAAAUAGGAUAUAUCUAGCUAAUGAACAUCAUAUAUAAGUCCUUGUUCUCUAUCAAAAUCUUUCCUUCUUAAAUAAUAAUAAUAAUAAUAAUAAUAAUAAUAAUAACAAUAAUAAUUGAAAUAAUAACUGUGGGUGAAACAGGAAGCAAAAGUAAUUAACAUACCGAAAUGAGAGCAGCUCACAUAUCUGGUGACUUCCAAGAGAAUGAAAAAUGAAUGACCUUCGGCAGCAAGAUCCAAAUCAUGUAUCACAAAUUGCUACUGACUUCGUGGCUUCACUUUCCUUUUCUUUUUUUCUUUUUUUUUUUUAAUUAAAUUUUAUAUCACAGUGUGAAUUGAAAGGUGAAAAGUGAAAUGGUACACAUGCGUAUGAUGAGGGGGCAAUUUUUAGACACCUCCCCGAGGUUUAAGGUCUUCUGAAUUAGAUGGAUUGUAUUUUCGUAUUAUCAAAUACCUCCCCUGCCCGUUUUUAUUCCAUUUUGUAUAUUCUAAAUGGCUGAAGGUAAAUUGGUAAAAACUCAUUUAAAAUAAAAAAAAAAUCAAAGAAAUUCAAGAAGAAGCUUUGUAUCUGCCAUUUGUAUUUGGGGUAUCUUUUUGGUUGUUGAGUGAAUGAGCUUAAAUCUUAAAUAUUUAUUUUCUUAUUAUAUAUUUCUCAUUGGAAAGAAUUUGAAUCUUAUUCUUAUUAAACUUAUUCUCUUUAAAUAAAAGUAGAUUUCUAUCCAUGUAUUUAGCAUGUAUUUUGAAAUUAAUGUUCAACAUAUCUUUAGAUCCUAUUAUAAAUAUUCAUAUCUAAAAUCUCAACAGAUUCCAACAUAUAAAUAUAUAUAAAGAGAGAGAGUAACGUUCUAAUAAGAAAUUUCUUAAAUUAUCAAAUUAAAGGAUAAUUCAAAAGAUAAAAAAAAUACAUAAUCUAAUAUAUUAUAUAACAAAAUAUACUAUAUUAAAAUAUAUAUUUUGCUUAAUUUUUUAAUAAAUCCCAUAAUAACUUAAGAAACCCUUUAUUUACCUGAUAUAUAUGUGUGUGUGUAUAAUUUUUUACAAAAUAAACAAUUUAGAGUAAAACAAAGGACAUUCUGGGGGCCUUUUGCUAGACUACCAAUCUACCAUUUUGGAUUGCAAUAAAGUGAAAAUACCGGACUACUAUUUUGGAUUGCAAUAAAAUUAAAAUGGGUUACACCAAAAAAGUAAAAAAAAAAAGUGACAAUCAAUCUUGUCGGCCAAUACACCGACUUUUUUGCCGGAUUAGUAUCACCGUCGAAAACAAAUUAUUGCAAGCACUAGCAAAAAGCAAUCGAUGAUUUCGCAAUUUGGUUGUCAAAAAGCAAACUAGAUCACGAUUCCUCAAUUCAAAAUGGGGCAAAAUUAUGGUAUCACAAUGGUACCGUACUACGGCUGGAUCCAACCUACAGUUAUCAUCAUAAUUGGAGCAAACGGUUGGAUUCAUCUGUAGUAUGGUACCACUGUGGUACCAUAGCUGGACCCUUUAAAAUGAUUUUUUUUAAUUAAAUAAGUGAAAAUUAAACCUACAAUUCAAAAUAGAGGACUGUAGAUGCGUAUAAAUUGAAGAAGGUAAAUUUUGUGUGGGCGUAAAUAUUUUAGUUAACAACAAAAAAUUCUAACAAGUUAAUAUAAGAGUAUCAUAGCAGUACAAGAGAUUUUUUUUUUUUUAAUGUUAAGAGUUAUCGAGAUACCCAAUAUAUAUAUGUGUGUGUGAGAGAGUGGAGGAAGAAAAAAAAUAUUAAGAAUAGUUUUGGCAUUUUGAUGGGUUUUAUAGAGUAAAAUCUAUAUUUUCAAAUAUGAUAAUUCUUUAAUUUAAUUUGGUGUUAUGAAAAAAAAGGGCAUUUUAAAUAUGUUCUAGGUUAUAAAUAACUCCAUCCAAAAUUUAAAAAUGAAAUCUUAGGGGGGGAAAAAUUUCACCCGAACUAAGGCCCAAAGUAGCCGCGGCAUUUUUCACCAAUUCUCCAAUUCUCAAUGUGGUGUAAUUAUUUACAAGGAAUAUGAGUAGGGGUGGGCACGGUUCGGUCCGGUUCGGUUUGGAUCGAAAUUAAGCUGAACUAAUUUAAAUCAGUUAUUUUAUAAAAAGAACUAAAUAAGAACCAAACUCAAUAAAAACCGAACAUAAAUGGAUCUUUUCGGAUCGGUUCGGUUUUUUCGGUUUUGGGCCUAUUGGGCCUAUUUUGAAUUUCUAAAUUGUUAGCCCAUUAGGACUCAUGAAUGUAAUAAUUUUAUUCAACAAUUAAUUUAUCCUAAUUUCAUUACAAGUAUUAACAAUAAAUACAAAGUAUUCAAAGCACAUUUUGUCACUAAUAUCUUACUAACUACUAAUAAGGUACUUACAAAAUAUGAAAUAUUAAGAUUUCAAAAUACAUAAUCAAACUCCAAUACUCCAUCUACAUAAAUAUAAUGUUGUAAAGACAAAUAAAAAUAACAACAAUUAAAACUUACAACACAAAAUAAAAAGAAAAUUUAGAAACAAACACCAACAACAAUUUUUAAAUAUAUAUAUAUACCCGUAAUCGUGUGUGUGCAUGCAUAUUUUAGUUAUCUCACGCAACCGAUUAAAAUUUAACACGUGUCUAUUUAAAUAAAAUUCCAAGAAUAACUCGGUUUUUUGGUUCAGCUGAGUGAACCGAAUACCGAACCUGUAUUUCGGUUUUUUUACAAACCAUAUAUUUCAGUUAUUUUUUAAAAUUAAAAUCAGUCCGAACAGAACGGAACGGUUCAGAUCGAUUUUCUCUAGUGCACGGUUUUUUUGCCCACCCCUAAAUAUGAGAUUCUCUACCACUCCAAUUUAUCCCAUUGUUAGCAAUCCUAUUAGCUGUUUUAUAUCCUAUUUUUAUUAUGCUCCCCAAACAAAUAUGUUUCACGUAAAGGUGCCCAACGGGCUGCACCGUCCGUCUGAAUGAGCGCACGAGAGGCUCCACAUGACACGGCAAUCUUUUUUAAUGAGGGCGUGUCUGAUAUGCUCUUUCAAGUCUACAUACCUAACGUUCUUUUUUUAAGUGCAUAUAUUUUUUUUUUAAAGCUCAUGUGAAAUUCAGUAGUAAGAGAAUGCAAUACUAGUUAAUAAGUUAGAGCCUACAAAAUAAUAAUAAUAAUAAUAAAAUUUUCUUUAAGGGUUAACAUUUUAUUGUUAACUUGAAUUUACAUACUGUUAUAGAUUAUAGUCCAUAAUAAUAUUAAUAUUUACAAGUUUCAAAUUAAAAUUUAAUAAUUAACAUUUCAUUAACACAACUAUAUUAUCUAAUUUUGCAAUAACCAAUUAUAAUACAACAAUACAUAAUUCUAAUUUCAUAGACCAUGGUAAUAAAAUCUCUACAUUAAUGAAAAAAUUUAUUUUGAUAUAUGUCGGUCUGCUUGCUAUUGAUGGCCGAUGGUCGUAUGCUAGCCUGCUAAUGAAACAUGUUUAUUAUUGGUUUUUUCAUGUGUCUUGUUUUACCACAUCUCUAAUCAAAUUGUACUCUUAAAAUCCACAGCCUAACCUAGCCUCUGUGUGUGUCCUGUCGUGCCAUACUAUACAAACACGUAUCCGGUACUAUCCCACGUACCGGUCGGCCCUUUGCCAUCUCUAGUUUCACCCCUAAAUGAAAUCUAAACGGCUAUUGGCAAGUAAGAAAACUUGUUAUUCUUUAUUUUGAAAAUAAAGGGAAUUGCUUAGUUUGAUAUUGUUUUUGGUAAGUCAUUUUUUGUUUUGAAACAUUUUUCUGAGAUGUUGUAUUUGGUGAAAAAUAAAUUAUUUUAUUUUAUACUUUUAAUGAAGAAAAGUAGAGAAAAACAUUCUUAUAAGUGCACCCGUGCCACUUUUUUCUUGUUUUAUUUGUAUGAUAAUUAUCAUGGACCCACGUAACUUUCUUUUGCAUUUAAAAUUUCAUAAUAAAUUAAAUUAGACAAAAGAAAUGAGUCCCACAAAUAAUUUAUUUUAUAAUUUUUUAAAUAAUACUAUUUUAAAAUAAAUUAUCAAAACAAAUUUCAUAUUCACUAAAAUUAAUCAUAUUCAUAUUAUAAAAUAAAUUUAAAAAUAAUAUCUGAAAAGUAAUGCUAAAUACACUCUUAAAUUUUAUGUACGGUAUUAGAAUUGAUGAACAAUCUGACAAAGAUGCUGCGACUUAAGUAGAGAUGACAAUUAAAGUUGGAUUUGGAAAAAUUCGUGUCUGCAAAUUAAAAAAAUGUGGAUUCGGAUAUGGAAAUUUGGAAUUCACAUGGAUCCAGAUAAAUUUUAUUUUAAAUUAAAAAUAUAUAUUAAAAAUUAAAUGAAAAAUUAAAAAUAAAUUUUAUUUGUGAUUUUAUGAUGAUGUUUUAUAUUAUUCAUGUUGAAUUAUUAAUGGUUGGAUUAUGAUUGAAUUUUAUUUGAUAUUAUUAGGUAAAUUAUUGAAUUUUAUUUAAAAUUUAAAAUUAAAUUAAAAAUAUAUAUUAAAAAUUAAAUAAAAAAAAUUAUAUUUUAUUUGUAGAUUUAUGAGAUUAUUGUAUGUUAUUCAUGUUGAAUUAUUAAUUGUUGAAUUAUGAUUGAAUUUUAUUUGAUAUUAUUAGGUAAAUUAUUGAACUUUUAAAUUAUAUAUUAAAUUAUUUAAUUUUAAUUUUUACGGAUUUGGAUAUCCAAAAUAUCCUCCAAUAUCCGUUGCGGAUAUUACCCGCUUCUGGAUCCACAUCUUUUUAUACGAAUUCAGAUAUAAAAAUAUGAAUGCGAAUCCGAAUCUGGAUUUUGCCAACCUUGAACCUAAGCAUGAAUGGGCCUAAAGUUUCUACAACAAACAUGGAUCAUUCAAUGACACGACAUGUUUUACAGCUCUCAUUAGUAUAAUUAAAUAAUUAAUUCCUCUCUAUAUUCAACUUACUCCGUCUCAAAUUGCAUGCACAUACAAAAAUACACUUCUGAAUCGUUCACUUGAGGAAAAUUCCAAAUUCUCCACGUAGAAUUUAGAUUCAAACCAUAGCAAAUUAGACAUAAUUCUAAUUUAUAUAGCAAAUAUAAUUAGCGAAGACACUCUUUAUAUAAACAUUAUUGUCAAACCUAAUAAGAUUCAAGGUCUUAACAUACUUCAUAUGAAAUUUGAUCUUGGCGCGUACCAACACGAAUAACAUCAAGACUCUACUUCAUAUAAUGUUAACUUCAUGGAUUUUCCGCUCUCUUGUGGGUCUAUCGUUUGUUUGCAAACUUUUCCAUUUUAAAUUGACAAUUAUAGGCGCUCUCUUGUGGUACAUAAAAUAAACGUUUAUUUUUAGAAUAUUAUUAUUUAUCUCAAUUUUUUAUUUAAUAGUUAAUCUUAAUCAAUUCUUAAACUGCCAUAAUCAAUUAAUUUUUUACAUUAUGGCAUCUUAAAUAAAUUUAGGAUAUGUAAUAAAUAAAAACUGGUAACGUUUGUUCUUUUAAAGCAUAAAAUAACCGUAACAUUGGUUUUUACAUUUUGAAUUUUUCUUGCAUCACUAUUUAGAUUAGAAAAAUGAUGUUAAAUCAACUCACAAAAUAUAUCAAGCCAUCUAAAAUCCAAAUAUUAUUACAUUUGUAUUUGCAUUGUUAAAUUGUUGGAACGACGGCAAAGCAAUUGAAAAGAUAUUAACAAAAAAGUAAAGAUUGGCCAAGGAUUAUUCAUGUUUAGGAAAUGCCUUAACUUUUGAUAUAAUCAUUGUUAUAAUUAUAUUGUAGAAAUAAUCAAUUACCUAAUGUUUGAGGUGGUAAAUAUUAUUAACUUGUUUUACUAUACCCGUGUUUAUGUUGGUCUCCUUUUUGUCCAUUUCUGUACAACGAAAUAUUUGCAUGUUUUGAUAGAAAUUGGUUUAAAUGACAUUUAAAAUAGUAUAUCCCCAGACAAUUAACGAAAUAUUUGGAUGGUAGGAUGAAGUAAUAAAUAGUUUUACAAAUUACCAUAUUAGAGGUAAAAAAAAAAUCGAGAGGUUACUUGACAAUUAUGACAUUACUAACUACAAAUUUAACACAAAAAGUUUAAUUAACUUUUCAUUUUGAGAUGACAAAAUCUCUGCUGUUGAAAACAAUGAGGUUUGAGGUUCAAGCUUGAAUAUCAAGUUACAAUUAGUAGAUAGUCUUAGGACAUAUCAAAGAUUUCUUUAAAGACAAAAUAAUAAUUACAAGCAAUAGGAAAUUAUGGUAUUCAGAACAUGUAACCUUCGCACAUGAAGCUUGAGUCCAGCAAAAGAUGCAGCUAGCCAAUCCUUCAACUUCCAAAACCCCACAAAAUCUGUCAACAUAUCUGCUCUACUUCAAUAUUAAGCACAUUCAUAGUGGCAUCAACAGCUUACAGCGCCAAAAUAUUUUCCCCAAAAAGAGUGAGAGAUUUCACAGAAGCUAAGUUGUGACUUGUGACUGCCCAAAUGUUCUAUAACACGAUAUGAUUAUUCUAGCAACACAAAUCCAACAGCAUGCAACAUAAUCUACUCUCUAACAUUGCGCAUUAGUAAAAUAAAACAGAGUAAAAAGAGAAACCAUGCCUGUGAAUCUCUUCCUUUCCCCCUGCCACCCCUUUUUUUGCUGAAGUCCAUCAAAUGAAAAUGCAGCAUGACCACGUUGGCCACUGCCACUGCCAUUACUUCUUCAACUGUGCCUUUUGUUGCAGGAAAUAUUCAAGAGAAAGAUUGGAUUAUAUAAUUCAAGAUUCCAAUAAACCUGAGCUGCAAAGGUUGCCUUCCACUAGCCUAUCAGAGACUAUGCUUUCUAUUUUCCUAGUUUUUUAAUCAAAAUUUUGCAAGAUUUAUUUAUGGAAAUCUUGGACAAAAUUUUAUGUAAGAUACCAUAAAGCCAAACACAAUCUUUUUAAUUCUCAGCAGCAACAUUUAAAGUAAAAAAAUGGAAGCCAUAUGAAUAUAACUAUGUUUGGUACAAGGAACAAUUAUUUCAAGCUUUCAGAAAUGCUACCAAGAAAUUGUAAGAGAACUUUACCUGGUCACAGAAUAUGUCAAACAUACUACCACCAACUGUCUUUAGCACAAUUGUUAUGAAGUAGCUUCUGAAUCGGAAGAUUCAAGCUUCCACCGGGCACCAUUUUUUUCAUUCUUGAUACAAUCUGCAUCAGUGGCAUGAGUUAUAUCAUCAACAUUUGCAUCCUCACUCUCAUCAUCCCAAUCAAGGCUUCUUCUCCAGCUCUGGAUUAUAAGUCCACUCCGACAUCUUCAAACAUCUCGGUCCUUCCAUUUGCCAACAACCGAUAUGGCUUCCUUCCUUGCCUUUCCCAUUAAUAUAUCACUCGAAGGAAAAAAAGCAUCAGCAAUUCUCUUCAACGCCUCAUCGUUUAUAACCCCCCAAAAAAAGGGUCUUCAGACACCUCAACUUUGCCUUCUGCAAAAUCUCCACAAAAUCUGAAUUAUCCAACACAACAGCCAGACACUCAAUCCUUCUUUUGUCCAUCAUAUCCACCGUAUGAUUCCUCAACAAAAUAUCUACAGCUUGUGGCUUAUCUAACACUGUCUUGAUCCAAAACCCCGCUCUUUUCAACUCAUCUGCCAAACCAUAACCCACUUUUGGAGUCAAAAUUGUCCUUGCAGCCCUUUUAUAUUUUUCCAUCUCCAUCGAAUACUUGCCACUCAAAUGGAAUUACCAGACAGGAAUCCCAGUAACAAGUCCACUCAACUUCUUCUCAUCUGAUCCCUCUUUCACUCGGGCGGAAACAUUAAUAACCAUUCACCAGCCACAAAUUACCCAAGUAAGUACUCGUGUCGUCAACACUUACCCUUCACUUCAUCUACGCAAACAAGAAUUCAAAUUGCUUACUAGCUAGUGCUCGAGCGAAAGCCAGAAUAAUUUAAAUAUGUGUGUGUGUGUGUUAAAAGAGAAACGGUAGCGAAGUUAUUAUACAAUAAAGCAAACCAAAAUAAAUUCUACACUCAUGUGGCGCUCAAAGCCAUGAAUUUGAUAUCAUCCAUGAGGGGAGUUCAAACAACAGCAUGUAAGAAGCAACAAGUGUUGAGAAAAAAAAAGUGACAAAAACAAAGCUAAUCACAAUGAAUGAUAAGGUUUAGAGUAAACAUAAAGUUAUAAUCUUGAACAUAAGUGGCCCUCAAAGCCAUGAAUUUGAUAUCAUCCAUGAGGGGAGUUCAAACAACAGCAUGUAAGAAGCAACAAGUGUUGAGAAAAAAAAUAAAAAUUCAUUCUAACACAGCAGAAUAAAUUGUAAAGAAAUCCCAGUUUGUAUAAAAGAAAGAAAACAAAAUUAAGGAAAACAUAAGCACAACAAAAUUUGACUGAUUAUUAAAAAUGAGAAAUGAGUUAUAAUGAGAAUUUUAGCUUUGUUGUGAAAUAAAUUGGGAAGUAUCCAAAGUACGCAUGUAAAUAAUAUAAAUGAUAAGAAGACGAAGGGAACAAAAUGAUAAUAAGCAAGCCAAAUAUUAAAAUGCAGAUUCUACGCUUCCCCCCCCCCCCCAGUUAGUGUCUCGCUAAUCAUUUUCGAUGUAUCAAUUACAAAGGUAGUAAGCGUACUGUCACGGGAUGAGUAUUUUGCGCAGCUAACCCGUGCGGCACUUAGAUAGUUUUGCCGAAUGUUGCUAAGUAAGCCUAGAACUUCUCGAACUAGAAAAGAGAGCAAUUGAGCCGAAUAAGAGAAAUUGUAUUGCACAAAGAGAGAUUACAAUGCUUGAGUUGCUUACAAUACUUGUUGUAGUGUUUGUUGGAUGCAAAUGCCUAAUGCCAUCCCAUAUUUAUAGGGGAGGCUUGCCAAGCUCUAGAGAUUCUAGAGAAUUCUACCACUUCCUAGCUAUUUACAUGUGCUGGAAUUGUAAGGAGAAUUCUAGAGUAUUUACAAGCUCAUGUGCUAGAGUUGCCUAGAAUGUUCCGGAAUUGGGCCAAGCUAGCACUCUUAGCCUUGUGUUGGCUCUCUAGCCCGAAAUUGUGGGCAAUUGGGCUAGCGAAUUGGGCGGUCCACAACAUCCUCCCCCACCUAAGCUCGCGGCAUCCUCGUCGCGCUUUCGUGCUUGAAGUGUUGAAUGUGCUCGGCGAAUUGCCACAAAUCCUCUUCACGUUCCCAAGUGACUUCGCUCUCGGGGAGGUUUUUCCACUUCACCAAGUACUCGCUAUGUGCUGGCACGCCUCUCCUCGAAACCACGCGGUCUGCAAUGAUGUAGUCCACAUCUUUGUCGAACGCGGUGAAAAUGGUGGUUGGCCGCGCCUUGAUUCUCCGCGACUUGGGUCUCCCAUGUCUUCGUGAUAUGGCUUGAGAAGAUUCACAUGGAAGACCGGAUAGAUCUUGAGUUUUGGCAGAAGUUGAAGUUGAUACGAGACGUUGCCCACACGUCGAACAACUCGGAAGGGUCCCUCGUAGCGCCUCACUAACCCCUUGUGGACUUUCCGCAACGUCUUGAAUUGUUGGGGUAGGAGCUUGAUCAUGACUUGAUCACCUUCCGUGUACUCAACACGCCGUCUCCUUGUAUCCGCCCAUUUCUUCAUUUUCCUCGCGGCUUUGUCGAGGUAGGCUCGCGUGAUGUCUGCUUCCUCAUGCCACUCGCGGGCGAGCUUGUGUGCCGCGGGGCUUUUCCCUCCAUAAGUCGAGGCUAUGGCAUUGGGGGUCAUGGGCUGGAAUCCCAUGAUGAUCUCGAAUGGACUCUUGCCCGUAGCCUCACUUCGCUGCAAAUUAUAAGAAAAUUGGGUGAUGUUGAGUAGCUUCGCCCAACCCCGCUGAUGAGUGCUCACAUAAUGCCUCAAGUACAUCUCGAGGAGGCCAUUAAUGCGCUCGGUCUGCCCAUCCGUUUGUGGGUGGAAGCUGGUCAAGAACUUAAGAUCAGUCCCCAACAUCUUGAAGAGCUCCGUCCAAAAGCGUCCAGUGAACCGAGGGUCUCGAUCGCUCACAAUGCUCUUUAGAACUCCCCAAAGCUUUACGAUGUGCUUGAUGAAUAGGCGGGCUGCCUCGUCCGCUUUGCAAUCGACUGGUGCGGCGAUGAAUGUGGCGUACUUGCUGUAUCGGUCGACAACGACCAUGAUGCUACCACAACCUUCGGACUUGGGCAGCGAUGUGAUGAAGUCCAUGGAGACACUUUCCCAUGGCCUUGUUGCUAGUGGUAGCGGCUCCAACAAUCCCGUUGAAAGUUGAUGAUCCACUUUGUCUUGUUGGCAAACAAGACAAGUUCGCACAUAUGCCUCGAUGUCGUCCCUCAUGUGUGGCCAAAAAUGCGAGGCUUGAACUAGUGCGGUGGUGCGCUCGAUUCCUGGGUGACUAGCCCACUUGGAGUCGUGGCACUCCUUGAUUACUUCCUUCCGUAAGUUUCCCCACCUUGGCACGAACAGCCGAUCUCCCUUGGUGAGGAGGAUGCCUUCCUCUUGCCAAAAUCGCCUUGUCUUUCCCUCGAGCAACUUUUCCAGCAAAUUCUUUGCUAGCGGAUCUUGUUGGAGGCCUUUCUUGAUGCGUGAGAUAAGGUCGGACUUCGGUUGGCUCAUGCUAAGUGUUGCCAAUUCCGCCUUGCGGCUUAGAGCGUCCGUAACGACAUUGGCUUUCCCUGGUUUGUACUCGAGCCGAUAGUCGAAUUCCGCUAGAAAAUCCUGCCACCUUGCUUGCUUCGGACUCAACUUCUUUUGUGUUUGAAAGUAGCUCGUUGCUACGUUGUCCGUCAUAAUCGUGAAGUGAGAGCCUAGCAAGUAAUGUCGCCACACUCUUAGACAAUGGAUGAUGGCUGUCAUCUCCUUCUCUUGCACCGUGUAGCGGCGUUCCGUAUCAUUUAGCUUUCGACUCUCGAACGCUAUAAGGUGGCCUUCUUGCAUGAGGACUCCCCCUAUGGCGAAAUCCGAGGCAUCCGUUUGGACUUCGAAGGGCUUUGUGUGGUCCGAAAAGGCGAGGACUGGUUCCUCCGAAAUUGCCUUCUUCAACUCCUCGAAUGCGCGUUGGCAUCCUUCGGACCAAUGCCACGUUCUGUUUUUCUUGAGCAUAUCCGUCAAGGGUGCCGCCUUGGCCGAAUAGCCCUUGAUGAAGCGGCGGUAGUAGUUCACCAACCCAAGGAAUGAGCGAAGCUCGGGCACUUUUGAGGGAGGUUCCCAUUCGAGGAUGGCCUUUACUUUGGCGUUCUCCAUCAUGAUCUUCCCGCCCGCAAUCUUGUGGCCAAGGAACUCCACUUCUUGUUGGGCAAACGAGCACUUCUCCAACUUGAGGAAGAGCUCGUUGUCUCGGAGCACUUGGAGGACUUGUCGCAAGUGUUGGGCAUGAUCCUCGAGCGUGGUGCUAUACACCACGAUGUCGUCCAAGUACACGACCACGAAGCGGUCGAGGAAUGGUUGGAGCACCUUGUUCAUGAGCGUGUAAAAUGUGGCGGGUGCAUUAGUAAGGCCAAAAGGCAUCACAAGGAAUUCGAAAGACCCGUACCUUGUUGUGCACGAUGUCUUCGGUUCGUCUCCCUUGACGAUGCGCACUUGGUAGUACCCGGAGCGCAAGUCGAGUUUGGUGAAGUACCGCGUUUUGCCAAGCUGGUCGAACAAGUCCGCGAUCAAGGGAAUCAGAUACUUGUUCUUGAUGGUGAUAUUGUUGAGCGCUCUAUAGUCGAUGCACAUCCGCAGCGAUCAAUCCUUUUUCUUUUGGAAGAGCACGGGUGCACCGAAUGGGGCCUUUGAGGGGCGAAUGUAGCUUGCAUCCAGCAAGUCUUUAAGUUGUCUCCGCAACUCUUCUAAUUCGGGUGGCGCCAUGUGGUAAGGCGCCAAGGCUGGUGGCUUCGCACCUUGUUCCAGCUCGAUCGCAUAAUCUACCUCUCGUCGAGGUGGGAGCUUCUUCGGAAGUUCUGGAGGCAUCACGUCCUUGUACUCGUUGAGGACUUUUUGUAUUUGCGGAGGGACUUGGCUUGGCUUGUUUCCGCAAUCUCCUUCCUCGUUUAGUUCCCGAAUGGAGACCAAGAAGCUUGGGUCCUUCUUGAAAGCCCUUUUGAAUUGCAUGGCGGAGAGUGUCUUCUCCUCGGACUUGCCUCGUUUCGUGGGAACCAUGCAUGCCUUGCUCCCAUCGAGGAUGCUUAGGGAGUUUGUAGCGGGCAGCGGGAAGGCAUGGACUUGAUCGAAGAAUUCCAUGCCGAGGACCAUCUUGACGUCAUCCAUGGGCAUAAUGGAGAAGUCAAGCUUUCCGCUCCACGUACCAAGUGUAAUGUGCACGCCUUGUGCGAUUCCCGCAAUUGGCUUGGCGGGUGAGUUCACAGCCUUCAUCGUGCCUCCUUCCUUGGUGGCCUUGAGGCCUAAGCGCUUGGCCUCGUCUACGGACACGAAAUUGUGCGUUGCUCCCGUGUUUAGCAGUGCGCGAACGGACUGGCCGUUUAUUUUCGCGCUUACAUACAUGAGCCCUUUCUUGACAAGUGUGGGCUGUUGGCGAUUGAGUGCGCCAAGGCGUUGGAGAGAACCCAUGCUGAGUUGGGGUUCCUCCGUGGACAUUGUGGGGUUGCUCUUGAGUUGGGCAGCAAGAGCAUUAAGCGACCUCUUCUCCGGACAGUCGCGUACCCAAUGAGGACCGUUGCAUAUGAAGCACGGGCUUCGUGGCUUUGGCGCCUCCUUUUUGCCCUCCGAUUUUCCUUACUCGCUCUUGUUGCUAGGCGGCUUUUUCUGCCCCCAAUCUUUGCGGUUGUUGCCCUUGUCCUUGCGACUAUCUCCCCCACCUUUGCCUUGGUUGGCCUUUUUGUCCUUGGAUUGGGUAGAGUAUUUGGUGAACGACUCCGCAAUGGCGAUGGCGUCGUCAAGUGUUUGAACACCACGCCUAUCAAGCUCGGUCUUGGCCCAAUCCUUGAGGCCAUCUUGGAAGUAGAAGAGCGAAUCCUUGUCGGACAUGUCGCUUAUCUCCAACAUAAGGGUAGUGAACUCAUUGAUGUAGUCCCGAAUGCUACCCGAUUACUUGAGGCGACAUAAGCGCGCUCGCGCUUCCUUCUCCGCAUUGCUUGGGGCGAACUGCUUUCGGAGUUCUUGCUUGAAGUCGGCCCAAGUGUCGAUGGUGCAAAUGCCCUUGCCCAUCUCGCCAUGCUUGUGACGCCACCAUAGUUGUGCAGCACCUCUAAGAUAGGUGGGUGCAGUGCCCACUUUCGAUGCCUCAUCUCGAACACCCAUGGCAUCGAAGUAUUGAUCAAGCCCGAAUAGGAAGUUGUCCACGAUUGUGGCGUUGCGUGUGCCAUCGUAGGUGUCGGGCUUUGGCACAUCAAUGCGGCGCGCAUCACUCGAGUUUGCAGAAGCUGGACUUGUGGAGAGUGUGCGCUUGUGCCAUGCCCAAUCUGAGCGGACUUCAUCCACUUCCGCACGGACAGCGCGUAGUUCGUCCUGAACAAAACUACGAAGUUUGAGUAACUCAUCAUGGAAGGAACGAAACUCACCUUGGAGAGUGUUUGCUUGCUCUUGGAUGAGAGCUUUGGUUGCCACCGUGAACUCGGCGUAUUCCCCUUCGAAACCGUCCACUCUUUCCUCCAAUCCCUCGAGGCUAUCUUGAGCGGUGGACAAAGUGAUUUCGAGAGUAGUCACACGAGGCUCCAACACAUCCACGGAUGGGGCCUUGGACUUGCCACGAGUCUUGCCUUGGGCGCGUUCUCCCUCGCGGCCGCGGCUUGGUUCCGGUGGAACAUCCACACCAACAACACCCUCUUGUGCUACGUUCGAAGGGUUGGCCAUUGCUCGUGAGCUAACUUGCGUGUGUGCAAACCUUAGCUCUAAUACCACUUGUCACGGGAUGAGUAUUUUACGCAGCUAACCCGUGUGGCACUUAGACAAUUUUGCCGAAUGUUGCUAAGUAAGCCUAGAGCUUCUCUUACUAGAGAAGAGAGCAAUUGAGCCGAAUAAGAGAAAUUGUAUUGCACAAAGAGAGAUUACAAUGCUUGAGUUGCUUACAAUGCUUGUUGUAGUGUUUGUUGGAUGCAAAUGCCUAAUGCCAUCCCAUAUUUAUAGGGGAGGCUUGCCAAGCUCUAGAGAUUCUAGAGAAUUCUACCACUUCCUAGCUAUUUACAUGUGCUGGAAUUGUAAGGAGAAUUCUAAAGUAUUUACAAGCUCAUGUGCUAGAGUUGCCUAGAAUGUUCCAAAAUUGGGCCAAGCUAGCACUCUUAGCCUUGUGUUGGCUCUCUAGCCCGAAAUUGUGGGCAAUUGGGCUAGCGAAUUGGGCGGUCCGCAACAGUACGCCUCUAAUGUUUUGCCAAGUGUCCAUUGAUAAUAUCACAAGGGAAAUUAAAUUGGUGUAUGUGUAUUACACCUCCUAAAGUCAUGUUAAGAUAGUUAGUGAGCUGAUAAAGUUUGUUGCACAUGUGAGUUGGUUAAGUCUGCUAGAAAUGCAAACGUGUAAAGCUUAGUUAGUUAAGGUUGUUACGAAUGCUUAGAUUCAGUUCACGUGUAUUGUAUGUAAUGCUUAGAUUCAGCUCAUGUAGAUUGUGUAUACAACUUUCUAAUAUUCUUUAGAUCUCAAUAUAAAUACUUGUAAUCAACAAAUACAAUAAUAAGAGUCAUCAUUCUUCAUUUUCUCUAUGUUUCUCUCAUAUUUUCUCUGCAUCCAAACACAAUAUUCUCAAUUCUUGACUUGGUAUCAGAGUUGCAGUUUAAUUGUCAUGGCUUCCUUAAGCACAAAUUCAAACACAAAUCAGUCUCCUUCAUUCUUUACCCUCACAAAUGCGAUCAAACUGGACAGAUCUAACUAUACGAUCUGGAAAUUUCAGAUCCUCUCUUUAGUGCGUGCCAAUGGACUUGAAGGCUUUCUUAAUGGAACUAAAAUUUGUCCAGAUCAGUUACUUACUCAAGAGAUUGAAAGUUAUGGUGUUGAAAAUGUUGUUGGUGAAAGCUCAGCUGAUAGAUCUCAAGAGAAUCCAGCCUUUGUUGCUUGGAAAAGGUAGGAUCAAUUGUUAUUAAGUUGGCUCAUGCCCUCCAUCAGUGUUGAGAUACUUAGUCUUGUGGUAAAUUUUGAUUCUUCUUAUAAACUUUGGACUAAUCUUGAAGAAAAUUUUUGGAUUAGAAACUAUGGCUAAGAAAGCACACUUAAAAAUGAUGUUAAGCAAUCUCAGAAAGGGAUCAAUGCAAUAACUGAGUAUUUUGCCAAACUUAGAGCUGUAACUAAUAAACUUGCUCUAACUGGUAGCCCUGUUUCUACUCUAGACUUUAUUACUUAUCUAAUCUCUACAUUAGGCCAGCCAUACUACCCUGUUGUUUUGUAUAUUGAAGCUAUUGUUUUGUAUAUUGAAGCUAAUAUGAUGAAAAUAUUUGUCAAUGAAGCCUAUUCUAUGCUUUCAACUCAUGAAGCAAGAAUUAAAUUUAAUCAUCCGAGUGCAAAUAAAGAAGCAAAGUUGAAUUAUGCUGCUAACAUAGCUUAGGCUGGACCUAGUAAUAACAAUAAGAAGUCUAGUAAUCAAGCUAAUUACUAUCAGGGCAACCAAGGUAACGGGAAGAGAAAUGCUCAUUGGUGUGGUAACAAUGGAGGAAGAGGUGGCUUUGGCAGAGGUUUUUCAGGGCAAGGAAGGGGUAAUUAGAAUAAUGGUGGUCAUUGGAACAAUGGACCUUUGGAGUAGUAGUCGAGCAUGUUAUAAUGGUUCUGAUAUAAACAAUAUGACAUGGUUGCUGGUGAACCUGUAAACAUAACCACAAAAGUAAGAAGGCAUAAUCUUUUUAUAAGAAACUCAAAAAUCGGCAUGGUGCGAGUAAAACACCUUUGCAACCCAAUCAGCAAACUCCUUUGCAUUGGGCACAGUAGCGGAGAGGAACACAAAUCGGGAGUUCUUUGGAGCCAUCACAAUGCUCUCUUCCCAUACCACACCUCUCUCACGAUCCCGCAUGUAAUGUACCUCAUCAAAUAUAACCCAAGCCACUUCACGCGUAAUCUCUGAGCCUUUGUACUGCAUACUACGCCAGAUUUCAGUAGUCAUCACCUGAAAUUAAACUUCAUAUAAGCAAUCCACAAAUCAAAGCGCUGCAACACCCAAAAGAUGACACUACCAAGUUGACCUACCAAACAAGAAGCAUUAGGGUCAAUUGUGACAUCCCCAGUCAUCAAACCGACAUCUGAAAACUCUUCUUUAAACUCCCUGUACUUCUGAUUGCUGAGUGCCUUAAUCGGUGAAGUAUAUAUCACACGUUGCUUAUUCCGCAACGACAUAGCAAUAGCAUACAAUGCUACCACAGUCUUCCCAGCAGAUGUAUGGGCCGAUACCUGUCAAAUAAAUGAAAGGCAAACCCGAUUUUUUUUAUAAAAAAAAAAAAGAGAAAAAAAACUAUUUUUAUUUUUCACGCAAGAUAACACUUAAUGCAAAAAUUAUUAUCAGUGAGCUGAAAAGCAGAGCGCUUUGUACGAAAGCACUUCCAAAUUCGAAUUAAAUUUUUUACAAAAAAUUACAGCUUUAUAUAUAUGUGUGUGCGCGUGCGUAUAAUAAUAAUAAUAAUAAUUAACGAACCGUAACGGACUCGCCGUUGUCGAGGCACUUGAUAGCUUCGGACUGGAAUGGGUCGAGAGUGAAAGGGAAUUCCUUAGCAGGUUUAAACAUAAAACGCGGCGUUUUCAUGGACUAGUACAUUCCAUGCUUCGAAAGUUUAUGUUUUAGACUGAUUGGUUUGAUACAUUAUUUGUUUAUUGCGUGUUUCUUGCUUUAAAUAUUAUGUUGGAUUGAUAAGUUUUGUACACAUUUAUAUUGCUCGCAGUAAAUAAUUUAUUACAUUUAAAAAACUAUCAACCGUCUAUCAAAAGAUUUCUACCAUAAAUAUAUAUACACAAAAAAACUUUUAAUUUGGUCAAUUUGUUCUCUUAUUUAUUUUUGUUCUAUUUCUCUUUUCCUUUCAUUUCAUUUUAUUUUUUUAUGGUACAAAAAAAAAAAACCUUAAAAUUUAAGGGUAAAAUACUCAUUUUACUAAAUUCCGUUUAAUAUCAUAAUGCUGUCAAUGGACAAUGGCAAAGUACACGGGGAAAUUUAUAGUAAUAACCAUUAAAGUUUUUAUUUUUUUCAUCUUAACCCCCCAAAAAUAUUUCUAUCAACAUUAGCCAUAAAACAACCUUUGAGACCAAAAUACCCUUCUCCCUCAUCUCUCCCCCAACACUCCCUUUCACUCAUCUCUCCCAAACCGAUCCAACUCCCAUCAUCGGCGGCAACAUCAACCCUCGUUGGCGGCGGCUCCAUCUCUCACCGGCAUCCGAUCUACGAUCUACAACCUUCAACAAAACCUAGGUUAGUCAUUUUUCUUAUUUUCAUUAAUUUAAAAUGAAAUUUUAGAAUAAUAAUGGUUAUAGUUUGAGAAUAAUGUUGAUGGUGGUGGUGUUUGUGGUGGUUGGUGGUGUUUGGGAGUAUUGUUUUUCGAUUUUGGAGUGUUGUGGAUUAAUUUUGGGGGUGGGGAGGGAGGGGGGUAGGGCGCGCGCGCGCGCCCAUCGCUGGGCAGCAGCGCGAGCCCAUGCGCGGCCCGCUGUCGCACCAAAUCUGGUGCUACAGGCCCUGUCGCCAGAUUCACCUCCCGACUCAGUUCAGCAAGUUCAGAAAAUAACUCAUACCACUAAGUGAUGCCGAUUAGUGUUGAUCCGGAUAGAUUAUGAUCGGAUUUCACUUUUAUCGUUGUCUUUUGCCGUCGCCGUUGGCUGAUGAUUCAAGAGUGGCAAGCUGCGUUUAGUUUGACGAUAUGGGUGAAACAAUGUUGCUUUUGGUCUGUAAAGAAGGGUAAUUUGGGGAGAAAAGCUUGUGUUUGGCUAAUGUUGAUAGAAAAAAAUUGAGAGAGUUAAUUGUGAAAAUAACAAAAUAUUUAUGGUUACUUUCGUAAAUUUUCCAAGUACACGAGUGAUACAAAUUAAAAACAAAUAAAUUGAAAGUUUUUAUGUAUUUUCCUUUUAUUUUUUAUAGCCGAUUGAGAUUUCCCUUCGUAUUCUUAAAUUCAAUACGUUUAGACCGUUUAAAAAAUUUUAAAUUAAAAAAAAAACCCGUGGUGUAAUAACAAACUCACAUCAAACCCUGUCCACUGUCAUCCCUAAUAAUAUUUACCACUUCUUACUCAAGAGUGAUAAUAACUGUGUAUCACAAUUGAUUUUGCAUACGGGUAAAAGUUCCAAGUCCGGAUAUUUAGUUAAUGAAAUUGAUGAAAAGGGCAUGAAAGAAAAUAAGAAAUUAAAUAAUACAGGUGGUAUUAAUCAUUACAUAUUUAGUUAAUGAAAAUUGAUGAAAAUAUUUCUGCAGACAUGAGCCGUAAAUAUAAUACCGUUAAGAAUGAAGCAGCAGAGGUUCCCCAAACAAGCUAAAACACGGCACCUGAAUUUAAAGAAUUUUUAUGUCACAGUAUCGGGACAAAAAGUUUAAUGCAACAACAUACAUUAAGUUAAUUCCAUAAUCUAUCACCAAAGAAAGACAAACACAAGCUUAUAAGAUUAGAACUUUGGAAAACAUUGAAGAGUCGGACAAAAUUGUGUAACCUUCAGAGUUUAGAGCCUAGUUCAUCCAGGAAAGCAAAAGAAAAAUAAUAACAAUAAUAAUGGUGGUUUGAUCUCAAAAGGUGGCAUCAAAGUGGUAACUUUGAGGUAUUGGAAGCAAUAACGUCUUCAACUUUGUCCUGAUUUCGAAGUCCCUUAACCCAUCCGCCAUCAAUGGAUUGAAUGCUUCCAUUCAACCAUCAUCCACAAACUCACCAACCCGUUUCACCUUCAUCUCCUCCGGCUUAACAGGGUACUUCCCAGAGAAGCAAGCAUAACAAAAAUUCUGAGAAUCAUCGCCUAACAUCUUGUUCAAGCUAACAAUCAGCAGAAAAGCAAGCGAAUCACACCCAAUAAACUCCCUGAUUUCCUCAACGCUCAUCCUGUUGGAAAUCAACUCCUCACUACUUGGAGUGUCUACUCCGUAGUAACAAGAAGCUAUGAUUGGUGGGCUUGCAAUUCUCAUGUGAACCUCUUUAGCUCCAGCCUCCUUAAGCAACCUAACAAUUUUCGAUGAAGUUGUUCCUCUCACUAUCGAAUCAUCCACAACCACAACUCUCUUUCCCUCCAACACUCCCGUUACAGGAGAGAGCUUAAGCUUGACACCAAAGUCCCUAAUCUUCUGGGAAGGCUCAAUGAAAGUUCUCCCAACAUAGUGUGACCUUAUCAACCCUUGUUGAAAUGGCACCCCGGCUUUCGCAGUGUACCCAAGUGCAGCCACCACUCCAGAAUCUGGUACUGCAAUCACAACAUCACACUCAACAGGAGCCUGGGUAGCAAGUACUUCCCCAAAAUGAUACCUCGACUCAUAAACAGACCUUCCAAAAACAACAGAAUUAGGCAAAGCAAAAUAAAUAUGCUCAAAGAUGAACUGCUUAGGUUCAGGGUGAGGCAUCAAACAAAGUGAUUGAACCCCAUCUUUAUCCACCAUCAAAACUUCACCGGGAUAUACCUCUCUCUCGUAUGUGGCCUCAAUCAAAUAGUGCACAAGUCUCUGACGCAAAAACCACAGCACCAUUACUCCUCCUACCCAUCACCAACGGCCUAAACCCGUACGGGUCACGAACCACAACAAGCGUAUCCUCAGUAACAAACACCAUUGAAUAAGCACCCUCAAGCUUCUCACAAGCAUCCACAAUCCUCAAAAAGAACGGCCUAGCUUUCGAUAUCGCAAUCAAAUAGAGAACAACCUCAGUAUCAGAACUAUUAUUAAAAAUGGAACCAUUAUCUCAAGCUUUGCCCUCAAAGUAUUAUAAUUAACUAAAUUCCCAUUAUGUGCAACACCAACAGAACCAAACCUGUACCCAGCAACAAAAGGCUGCACAAUCUUAAGCAUAGAACUACCGCAGUCGAAUAUCUAACAUGACCAAUGGCCAUAUCACCAGGCAAUUGAUCAAGUUUAGACUGAUUAAACACAUCAGAGACUAAACCAACACCGGUAAUACACUGAAGAACUUUAUUAUUCACAGCAACUAUACCUGCACCUUCUUGGCCGCGAUGCUGCAGAGCGUGCAGCGCCAAAUAACACAAACGCGAGGCCUCUGGGUCACCGUAGAUGCCCACAACACCGCACUCCUCACGGGGCUUAUCGUCGUCAUCAUCAUCAAAACUGCCAAAAUUGUCAUCUGGGUAUUCUUUUUUGUGGUGACAAACUCAUUGAUGGGGUUUUUUGAUAGAACAGUGAAGUUAUUUUUGUGGGUUAAAGAUUGUUGUUUCUGAGGAAAAAAAAGGGUUUUUUUUUGCAGGGUUUUGGAGAAAAUAGAAUGAUAGAUUUUUUGCGUCGGCCUAUGAUUAGCAGAGGGAGAUGGGUUUGAGAGAGGGCAGAUAUUGGCGGUGCUUGUGGUUGUGGCUGCCGUGAAUGGCUAAUUUUAUUUUAUUUUUUUCGGUUGCUUUGCUCAAAGAAAAAACAGAGGAGGUGUGUGGAGGGAGACAGUGGCGAAGGGUACUUUAAGUAGAGGGGAACUUGUGAGGGAAUCUGAUGCUGUGUUGUGCGUAUGAUUCAAUUACUUACUCAUAGCAAGAGGUGGUCAAUGGGCCGUGUCGUGCCGAGUUAGGCCUAUUAAAGGAGACUCUACGCGUAUUCGUGCUCGUACCGUGUCGUGUUCAUUAUGCGUUUCGUGCCAUACUGUACUGUGCCUAAUUUUUUUUUGCUUAUGCCGGCCCGACACACGUGCCGUGCCGUGCCGUGGAAAAAAAACUCAUUAAAUUUUUUUUUUUAAUAUUUUUAAGAGCGCAUGUCAAGUUGUUAUUUUUUUUUUAAGCCUAUGUAUUUUUUUUGAAUCCAUGUGCCUUUAUUCAAAUUUACUAGAACAAAAAAUUCAAAACUAAGUCCAUAUUCAAUAAUAAUAAAUUAAUAAUAAUAAGAUAAUGUAAUAUAAGUUUCUAAGUUUGACUCUAUGGUAUUAAAAUUCCUUUUAGUACUUAACAACAAUAAUAAAAAUAAUUUUUUUAAGAGUUAACUUAAUUUUUAAUUUAGAAUUACGUAGCAUAAUAUAUCAUAGUUUAUAAUAAUAUUAAUACAUAUUUAUAAAAUCAUAAUAUUUAUAAUUUUAUUUAUUAAAAUCAUGAUAUCAAUUAUAAUUAAAUAAAUUAAAUAAAUUUAAAAAACUUGAGCUAAUAAAAUAUAUUAAAAAAUUAUAUUUCAAUUUAUUUAUAAAUUCAUAAAAUUUUAAGUUUACUUUUAUUAAAAAAUGAAAUGUGUUUAUUGUGUGUUUUUUCACGUGCUGUGCUUUGGCCCGUCGUUAAUCGUGUCGUGCUUUUAAAGCCCACGUGCCUAAAAUUCUAAGCCUGGCCCAGCCCACGUGCGUGACGUGCCGUGCCGCGUGCUCUACCGAAACGUGCUCGAGUCAUGCCAUGUUGUACGGAUACAUGCCAUGCUGUACGAACACAUGUGCUGUGCUUUGGCCCAUCUUUAAUUGUGUCGUGCUUUUAAGGCCCACGUGCCUAAAAUUCUAAGCCUGGCCCAGCCCACGUACGUGCUGUGCUAUGCUGCGUGCUCUACCGAAACGUGCUCGUGCCGUGCCAUGCUGUACGGACACAUGCCAUGCUGUACGGACACAUGUCAUGCCCAUAUCGUGCCUUGUGCCGUUCGACCCAUUAGCCACCUCUACUUAUAGGUGAUACUGUUGUGUCACCACAAAUUCUAAUUGGAAAAUUUAGUUGUCAAUUUUUCUCCAAGGGUUAAUUAGGUAGAACAUUCAUGCUGUCGAAUUUUGUUGGAGAUUCUAAAAAUAAUUUCCAAAUAGAGAGAUGGACCAAAAUCAACAAAGUGACACAGAUACUUCAUAUUUUUUUCCUUGUGGGACAUAAAAAUUGAUGCAUGUUCUAAUGCAUUGCUCUGUCAGAAUUAGAAUUAAACUUAGUUUGUGUUCUCCUAUUCCGAAAGCAGAACUUAUACUUAUCGUAGGUGAUACUCUAAGAAGUAGAAAUUAAGAACCAUAAUGAAUUUAAUGUUUUUAAUUUGCUAGAAAUCAGGGAUGGUAGAAAUCCCCACAGGGAUGGGUACCCUCAGGGAUUUUUCCCAUUCGGAGAGGGUAUUGGGACAAUUUUUUAUCCAGUUUCUUAUUCGGGAAAGGACGGAGAUAGUUUUUUACCUAGUUUCUUAUUCGGGGAAGGGACGAGGAAGAGGCAGAAUCCUCAUCCCCUCCCCAUUUCUGCAUUUUAAUUUUUAAAACUAUUAGUAAAUAAAUAAUAAAAUGUAAAUUAUAAACUAUUAAAUAUUAGUAUAAAUAACAAGGGUCAUCUUGUGGUGCCACUGUGGCACCGUGUCAUAAUUUUUUGUCUUUAUUCAGUCAAGUCGUUGGAUGGUUAGUCGUUCAAUCCAACGGUUUAAAUUAAUUAUUGGAGAAAGGCUGCGAGAACUUACAACCUUUGCAGCCAGUUUUGUGUGAUUGUAAUACCAUCCAAUAUUGGGCGUGCGUUUUUAGAACCUUGGAACUACGCCAUUUUGUUUCAGCGAGUUCAUUUGAAAAUCAAUCUGCAGACAGAAAGUGAACACACGAAAUUGGUAUUCCUGGAUCAAAAUUAUUGUUGGAAUUAUAUCUAACGGUUGAUGUGUGCAUGAAUAUGUUUGCGCAGUUGUAGGGAGGCAACAGUGAAAUAAAAAAAAAUCUCGGCAUGUGCAUUCGAAGGAAUUUUUGAUGCUGAAAGUCUAAGCAUAUCGAAUCAUCUGACGUAGUAGGUAAUUCGUUCUUAAACUUGCAAUUUGUUUUAGUUGGAAUAGAUUUAAAAGUCGUUAUUAUGGUUAGUUGAAUAGUUCGCCGAUGAGUUCAGUAAACAGGUGGUAAUAGGGAAAAUUUUCAAUUAAGUAUGUAAACAGGGGUCGUCAAAGAAUGUGAGGUUAAUAAGGAGGACUGAUUUGAAGAAUCUCACUGCACUAAUCGCCGGAUUGAAGGUGCAAGAGGGACUUAAAAGUGUUCGGUGAUGAAAUGAAAUUUGUUAGUGAGUAAAUUUCUUUUGUAAGUAUCAAUUGGUUAUAUGGGUAAUUGAUGAGGACAUACUUUUACGACAUGUUCUUAUAUUUAAAUUGUUAACUUUUUUUUUAUCUUCUGGUGACCAAUAAUCACUACUAGAAAAAUGGUCUUUACUGACACUUGAUUUGUGACAAUUUUUUAAAAAGUAUCAGUAUUUUCAUACAUAUGGACCAUUUUCCGUGUUUAACAUAAAAAUAUCACAAAUUAUUGAUACUAUAGUGUGUGUAACUUAGAUAUCAGAGAUUUCUGACAUUAAGGUAUCAGUAAUAAAAAUAAAAUAAUUAUAAUUAGGUUCCAAAUAGAACUCGAACCGAUUACCUCUAGUACUCAAGCGUUUAAGUUCGAAAAAAAGACCAGGACAUUCAAAACUCAAAUUUUCUUGUUCAGAAAAGUAACGACUAAACCAAACAUUUUUUUUUUUAACUUUUCCUGUUUAAUUUAGACAAUUUUUUUUUUUUUCUCAUUCCCUCCUAAACUCCACAAAUCUAAAAAACCCUAACUUCACCAAAUUCACAAAAACUCUAAUCUAACAGUGUCGUCUUAUCAACCCUAACUCUUCCUCAGCCACUCCUCUCUUAUGUUUCUCUUACAGUCCAACACAAUCUCUUACUAUCUAACUCAAUUUUUCCCUCCCAAUCUCGCCUCUUUUCAAUCCCUAACCUUAAAUCUUUCUAUUACAAUCCAACAGAAUCUCACACGGUCGUGAAAUUCUAGCCACUUUUUUGCCUAACACCAAUCUUUGUCAUCGAGAAAAAUGAUUUGAGGUGUUUAAUUUAGCUCCAAGAUCGUGGACGGAUGCCUUGGUCAAAGUUAAAGAGCGUUGUUGGAGGCUGUUUAAAGAAGAAGCAGAAGCACCACUUAGGUGAAGCAUUUGUAGAUAUGGACAUGGUAAUUAAGUAAGGUGAGCAUUAGCUAAAUAAUUAAUAAUUAUUAAAUAUUCUCUACUUAUAUGUGAAUUUAUUAAGAAAUUAAUUUGAUUCUUUUUGUUGAAUUUUAAGUAGGUUUACUAAUUCUUUUAUUUUUAUUCAACUAAUACACGAUUUUGGAAUUCUUUUUUCAGCGUUUUGAUUUGUUGAUAUGUGAAUGGUAAAAGUUGUGUCAGUCAUUCAUAGUUUUUGGAGAUUGGUAUGGUGUCUACAAAGUGUUUGAUGGGAUGCUUGUGAGAAUUGUUGGGUGCAUUUCAAUUAGUUGACAUGGUUAGCAAAUUAUAUGCUAACAGGGUAGUAUAUGUAAAUAAGAAAUGAUGGUAUUCUUUCUUAAACAUAUUAUUUGGUGGUCGGUUGGUAUUAUUCUGUUUGAGUUGCUUAUAGGCAUUCCUUCACAUUCCUGGAUGCGAUUAUGUCUUUAUCAAGUGAACACACCAUUGAAAAUAUUUUUUUGAGACCUUUUGCAAUCCUUUAUUUCUCCAUAGGUAUAUUGUAUUUUUGAUACCUCACACUAAUACUAGCUUUUGAUGUGAAGGCUCGGUGAGCAUUUCGAGCCCUUAAAGGCAUAAUAAGGCUGUAGGCUGUUAUUCGUGGACAUUUAGUGAGAAGACAAGCAACUGCUACUCUCGACGCUAUGCUGGGGCUUGUCAAGUUACAGGCACUUGUUCAUGGUAGAAAGGUCAGACAUUCUAAUAUUGGACUUGAAGUGGGGAAAACUUGCACUCCAUUGAUGCUUUUGGUAAUUUCUUGAGAGCUCAUUUGAUAGGGAUUUAACUGCUCUUCUUUUUAUUUAUUUAUUUAUUUAUUUUAAAAGAACAUAUUCUUUCUGUGAAGGUUAAUCUUUUAAAUAUAUUUCACUGAUCUCGCUGUUAAUGCAUACUGUUGAAUGUGGAGAUAUUGUCGUUUAUUGUUCAAUAGUAAAGGUCUCGCAUGGAGAGGCUUGAUUACUUGUCUUGCUUUGAUUCCAUGAACAAUGCGGAAUACAACAUGUCUUGAACUUCCACCCAAAGCGCAGGUGGGGUACAUUGGUGUCAGAGUGAACUUUUUUUAUGGUUAAGCAUUGAAUGGUUGUCCUUGCAGCAACUGUGUACUUGUACAAAUCAAUAUAUACCCUCUUACUUUUUCAUCUGUUCCAUUCAUUUAGGAUGCAUGCGUCACUUUAUGUAGACAGCCUUCAUCCACAAAUAUACGGAUGGGUUAUUUAUACAUUCCAGACAUUACUAAACUGCCUGAAUUUCUACAUGCCCGGUUCACUUCUAAUUAAUUUCAUUUUUCUUUUAACUGCUCUGUCCUUCAGCAGGGCAAGCCUGUGGAUCCUGUUGAACUUAAUUUGUCUACAUGAUUAUCGAAGCUGUCAGGAAGUUCUUUUUAUCUCUAAGGUAUUCUCGGCAUUAUCAUGCCCAUUUGUCCGAUUAUGAUUUUUCUCUUUAAUGGAUUGAGCUUUAUGUUCAUAUGUCAUAUUAUUUAGGACGAAUGUACAUGGCAGAGCCUGUGGUAUCAAAGACAUUAAGUUCUAAUUUGAAUAUGGCACCCAUUUUAUUUUGUCCGAGGCCUCCAAUUUAACUAAUAACCUGCUGGCAAAUAUGGCAGGAUGUAGUUGCAAUUUUUCUUUUUGAUCUACAACCUUCUUGGUUUUUUUUUUUGAUGUGGGGUAAGUGACUGUUUGUUUUUUGCUUUAGCUUCUUACUUCAUCACCAAUUGUGUUGUCUUUGCAACUGCAAUAUGAUUAUGUGGAGCCAAAUUCGGUCUCAAACGCUGGUCAGCAUUUCACAUCUGGAAACCAGCUCCCCAACCAAAGAAAAUGUCAGACUCAAAAUCUCAGAAGAAGCAUGUUAGUGUUCAAACGCUUGAAGCUGAAACAGACCGACCAAAACGAAGUGUUCGCAGGAACCCUACUGCCAAUGUAGACAGUAUCACAGUGCACUCAACCCCCAAAUUUGAGAGAUCCAAACGAAGUCUGAAGAAAGCUUUAAGCCAUCCAGCAGAUCCAGUGCAUGAAAAUCCACAAAGUGAACUUGAAAAGGUUAAGCGUAGCCUGAGAAAGGUUAAUAAUCCUCUAGUAGAAAAUUCUGCAUUUGUCCAGUCAGAAUUUGAAAUUGAAAAACAAAACCAUAGUUUGGAUAAGUUGCCAACAAGCUCAGUAUGUCAUGAAGGUUUAGAACGAAUCUUGAGAAAUUCAGGUGAGAAGAUGAAGAAAAAGACAACUUUAAAACAAUCCAAACUACCUUAACGUAGAAGCCACGCUAGACCUAGUGGAAAUGAAUGAGAUGUUUGAUGUACCACCCAGUGACCUAGCCGCAGAUGAGUCAAAACCUUGGAUGAAGAGUGGUGCUAAAGACGAGACUAUUCCCAUGACAAAUGGUAAUUUUGAACUAAAGGAGGAUUCAGUAAACAAUGAGAAUAAUAAAUCUAGCAGGAAAGUUGCUGUUCUGACAAAGAAAGAACGUGCAGAGAAUGAGCUACAGAGCAGUCCGUCGCUGCCAAGCUAUAUAGCUGCAACUGAAUCAGCGAAGGCUAAGCUAAGACUACAAGGCUCCUCAAGAUCUAGCGAAGAUGGUGCUGAGAAAAAUAGCGGCAUCGGGCGUCAUUCGCGGUUUUUUCACCUUCAUAUCUAUAAAUUUUUUCACCUUGGCCUUUCCUUUUAAUUUCCCUUUCUAUGAAAUAAACUUUAAUCAGAUUUGAGUUGCCUUAUAAUAUAAACUUUAGUUCUUCUAAAUUUUCUCAUAUUGGCAGUCAAUUUUUUUCGUUUUCCAUGUACUUAUAUGCAGAUUUAAUCAGUGUGUUUGAAGUGUUUCUUCCUCGACUUCACUUGUAUCCAGUCUAUUGAAUAGAGAAGUUGCUGGCGUGAUAACACAACUACACUACUUAUGUUCAAAGAGUGAAAGGCAGUCAUCCUUAUCAAUUUAGCUUCUAAAUUUUCUAUAUGUAGCCGCACCUAGUAGACAUUUGAUUGGAUGGUAGAAAUUCUUAUAUAUUGAAUUUGAAUUAUUUAGUUAUGAGAGUAGGAUAUCUCAUAUUUUUGUUAUUGAAGCUUUGGAAUUUGUAAUAUAUACUAAUAAUAUUUAAAUGUGAAAUGAAAGAUUUUGUGAUAUAAAUCAAUUUCUUUUUGUUAUUUUGUGGUGCCUUUUAAUUUUACCAAUAAAUCAAUAGGCAAUGAUCCAAUUCAAUUUUUUAUUUUUUAAAAAUAAAUUAACUAGUGAUACCAUGGUAACAGUAAUCAUAGACACUAAUAAAAUAUCAAUAACUACUAACACUAUGAUGUCAUAAUAUCAGUGAUACUGUAGUAAUAGUAAUCACUGGCACCACUUACAAGUGUCACUAUUUUUCAGACUCUCAGAUUAUUGAUACAGUUAACAAGUGUCAGUGAAAGUAAUUUCUGACACUAUUCUAAAGUCAGUAAAAACCAUUUUUUUAGUAGUGAAUGUAUGGAUGAGAGCUUAGUAUUGAAUUGUUAAUUUGACUGUUGGAAUCAAUUAGGUGGUUGAUGUAGACAUGGAUGUGUUUGUUAUCAAAUCAAGAAUGUUGAUGGGCAUUUAUUGUGUGAAGCCCCUUGAAAUGAGUCUAUGAAUAUGAUUGAUUAACAUUGUAGGGGGUGGCAUGGUUGUUAUAGAUGAGUCUGUUUAUAGAUUGUGAUCUUAUUGUUGUGCUUUUACACAUAGACUGUAAUUCAAUUCGGUAAAAUCAGACUGGUACAGUUCAUUACAAGGACUCAUUUUAUAAUUUCACUGUAGCAAUGAAGAUAGGGGAGGUCGCAAGCAAAAAUGUAGGGACGUAAACAGCUUCAACGAAGAUAUGGAAGGCAAUCGAACAAUAGAACGUAAUAGCCAUUACGGAUUCAUCAGCUAUUUGUAAGUAUCUUUACUAUCCGAAUAAAUAAAUUUUAAAUAUGAGGAGUGGAUUGGAAAUGACUUGAGUUACUUUCAGUGGUGCAAUUGUGCGUAAAAUAAAGGCAACAGAUGCAAACACAAACAUUACAAGAGAGGUGCGUUAAAUAGGAAUAAAAUUAAGUAUACUGCAACAAGAGAGGCAUGGAAAUAAGGUGUAUGUCCGUGUCUUACUAUUAACUACUUUGCAGGUUCGAACGGAAAUAGCGACGUUAUUUAAAAAUUUACCACCGAAGACGAAAUGGAAGUACAAAGUCCGAGUCGAACGAGCCAUCAAAGGGGAAGCGACUAACAAAUAUUUUACGCGAUGUGCACUAGGCAGAUUGGCAGCAGCCGUUACAAAUCCAUCUGAUGAACAAAGAGCAGCUGUAUGUGAAAUGGGUUUAGGGAGUGUGCUUGAGUUGAAUAGUGGUAGGCUGAAAAGGAAGCUUUGUGGUUGGUUGGUAGAUAGGAUUGAUAUAUGUAGGCGCGUUCUAGUUUUGAAUGGUAAUGAGGUAGAGCUCAGUGCUAAUAGCUUUGGUCAUAUAAUGGGAUUAACAUAUGGGAGCAUGCCUUUACGAUUAGAUGAUGACAUCAAAGAAGUUAAAUAAUAUGUAGAGAUGUUCAGUGCAUCAUCUAGAGGAAUUAACAUCAAGAAAUUGGCAAAAAUGUUGAGUAAUUCAACGGCAGCCGAUGAUAGAUUCAAAGUCACAUUCAUGUUGUUUACUCUAUAUAUUGUUCUAUGUCCCCCUGGUGGAGUACACAUAAGUUGUAAUUUCUUAUUUUCUUUGAAAGAUGUCAACUGUAUCCAGAAGAGGAAUUGGGCCAUAUUUUGUUUUCAUAAAUUUAUUGAAGGCAUUACUAGGUACAAGGAAGAGAAAUUGGCAUACAUAGGAGGAAGUCUUUUGUACUUAGAGGUACUAUCACAUCUUCGAAUGAUAUAAUGUCAAUAUUUUCCUUCACUUUGUUCUGUUGAGUAACCGACUAAUAUUUGCAUUUUUUUUUCUUUGUUUCAGAUGCUUUAUUUUCAUUCUAUCGUGUAUGGAAAAGUAUGAAGAGACAAGUCUAUGUGUCCUCUUGACUUGUGGAACGUAGAUAAGAUAAAGCGGUUGAUGAAAUGGAUAGAGAAUAAAGGUGGUUAUAGUAGCGAUGAGGUAAUCUCAUAACACACUCUAAAAGGAAUUGUAAAUUUAUGGGAUUCUGUGAAAGCAAACAAGAUGCUUGCGAUGAAAAACACGUGCUCUGUGAAUACCGCUUUUCAAUUUGUCCUUACUUUACAUUUAUUAUAGUUGGAUGUUACGUAUAAAUUUGGUUCAUCACUUUACUUAUAACUUAGUACUUGUAAAAUUGUUUUAGCAAAUACGAAUUUGUGCUGCAGCACUAAUAGGGGCGAACUCAAGGUUAGAUGGAUGCAGUAUGCCCGUGGAAGAAGAUUUUAGAGACUCGGAAGUUAGAUAGAUGACAAUAGCACCGAGAAUGACGAAGAUUAAAUGGGUUAGUCAAUUGGAAAAGGUAGUGGCAAUAUCAAGUGGGCUAUCAGGAUCUGUUAGCAAAUUAAAGAUAGAUGGAUCAUGCCGCAAUAACGAUAAGGGGAAGGACCGGAGUGACGCAGCCAAAGGAGAGGGAGUUUCUACCGACUGUGAGAGUAAGCAAUUGUACAACAGUGCAACAAGUGGCAGUAUGUACAGGAAUAAUGAAAUCGAGGAAAAAAAAGUUUGUGAAGAUGCACAACAUAUGGAUUUAAUUGAUGUAGCAGAUUGUGUCAUCGAGACCCAGACAUCCCCAUCAUGUGGUGAAAGCUUGCAUAGUAAUAUAAGGGUUGAGGUUAUCUUUAACUAAUAAAAGUUAAAUAUGAAAUUUGCAUCUUCUUUUUGUUGUUUUUUAUUAACGGGAUGUAAUUUUUGUUUGAUAAUUUUCUAAUUAUUUUGAGGAAAAUAUGUUGCAGGAGCAUGUUGUGAUGCAUAAGUGUUCAGAACCGAAUAAAAGGAAUGAGAAUGUAGUCCAUCCAAAGUCACCACUUAUUCAAAUAUGUGCAGGCAGAACACGUUAUCGGGUUGGACCAUAUCUGAUACGAAGACCUUUAAGUACUAAUGACGAGAUAUUGAUUAACUUCUGCAUGGAUGAAAAUUUGAAUAAAGGGUAACGUAUUAGUUAUGUUGUUGAACUAAUACUGGCAUGCAUAUAAAAAGUUAUUUGAUUGUGUUCGAGCUUCGAAUAAACGAAUUUAAUUGUAGGAAAUCAAUAAUUGUGGCUAAAUUGUCUCGAUGAUAGAAUUUGCAUUCCAGGAAAAUAGUUUUUAAGACGAGCUUCAAUUGCAUCACCAGACAUGAUAUUAUGUCUCUAUCUCCUAAAAGUACAAUCAAUGUGAAGGUACAACCACCUUCUGUCAAGUGUUGUACUUGUAUGAAUAGUAUAUAUUUAUAAUGAUUGCUCUUAGAAUUUACUUUGUUUUAAAGUUUUUGUUAAUUUUUUAUAUGUUGAAUGAAGUCGAUACCUCUUACAUGAAAGUGUUAAUAUUUGCACUUUUCAGAUUGUUUCUGCUGUCUCGGAAUUGUUAUUUACGAAAGCGAUUGAAACGUUGGAAACAGUCAUUUUAGCCUUUUUCUGCCAGCGUAUUCUGCUGUAAGGCGUUUCUGUUAUAUUAUAAUCUUGGAAUUUUAUCCCCUAAGGGACAACUUAACAUAUAAUUUCGUGUGUUCACUGAGUGUGGUGCAUCUGUUUACAUAUGCAUGUCAGUUGAGAAAUUGUGCUUGCAAUUACAUUUACAAGUUUAAACGAAAUUUGGUUUUCAAGUUUGGCAACCCACUAUUUCCAUUGCCUAGAAUUUUUUGUUGGGCUGUGAUAGCGUUGAUGUCCUAGAAAUUGUACAGUUGCAGGAUAACAUCGGUGGAGACCCCGCAGACCUCACUUUUGGUAUUAAACAAUUUAUCAAUGGUGAUUUAUACCUGGCGAAUAUUGGUUCGUGUAAGCAGGUAAGCAUUAUUUACUUAAGCAUUUAGUAAACCUCGUUUUUAGUUAAUUUUGAUGUUAUGUGUCAGUUUAUUUCACCCUGAUUUUGCAAUCAUCAAUAUAUUUUUGUCCCUGUGAACCAUGGUUUUACACACUUGUACUUAUUGGUUAUAUUAAUAUACGAAAUGUGGGUGGAGAUAUGGGAUUCAAUGCCCAGUGCAAUGAAGUCACAAAUGUUUGUUGUUGAAUGCAAACGAGCAGUGAGUUAACAAUCUAGAUGCCAAUGGAUGUGUACUUUCUCCAAAAAAUAAAUAAAUAAAUAAAUGAACCACUGUUGUUGUAAAUAAUCCUCCUCUGUUUUAAAAGGAAAUGUCAUGUGUUUCUAGGAUUAUAAACUGCAAUCUACCUAUUGACUGGUGUUCCUACAACUAAGAUUCAUUGAGAUGGCGUUGCAGUAUUGUGGCUCAAAUUGUUUAUUGGGAAGGUUAAACAUGAGUGAGUUCGUAAUCCAACUUUGUACCAGAAAGGACAGUAUACAUAACGAAUUAGAUUGUGCAAUAUAUGUUAUGUUGAUGAUAGAGAGGUAUAAAAUCUAGUCGUGCCUUUCUGUGGAAGAGGUGCGUCAAUGUUUUAACUAUUCAAUGCUAUAACCCAGGCCGUUCAUAAUAUUUAUAUAUUGGAGCAAUUUUUACCGCCUCCUAAUUAUUGUGUUUGUGCAUUUCAUUCAGAUAAAGUUUGAUUCAGGUAGUGAGAGGGCACGCAUUGUGAUAGAUCUCAUGAGAUACAGUUUCAACUAUUUAAAGGACAAGGUUCGUUUUAAGGCUGAAAAGCAUCGAUGACAUCUUGACCAUGAAGCCCAUUCAAUUUAUGAAGCAAUUGAAAAAAAGCGCUUACUACAGCUUCGGACUGCGAGCCAAAUGGGCCAUGGUCGCCGCCAUUAGCCGGAUUUGCUUUUACGUUCAAUUGUAUAAGUACAUCCAUGCUUUGAAGAAAGAAAAAAAAGUUAGGUUUGACAAUUGUAGUUCUUCAUUUGAAAAGCACAAUCAACCACUCAUAAUCGUGACUGCUAAACAACUCAUGUUUUGUUGCUGGCAUAGAACAAUCAAGUUUCCAUUGUGGAUGCCGCAGUGUCUCACUACUGAAUUUUAUCAUUUAUGAGUUUACAUUGUCGUCAAUUUUUAAUAUGUCUGUCAGCAGCUGUACCUGGAGUAUUAUAUCAGCGAAUGGUGUUAGCUGAAACAACAUCUCCUCUGAACUCUGCAUAUUUUAUGAUACUGAUACUUUGGCCUGGACAAGUUACUAAAAUUUUCAAUUGCCAUGGCCCUGACCCAAAGCUUUUUGUAUUAAUUGAACUCAAGGAUGGAUUGAAGUUACACAAGUUUUGCUUAUUUAUGCUUGGCAUAAGUAUAAACAAUGUUUAUCAACUGCCAUAUUAGUUAACCCCUAACAUAAUCAUGCAACCUCGUCCAAUUUUUUACUUGUCAGUACCUCUUAAAUAUUCUGUUAAUAACAAAAUAAAUGGAUACAGUGGUUGAGAACAUGUUUACAUUACGUCCCUAACCUCUAGAUAUUUUUAGAGUAGUGCCAAUGUUAUUUUACAGAUUCCAAAUAUGGGUGUAGUUAGUUGGUGUAGAUGAUGAGGUCCAAAUAUGGGUGUAGUUAGUUGGUGUAGAUGAUGAGGUUGCAAUGCAGUUCGAUAGACUUGCAAAGGCACUUGUGUUUAGACUGGCUGAAAAUUCACUUGUUGUACUAGCUGAAAAUUCAUGGAACCAUGACUCUGAUGUUCCCCUUAAUGGCCCACCAUUUUCUCUUAUUUGCCUCUGUAAAGGUUGCCUCCCUGGUUCAUUGAUCUGAGACAUUACCUCCAACUUUAAAGUCAAUUGGUGAAUAUCUAUAAUAGCCACAUUGUAUGCGGCCAAACUUGAUCCAGCAAAUCUAAGUAAACUUCAGCAUGCUGCAUAUAUUUGGCCAAUACGAGCCUGCUCUGUCAUGUAAUGUGAUUUAUUAGAACUUAUAUCCAACGAAGUGUGAGCUUUUAUCUUUGCGCCUUUACUCCAUCGAGACAGAAUUAUCGAACUUGGAAUUUCUGUCAUAUUCUGAGCCUUCAACAAAAUAAAUGAAUGCGAGCAUGGAAUUCCAAUUGUCUCUAACAACUUGCAGCUGCACGAUAAGGUUUUGGUGGCCUCAUUUAUCACUACUUUCACCUCUUUUCCAACUAAGCCAAACCGCUCAACUCUGUACGUUGUUGAAAUUAUAUCCCGGUCAACAUUUCUGCAGUUAACAACGCUUCCUUGUCGAUUUCUUCUCGUACGAGGUGAAACAUUGCCCUUGUGAACUUUUCAGCUGCUUACUGCUCAUACAUCUUCAAAUGUGUAACCAAUACAGGACGUCCAUCAAAACUAUGAAAGUCAUCAUUCCCCUCUCCUUCCCUUUGCCGAUCCAUUAGUCGGUCCAUCUGUUUAACAAAUUCUGUCAAUCGGAGCCUUCUAUUCACGUAAUGGUUUAGAUACGCAUUCAUUCCUUCCAACCUCUGAGUGCUUCUCAUUCCCCCAAAAAACUUUCCAUGCAAAUAAGUCUCAGCCUACAUAUGUCUAUCCUUAAACAUAUUUACAACCCAUUCAUUUGUGGCAACAUUAUGCUUAUCCACCAUUAAUUUCCAUUUUUGGUCAAAUUCUUCUUUUGUGUAAGCGUUCAUCAUGCAGCAGCAAAAUUCGGUUGUAAAUUCAGGGUUUUUAACAUUUGUUUGAGCAUUUCAGACCAAAUGCCAGUAACACAACCUGUGAAAAGCUUCUGGAAAUGUCUUCCUUAUUGCAUUUCGCAUUACUUUAUCCCCAUCGGUUACAACUGUCCUCGGAUGCUUGUUGUUCAUUGCUAUCAUUAAUAUCUCUAACAACAACCAUGUGUACGUGUGUUCUGUCUCAUCUGAAAAUAGAGCAAACCCGAAUACAAUUAUUCGCCGAUGGUGAUUUAUCCCCAAAAUAACCACGAGAGGCUUACGAUAUGCAUUGGUCUUGUAAGUUGCAUAGAAUGCAAUAACAUUACCAAAUAAUGCAUAAUCUGUGCAUGAUCCGUCGUCACACCAAAACAAGUCCCCAAGUCGAUUGGAACUAGUGAUUGUGAAGUCAUAAAAGAAUGAUGGAUUCGAGCUUUUUCUUCCAUCGAAAUAUAAUAGGCACGUCUCAGCAUCUGAUUCUUUCAACGAUGCAUGCCUCUUCGUAACCAGCCUAUUUUCAACAUCCCUCAUGCUAUACCCAACCUUGUCGUAACCCCCUGAUCUGUCAACCAUAAACUCGUGUAUUUGAGAUGGCUUCACUCCCACUUUGUGUAAUGAUAAAACAGCCGACAAGUCGGGACCAGUCACUCCUCUGUGGGACCUAAUGUGGUGCACUAGCUCAGGCGGUGUUAAAUUGUGAUUGUGCACUCUAUGAAAAAAACUACAUGCCCAUCGGCGAGUAUAUUCAUUGUAAAUAAGUCGAAAUUGUGCUCUACAUCCUGUCCUUGUCACAGCUUUGGCCUCUCGCCCUCUGCAUCUAUUUUCCAUGUGCUUUGCAGCCCUGAAUCCCUGUCGGCUGCAAAUCCACAUUCUGCCGAUGAUAUUCCCCUUCACAUUUCUCCGUUUAUUGUGUUUCCGAAUGCCGAAGCCAACUGUCCUUGCAUAUUCUUGGUAGCAUAUGCCAACCUAUUCUUCACUUGUGAAUUCUUUUGCUAACAUUUCCAGAAGCGCAUUCUCUACCUCACUACGAUCAUCGGCACACUGCUGUUAGUGAGUAUCAGUCUCCAAGUGACCACUUCCUCCACGGUUGUCACCUUGGAUGUUCAACUGGUGUUCAGUCACGAUUUCUGCCCCUUCACUAUCUGUCUCCGCUCCAUUGUGAGUCAAUGCAUCUGAGCUUUGUUCAUCGUCAGAAGUUAUAUUAAUCUGGUACUGGAAAUCAUCUCCGUCAUAUAAUCUUUUGUCUGAAUCAAUCAUUGUGCUCAUAGGUUCACCAUCAGAUAAUGUCAAAUUUCAAGUGGUUAAGACUUCUUUUUCCUCUGUUAAUAUUUUUUUUGUUGCAAGUUUUUUCUUUUCCUUUCAGUACCUUUUACGAAACUUCUUUCACUAGCGUAGGCGGCACAAAGAAGCUUCAAGUUGGUGCCUCUUCCCGCGUCCAAGAUUUUUUAAAAGUUUUAUGCUUAUUCACUUAGCGCACACCAGCACUUGAGCCCCGUCCCCCGGCCACCAAGACACUUUAUAGAAUUCCCUAACAAAUUAAUAAACUAUACCAGUUUAUUUAGUUGUUAUGUGGCCUAAUAUGACAUAUGUUUGCAUUACUAAUCCAAGGCGUUGUAUAAAGACUUGCUUGCCACUUAUUAAUUGAUGGCAAUUGAUUUAGUAAUUGUUUACGGAUCUUUAAAGCUUCAUCAAGAUAUUGCACAUUGUCACGGCACCAUGUUCAUUUCCCAUGUUGUAACACCAUCCAUUUUUUGUUUCAUCUACUAGAUUUCCAACUCCUUAUAUUCGCUAUAAAACCACAAGUAUGGACACAUUAUAUUUUUGCGUGAGUUACAAAUAUAUUUUACACUCCGUUACUCUUACAAUUCAAGUUGUCAAUAAGUAAAAUUACAUUUUCGCUAUGUUUGACUAUGCAAAACCCGUUUGAGAUCGGUGUAGCAAAUAUCAAUAUUUGCUCGGAAGUUAGAAAGCAACUACCUUUCUGUUUCAGCUAUUAUCAAUCAUAUUACUCCCUCAAAAAGAUAUGGGUCAUAACAUAUAAUUCUGUUUUACCUUAUUGACGACAUGUAUGCGACCAAACGAUCGGUCACCAAAGUUAUAAUAUACAUUAAUUGAUGGUCUCAAAUCAAAACCAGUAUAGAAUAGAACUAUAAGAUAGUGGUCAAUUACCAUCGCAAGCAAUCGACAUUUCAGAGGGGAACGUAAGUAAAACAAACUUUAUGUGCAAUCAUCUAUGGCAUCUGUGUGUUUGUAAUUCUUAUAUACUAAAUAUUCGUAGUUAAGGAAAUGCAAUGCUUAAAUCACUCGUAACACAAUUAAUUGAACUUAUUCAUAUAAUGCAUGGUUGAGCAUGAUAAACAUAUUCAUUGAUGUUUUUUUCCCAGAUAUGGGCAUUUGUGAUGAAAAUCCUAAUGCUAAAACUGUGAACUGCAAAAGAAUAUCAAUUAACCAUAACAAUUCAAUAGCAAAUGGAAGUUAUAAUCACACCAACAAUCUUCGCUCAAAGCAAAGGCUGACUUCAGCCACAAUUUCCCACUAUUCACCCACCAUCCUUUGUUACACUAAAGCAUAACAUAACACACAGAAACAUACCCUCAUAUAUGGAAGAAAAUUUCACUUACGUUCCAACCUCUUCGUAAUCGUUGCAGUUUCCGUUUGAGGGACCUAACUCUUGUUUUCGAGAUGGAUUCCUUAUACCUAACGAUCAUCGUUUCCAACACUUUACUAUGCUCCAACAAGUAUUCCAACAACUAUACUUCCUCUUCAUCUCCUGUUAGCCCCCUAACGUCAAUUCUCUUUACAUGUUUUACCAAACAGUCGGGCACAUUUUCUAUUUGAAGCCAUCCAAAAUCUUCUUCGGUCACUUCAAACCAGCAUUCCUACGAAGGAUAAAAGUAAAAUAUGAUAUCAUAAACCCAUGGCGAAAAUUAAGAAGAAUAGUUGAACGCCAUCAACGAUCACGACACCCUCACCUUGUGUAAGACAAGAGUUUUUAAGAUCGGUGAACUCCUUAGGAUGAUGGGCAUAAUUCGCCAUCCAAAUAGUCCAACCGUCACUUCAAACUCUGUCAAAUUAGGCAAGGAGGGCUUGAAACUCUCGUAACACAAAUCCAGGGCUUGUCAACAUAGAAUAGAACUUUUGGUGUUAGAUUUAUUAAUGAACCGUUAUAUAUUACUAGCGUUUAUCAGCAGUGGCCCUUAUUGUGCCAACUAGAAAUUGUUAACUUUUUUUCCCACUUGGAUAAUAACAGAUACAAACUGCUUUACCCAGCUACAACGAGCAUAUUAUCCUGUCUUAAUGCUUGGUAUCAGAAAGACAGAGAUUGCGAUAUCAAUCAUAUGGUUAUAUCAAUACACAUCAUAGGUCUUGUAGUGCACUAUAUUGGGCAUACUUACAGACACGAUGCCAGCAGAUACAGUCAGAGACUUAGUUGCAGUCACACCCUCUAGAAGCCAUACCACAUGGUUCGGAUCGCCUUGUGCCCAUUCCCUAUACAAAAUUUCCAAUUUAACUUCGUUCACGGAAUGUACACCGUGCAACUUAAACUCUCCCAACACGUCAGCAGUAAUACGGAGACAUUGCAGAUUUGGCGUUGUAAUGAUCACUGUGUAGUCAAUGUAAGUAAAAACAAAAUCCUCUAGUGCUACAGUAAAGGCAAACUUCUUCAGUGUGGACGAUGAAAUGAUGAAGUUUGGUAUGUCCCCGUCAUGUUUCAAAAUAGCCUUAAUACACAGAUCUUCUAUUUACUAAUUUUAUUUCAACCUUAGCAAACCUAGCCAUUCACCUCUUCCCAACCAAGGCAUUUCGAACACCCCAUCUUCAAAAUCCACUACAAAAUCGCAUUCACAGACGUGAAGCCUACAUAUGCAUACCAAACGAAUCUAAGAUUUUAUUUAAAUCAACAUGCAUGCAAUAAUAUCUCGAUAAUCUUCCAGUGCCUGCAAAAAUGCCAGAUUUAUAAUACCAACAAGGCCAACUUCAAUAAUCUAGACAUCAAUAGAAUAUAAUAGCAGAAAUCGACAGUAAUAUUUUUCUUAAAUGCGUCACAGCAAAAUCAAAAUCACGAGCACCAAAAUACACAAAUUCAUUUACAAUUUAAGAAAGAAUCUUUACCCUUCCUUACCUAAUGAAAUUUCGGAUAAUUUCCCUCUCUCGCAAAAGUCAGAUUUGAGAUUCAAAUCUGUAUCACAUCUUAUUCUCGUAUUUAUGUUUCCAUGGACUUCAAGAGCUUCAUUAGACAACCGGUUUAAACGAUUGUUGUUAGUAACUACGUCCGCUCUCCAAAUUUUUAUUUAAACUGUUGGAUUGAACAAACUUAUAUCCAAUGGCUUGACUAAAUAAAGACAAAAAUUAUGGCAUGGUACCACAGUGGCAUCGCAGGCAAGUCCAAAUAACAAAUAUUAAAAUGAUUAUAUUAUUAAACUUUUGGGCUUAAUUGACUAUAUUCAUAUUUGGACGAGAAAGUUAUGCCACGAAUGGAAGAAUUUAAUAUUUUGAGUUGGUACAAAACAAAUGCGCAUAAGUCUCCUAUAUUGGCACGAAUUGUUAGAGAUAUUUUAGCAAUUCCAAUUACAAUUGUUGCUUUUGAAUCAACUUUUAGCAUUAGUGGUCGAGUACCGUAAUAGGCUUCAUUUAAGCACAUUGGAGGCUUUAAUGUGUUGUCAAGGUUGGCUGAGAGCUUACAAUGGUAGUAAAAAUUUAUUUUAUAUUGUAAUUAUGUUAUAUAAUUAUUAAUAUUUUCACUUAUAAGUUACAUUACUUAUAAUUUCCUUUUUUAUUGUAGGAUUAUGAAGAUAAUUAUUAUGGUAAUUUUUAUUUUGUAAUGGAUUAAUGUUAAUAUAAGAUAUAUCAUCAAACUUUAUUUUUAUUUAAUUUUUUUAUUUUAAUAUGGUUAAAUUAAAAUCGAAAACUAAAAAUGUAUUAGUUAUUCGGAUAUCGGGGACUCUCGGGGAUCCUCUAUUAUUAUUCAAGGAGGGGAUGGGGAGGGAACGGGGACAUAUGCAGAAUAUCGGGGAUGGGUAUGAGGAGGUCGGUCUCCUCCCCUUUCCUCCCCAUUGCCAUCCCUACUAGAAAUAUUGCAAUCCAAAACUAAGAAAGUUAAAACCAAUUAUUGGAAGGAAAAAGUAAGAUGGAAGCUCCCAGAAUAUUGUUAUGUGUUGUUUGUUUUUAGUGUGUAUUUCUCAAUCAAUAAUGAAAAAGUAAGUACACAUGUUACAAAAAAUUAAUAAAGAAGAUUGGAGGUGACUAAAUCUUCUAAUUAACUUUCUCUCCUUUGGAAUUUCCUUAAUUUGGUAGAGAUCGCUUAAGUGGUGUAUCUAUUAUAAAUACUCCGAUGUGGAAGUUAAUGUUUUAAUUGUUAAGAAAAGUUAGAAGAAGAAAUUUUUGUACAAAAGAAUCUGGUUUAAAUUUGGAAUUCUUUAGCUGGAAAUGAGUCUAAAUUCUAACGAUACAAUUUAGCACUAAAUAUUAGUUGGGUGAAAAAUUAAUUUCGCUCCUUUGAUGUGAUUUUGGUCGUUUAUUUUCAAAUUAGGGUAAUUUUUUGUUUAGAGUGUAGCUAUUGGCUCCCCGUCAUUAUGCUUAUAUAAUCCUACUUCAAAUAAAAUUACACUUAAGAACAAUAGAAUUAAAUAAAUAUAGUUUUUUUUUCAAAACAAAUUACUUACAUUCGUAAUCAUUUUCUUUUAAUUUUUUACAUGUUGCUUCAUAUCUAACUAAAAUAAUUGUACAAAUUUAAAAAAAUCUUUAUUCAUUCCAAAUUUCUUAUUGAUUAAAUAUUUUUGUACUUAGGAUUGCUUUAAAAUUAUAAUGUAAAAAAAUUUAAUUUAAUCUAGUGAUUAAAAUUUAUCACCUAAAAACAUUUUUAAUUUAUGUGUAGGAAAAUAAUAAGAUUGCAAAAGACAAGAAAAAUAGUACAACACUACUAUGAGUUUUAAAAAUAAAAAAAUCAAAUGAAAAAUUAGAAGUGUAUUAAACAAAAAGAAUAUUUUUAGAAAUAAAAUAAAUGUACUUAAAAAAAAAAAGAGAUUUCAUGAUGAUAUUAGAUGGGUACCAAUAGUCAAAUUCUUUUGUUUAAAGUUUUAAGAUGUUGGUAUUUGUAACUUAGCCUAUCCCUAAUUAUUCUAUUAAAAUGUAUAAACAACGAUGAUCAACCCUAAUUUCAUGGAGGUCAAAGAUUUUGGUCACGCUCGCGUGAAUUACUUGGGACGUACUUUAUGUAAAUUUAUUUACAUUAAAUAAUUGGGCCAACGCUAUAUGAGGCGCCGCCUGGAGGCAUAGAAUUUUAUAUGUCAAAAGUGCGUUUCGCUUCAAUUAAGCCAUGAAUGUCGCUUAGUAUACUCAUUUUGUAUUAAAAAAGUUUUAUUAAUUUUUUAUUUAUAAAAAUGUGGUUUAUUUAUUUAUUUUUAAAUUUUUUUAAAGAUAAAGGGAUGGGCAAAAUACAAAUUCAAUUUUUAUCCCUUACAUUCUGUCUCCUAAGAUUUAAACUUAGGUUACCAACCAAAUGCGUAAUAAUAGGUAUCUCAAAUUUCAUUUCAAAUGAUAUGUAAUUAAUUAAGUGACUGUUAAUUCUUUACAAGAUCUAAACAAAUUACUUAUAUUAUCUUAUCAACCAAUUGAUAAAUGUCACGUUAUAAAAGGUCUUUGGAAGAAAAUUCUACUCAGCAAAUAUUGCCCUUCAAUGUGUUAUAUGUAUUAUUUACUCCAAACUUACUCGUCAAAACAAUAAAUAAUAUUAUUGCCAAAAUUACUUGUAAUAUCACUUAAAUGCAACAAUAAAUCAUAAAUGAGAUAAAUCACUAAACCCUUCAAUAGAAUAUUUUAAAGCCAAAAAAAGGCAUCGAUUCAUUAUGGUUCAGAUGAUUUCAAGCCAUAUGUCCUUGUUGGGAUAAAAAUAAAGUAAAAUGGUUAAAACUAUUUUUACGUAAUUUAUAAAAAUUAAUGAAGCAAUUAAAAUUUUUUUAACUCGAAAAAAAAUUAAAAUGUGUAUGGAAAAAAGAAAAAAGAAGACACUUAAAUAUCUUUUUAAAGAACAUGAUUAAGUAAAAUCAUUUUAAAGAAUGGUCUUCCAAAUGCAAUUCCACAUUUUUUUAAUUGCAUUGGGAUAUUGCAAAAUUGGCACAACUCAUUAAGAAUUCGCAGUUCAAUUUUUAUUUAUCUCUCUAUGCAUUUGACAAAUUAAAAAAAAAUCCAUAUAUCUUCUAUUCAAAAGAAACCUUGUUAAAUACUGUAAAACACAUUACUAAUUUUUUUUUUCAUUUAUGUCAUUAUAUCGUCACUAUUUUCUCGCCCACUUUCUGAAAAUAGAAUCAAUAUUUGUUGAUGGGUUAGGUUCCAAAGUAAGCACCAAUUCAAGAAAAUGGUUUUAUAGCAGAAAAAGCACUUGUAAGACAUUCAAAGCACUUUUUUCCAUUUUGUCUUUUGAAAAUGAGUCUGGAGUCUCCGCAAGCCAACAAGAAUGGCUAACAAAUGUAUGGUACCAAAGAAAGAGAAACACACACACACACAGAGAUUAUUGUUGAGAUGUAUAUGUGUGUAUAAUAUAUUAAUAUGUAUAUAUAUCCCCAUUAAUUGUUGAUAGUCCAAUGGGUAAAAGGAAAAAAUUGGCCGUCCUUUAAGACAAAAUUCAUUGUCAUAUGAAAAUGUUAACCACACAACAAAAAUAAAGAUUCCAAGAACAAAUUUGUGGUCCCCUUUUUGUCCAAACUUACAUGAUAGAAAUUAAUGUUUAAAUGACAGUUGAAAAAUGUAGAUCCUCACGCAAUUGAUUAAAUAUUUAUAGUAGGAUGGAGUGAUAAAUAGUUUCUCAAAAUUAUUGGAAUUAACUAUUUAAUACAUGAGAUUUAUCUCAUUAAGGAUAAAAGAUUAAGAUGCUACUUCAAAAGCAUAACGUUGCCAACAAUAAAUUUAACACAAAAGUUUAAUUAACUUUCUUAGUUGAGAUAAUAAAAUUUCGUGUUGAAAAUAAAAGGUUUGAGGUUCGAACCUUGUCAUUCAAGAAAAUCAAGUCAAAAUUAUUACAUCUUCCAGCACAUACCAAAGAUUUUUUUCAAAGGCAGACUGAUAAUUCAGGAUUAAAAAAAAACAAAAGGAAUAUAUGCUAUUCAAGACAGGUAUACCUUGAUUCUCAAAAAAAAAAAGACAGGUAUACCUUGGACAUGAAGUCUGAGUCCAGAACAAGAAGCACCUAGCUGAUCUUUCAAUUUCCAAAACCGAACGAAAUCUUUGUCAAAAUAUCUGAUCUAGUCUCAUAUUAAGCACAUUCACAGCCGUAUCAACAGGGUCAAAAUAUUUUCCCCAAAAAGAGACACAGAUUCCCCUGAAGUUGAGUUGUGACUGUCCAAACUGCUAUAAUUAUAUGGUUCAGGAUACCAUGCCUGUGAAUCCUUUUUUUUUUUUUCAUGUUUCUAAGUCUAUCAAAUGAAAAUGUAAUUAUAUGGUUCAGGUUACCAGUAUGCCAGAGAUGCAAAGGUUGACUUCCACUAUCCUAUCAGGGCCUAUACUUUCUAUUGAAUUUCCUUUUUUUUUUUUAAAUUGCAAGAUUUAUUUUUGGAAAUCUUUGACAUUGAUUCUCAGUAGCAACUUUUUUUUUUCUUUUUUCUUCUUUUAAAAAAAGGAAGCCAUAUAGAUAAUGCUUUAAACAUUAUUUGCAACAAGGAACGAUUAUUUCAUGCUUUCAGGUAUUACAAGCUUUCCAGAAAUGCUAGCAAGAAAAUAUGAAGGAACUUUACCUAGUCACAGAAUAUGUACUGCCUUUAGCACAAUUGUUAUGAAGUGGCUUCUGCAUCAGAAGAUUCUAGCUCCCACCAAGCAUCCUUAUCUUCCUUCUGGAUACAGUCUGCAUCGCUGGGCAUGAAUUAUAUGAUUGAUGUCUGCAUCCUCACUUACAUCAUCCCAAUCAAGCGCUUUUUCUCUACCUCUGAAUUAUAAGCCCACUUCAAUCUCUUCAAAACAUCCUGGUCAUUCCAUCACAGCUGAUACGUCUUCCUUCCUUGCUUCCCCAUUAAUGAAUCCCUCUAAGAAAAAAAAAACAUCAGCAAUUCUCUUCAACGUCCCAUCAUUCAUAUACCCUGCAACACCCGUCUUUAGACACCUCAACGUCGCCUCCUGCAAAACCUCCACAAAAUCUGAAUCAUCCGACACAAACACCAAACACCCAAACCUUCUUUUGUCCAUCAUAUCCACCAUAUAAUUCCUCAACAAAACAUCGGCAGCUUGUAGCUUAUCUGACAUUGUCCUGACCCAAAACCACACUCUUUUCAACUUUACUACCAAACUAUAACCCACUUUUGGAGUCAAAGUUGCCUUUGAAGCCAUUUUAUAUGUUUCCAUCCUCAUUGAAUAGUUGCCAACCAAAUGCUCUCUCAUCUUCCCUUUGGCUGAUUCUAUUUGAUUUAACCUCUUCUUUUGUUCACGCUUAUGAAUUUGCUUAAAAUGAUUAACAAGCUUGUCAUUAUUAUAAAGUCUCAAGUCUCCUUCCACAAUCACCAAUACAUAUGGCUCAGCAGGCCUAAUUACACCCUUGAUUUCCAAUUGGUUAAACAAUUCUUUAAUUUUCUUCUCUUUGCUCUCUUGCAACUCGAGGCACAUAACUAAACGCUAGGCUAUUAGCAUGUGCCACCAUGUACUUAACAACCCUAAAUGACGAUAUUGAUUUUUUUCAAUUUAAUGGUCGCUUCACAAUGGGGUAUUAAUUUAGAUUUUGUUAUCCAAAUAUCAAAGAAUUCCUACAUUGUGUUGGACAGUUUCUGGUUCUAAAGUUGAUGACCGGUCUUGCCAAUUAGGCUCUGAAUGAGAACUUCUAAACAAUAAGACAAAUGGUUCUGGGUUUCUAAUCUUGUAAACUUUGUUCUACUGUAUAACUUAUGAAAUUGCUGAAACAUCACUAUAGCUACAGGCCUUUAUGUGUCAAUGAACUACAGAAGCUAAUGAUCUACCUGUAGUAGACUUCUAUUAUCCCUGCCGUUCCAGGAAGACAAAUAAGUUGAGGAACUACUUCUGGACCAAUAUUGCCACUGCUUUGGGCCAAUCUGAGAGGGAAAGAAGGUUGAAGUUCCUAAAUUAGGUACAUCAUGAUUUGAUAGAAGUACCACUUCGAGGAACAAUUGAUUUCAGGGCAGUGCUAAAAUAUGACAUAAUCUCCCCCCAAAGGCCUAAAGCAACUUCUCUUAGCGUAUCAAGAAAUGACAUCAACCAAGCAAAAAUAUAUAAACCAGUUGAGAUACAAAGUUAUCAUAAAAUUCAAUUUUGAUCACAAAUCCAUUAAAAUUGUUGAGAUACAAAGUAAUAAGAAAUGGAACAAAGGUGUAAAUCGAACACCAAAAGAAAUUUAUUUGGCCAGCCACAUUAUGUUCCCACACAGUCAACUAAUUAAGUUAAUAAUUAAAGGGAAUCAAAAUCUAAGAAAUCCCAUCUUCAAGCAGGAUGAAGACACACUAGGACCGAGAAUCACAAAAUCAUAACAAGCUGACUUGAAAAGCUCAAAGGUACCUUCAUCAGCCCCUUAACUAAUAUCUGAGAACAAAUGCCUGCAGCUUGUGAAGGCAUAGAUCAUUCAAGCAGAUAAAACAACAAGCAACUAGUCGCAUAUGUACUCAGCAACUUUCUAAAGUUAAGGCAUAAAACAACAACAUAGAACAAAUUAAUUAAAUGUACCAACACUACUACUCUCAUUAUUAUCCAAAUGUAGAAGUCCAAUGCAUCAAACAAGGAAAAUGAGAUACUGUUAAUAACUCAAAAACCAUGAUGGUCAAGAACUAAACAAUAGUAAACUAACAAGUAAAACCCGUAAUCAAACACAACCACAUCAAAAUUUUUGAAAAUUGAGGUCUAAACAUUGAAAACAAUUAGGCAUAUACAAUAGUUAAUCAAAACAAACCCUCAAAACAAUAAUGAACUGUCAUAAGACAGAAACUAAAGUUUAAACUAACGCAUACCCUGUAACAGUGGUCAACUAACAAGUCAAAACCACAAUCAAACAUAGAAUUUUGAAAUCCAUACGAACCCUAACAUAUUACAAUGAAAGGAUAAGGAUAACUACUUGAUAAACUAGACUCCAACAAAAACAUACCUAGUUAAAAAAUGAAGGUAAAUAAAUAAAAAUUGUAUAAAAUUGCGAAAAAAUAGACAAAAUGAUGAGAAAACAGGGAUCUUAUGAAGAGAAAGGUAGACAAAAUCUUCAGGUGUCGAGAAGAUGCCUUUCUUUGUUGACUUUUGUGCCUGUACAUACUUUUUUUUUUUCUUUGAAGAAAAUACUAGUUAUAUAUUAUCAGGACGAAAUAUUACAAGAUGCUAGCAAUUUCAACAGGGACAAUCUUCAAUCCAAAUGUACCCCUAUGAAAAAGAAAAAGCCAACUUGGCUAAUUUGUGAGCCACCACAUCACAAUAUCUAGGUACAUGUUUAACUAUAUAAAUCAGAAGCUCUAUUAAUCAUAAGUCCCUUGACCUCCAAUACUAGCCAACUAAUCUCUUUCCUGCUAGACAAGCUUCCAUCAAUCAGACUAACAAUAUUUACUGAAUCAUAUUCUAAAAUUAAUGGAGUUAGACCCACUUCAAUUGUAAGCUUAAUCUCCUUUAAAAGCGCUUCCGCUUUUGCAAAUUCCACAUCAUUAGAAAAAGACCUUACAUUGAUUGACGCCACCGUGAAUAUGCACGUAUCAAGGAAUUUUUAAAAGCCCAAUGAUGAUUUUUUAAAAAUAUGUCAUCACAUGUGCAUUCUUUUAAUGUAUUGUUAAGAUUAAUCUUUGCUUAAAAAAAUCAUAAAUAAUCAUGAAUUUUUAUUAAUGGUCUUUACCAAAUGCAUGCACAGAAGCAAAUUAUGUUCUCGUUGCAAAGUAGUCAUUUAUUCACCAUAAAUAUUAACGUCACACUUUUAGGAUGCUCAAUAUAUGCAUAAUAUUGGGUAAUUUUUAAAGACCUUCCCUGAGGUUUGGGUAUUGACACUUAAAUAGAAAGUAUGUUUUGUAAUUACAUAAACCUCCCUUGCCGUUUCUAUUUCCAUCCAAUGACGGUAAGUAGAUCAAUGAAAUGACCAAAAUACCCCUAAGGCCAAAAAGAAAUUCUUAUAGCAACUAGUAGGUCACUGUUUGUUAAUUGGAUGAAAUAUGUAUUGCUCGCAGCACACUGAUGAAAUGAUGAAAAUAACUAUGAUAACCAAAUAUUUGACAUUGCAUACUCAUUAACUAAAAAAUAAUAAUAAAAUAUUGCUGAAAAAUUUUAACAAUUUCUAAACUUCAAUUAAGAAAAUCAUAUUUGCUUCAAGCAAUUCAAAAAUAAAAAUGCCAUUUUUAUCACACAACCCUCGAUUAGUAACAUUUUUUUUUAUAGUCCCAUUGAGAUUAUAAAAUCAACAGAACAUUCAAGAAGAAAAUAUACAUAUUUUAUGGUUGAAACUACAAACACAAAAAUAUACCAGGUGAAAAAAAAUUUGAUUUCAAAACCAAUCAAAGAGCUUCUUGGUCUUAGUAGUGCUCCUAGUUGCACAAUAUUUUGCAGCCAGUUCCUUUGCCUUAAGAAAUUCUUGUCCAUCUAGUUUCAAUCAUUGCCCUUUUCUCUUUCUACUUCAUUGUUAAGUAAGAAUGUAAGAUCUAUCUUAUUUUUUCGUUUUUCAAAGUAUAAUUCUACCUUCUUCCUCUCUAAUCAUUCCUGUCAAUUAUUGAAUAUGCUGAAGAUGAAUCGAAUUAUUUAUUAAAUAUGUGACAUUAGCAGAGAGCACACUAAAAUGCCAAAACCUAAAGGACUUGUGGUUGUGGGGGAUUUUUUUUCAAAGAAAAUAAGCAACUGAAAUUGACUUAUAUUAUGGGCAAAACAAGAGAGUUGAAUAUGCAUUAACACAUAAAUAAGUAUUGCAUUUGAGGAUGAUGAAGAGCUUCAUAAUGUUGUUUCUAUGCAAAAUUUAUUUUGAUUAAACAUAUCAUAGCUAAGCCUGUAUUUCAUUUUUAAUCAUUUCAUAACAAGAUGAAAUCCUAAGCAAUUACUUGAAAGAACAAUAAUCAAUAGUUUUUUAAAUGAGAAAGAAGACUCAAAAUUUAUGACAUUUAGAGUAAACACGAGCUACAUACAAAAAGUCACAAUAUGUAGGUAUUCACAACCAGUGAACACUAAUCAAGUUAUAGUUAGAUACACAAGUGAAACGUUAUAUGAAAAAGUAACAUUUGAAACCCAUUUAAAUUGUAUUUGCGAUUAAACCCAUCUAAAUCUUAAAUUGUAAUCACAAUAUAAUCCUAAAAAUUAUUUUAAUUUUAAAAAAAAUCUCAAUUUUUUUUCAUUUCAAUUUUAUUAUAAAUGGAAUUGAAUUUGCGAUUUACAAAGCUAAAACCCAUUUUUGUUUAACAUAAAAAUCACAGAAAAACAACUAAUUUCUAAUAUGCAAUGGUUGUUUGGCUAGUACGAGUCAAAGUUGAAUACAUGUAGUAGCUUUUUCAACAAAUCAAAGACAACAUUAAAUCUAUUUUUAAAACACAGCAUCAAAUCAACCAAACGGCUCUAACUUUAACAUGGAUUGAGUUAUUUGAAAUUUUCACCUACUACGAGGUUUAAUCAUUGUCACGUUCCUCAUCGAUCACAGGCAAUGGUCACUCAAUGGCACCAUUGUUCAUCACUUUAUUGUUCAUCACUCUUCUUCAAAACCGAGGCUUCUUCAGACUUGAGCUUCAUUUGGCGAGGUCAGAGCAUAAAGAGAAGAAUUUAUGUUUGAGAUUGUUAAUUAACGAUCAAACCCCGCUGUUGUCACUUUAUUGUUCAUCACUCUUCUUCAAAACCGACGCUUCUUCAGAUUUGAGCUUCAUUUAUUGAGGUCAGAAGCAUAAAAAGAAGAAUUGAUGUUUGAGAUUGUUAAUUAACGGUCAACUCGGUCACUUUAUUGUUCAUCACUCUUCUUCAAAACCGACAUUUCUUCAUAUUUGAGCUUCAUUUGGUGAGGUCAGAAGCAUAAAGAGAAGAAUUUAUGUUUGAGAUUAUUAAUUAACGGUCAACUCGGUCAUGAGGUUGCUUUUGAUUUUUUUAUUUAAAUAACUUUUUAUGAAAUUACCCUCGUACAUUGACAAGAUACCAAAUGAAAUACAAACGGCAUGGGAGGUCUAUAUAAUUAUGGUCACACUCUAUCUAAGUGUCAAUACGCCAAACCUCAGGGAGGUCCCUAAAAAUUACCCAUUUAAUAUUACAUCUACACCACUAUCUCUCUUUCCACCAAUACUAUCUUUGUUUCCAAGUUGUUAAUUAUUGCUUUAUUAGGUAUGCCUCUAGUUAAACAUUAUUAAUAUCGAUUUUCAUUUGUUUUGAAUGAAUUCAACCAUAUAUAAAGAGUAAGGUCGUUGUUCAAGUACACAUUCACCAAACUUUUCCUUGGAAUUAAGCCAUAUAAAUAAUGCUUUAAACUUUGUUUGCUACAAGGAUGUUUUGCUCACAUAAUAUGGUCAUGCAAGAAAGAAAUAAUAUUGAUACAUCCUAAAAAUAACACGCAUUCUCCUAUUGUAAACCAAACAAUUUAAGCUAAUGGUGCCAAGUGAAGGAAUUGUAAUUUCAUGUACAUUUUGUUAACACGAAAAUAGAGAACUUUAUUAUAGUUUAUAUUGUUUGACACAACAUUUGGGUAGCAAAAUAAGGGUACAAAAUAGACACAUGAAGUGACAAACUAAGCUUAUUAUAAUAAAUAUUUAAUGAUAAGGUAUAAAUUUAAUCGCAAAUACAUAAGUAACGCACAAAGUCACUAAUUGAUAUCAUCCACGAUGCAAGUUCAAACAACUGCAUAAUAAGUUGCCUCAUGCUAAAUUAUUAUUUGGUAAUUAUUCCAGUCGAUAUGGGAUAAUUUUCCUAUCGCCAUCUAUUACGUGUAAGCUGAAUUUUUGCUUGGUCCUUGCACGUGGUAAGGUAAUAUGAAUCCACCUGUGCAUAAGUUUGGACCAAACUCAUACUUAAAAGUUAUCUCAAAAUUUGAGGGUUGCCUCAAGCUAGUAUUAUUAUCAGCCGGUAAGCAUUUUCUAUUGAUAUGUGAUAUUUUCCCUACUUUGAUUAAUCUUUAUGCCUACAUCUCCUCAUUUAUCCCAAAAUAUAACUUUAACAAAAGUUCCAAAAUUUCCCUGAAGAGAUAAUUUCGUCUCAAAUAAGAUAUAAACUAAGGAAAUGAUUCCUAUUUUUAGGAAAUAUUCAUUUGAGAGUUCGAUUAUGUAUCUCAUUUAUGACUUAUCUUUGUAUUUAUAUCAUAUUACAAGUGAUUUGUGCAAUAACAUUGUGAAUUGAUGAGCAAAUUCAGAGAAAAUAAUAUAUGUGCUAAAGUAACGUUUAUUAUUGUGUUUAUUUGUGAAGCUAUUUAAAGCAAAAAAAAAAAAAAAAAGCACCAGUCCGCUAUGAUUUCAAAUAAUUUCAAGCCAUGUGUCAUUAUUGGUAAAAAAAAAAGUAAAAUGGUUAAAAUUAUUUUUAUUUAACUGAUAAACCUAGGAAAUUAUCAACUGUCCACCCUUAAAUUGCCCUGUUAUAAAAAUUAUUACAACAUUUUCAAGUUGUAACAUUCAUCUACCAUAAAUUUACAAUCUAUAUUAUUCAUCCACCAAAUCAUUAGGUUCAUUAAAAAGUGCUGAUGUCACAAGGAUAAUUUAGACAUUUAACACACUAAAAAAAUAAAAUAGAAAUUAUCUAAGCUUAUCAUGUUAUCAAAAUUGCUACAAAAUUUUAAAUUUGUUCAAUUUUCCAAUCUAAGUUUAUAAUUGUAUCAACUGUCCACCAAAACGUUAACUACAGUAUGUAAUUAAUGACUUUACAAGGGUAAUUUAGACAUUCAAUAUGCUAAAUACAAAAUAAAAUAAUGGCUUAAAACAUAAAAACAAAAACUAUUUUUUAUAAUCAAUAUUCAGUUAAAUAUACAUAAACUCCAUUUUUUUAAUUAAAAUUAUUCUAAUUUGUUUUCUCAAUUUAUCUUUACAAAUUACCCUAAACCGUAAUUCAUAAAUACCCAAUCAAUCUAAUCAUUUAAUUUGAUUUCAUAAUUAAAAAAAGCCAAAUUUUAUUUUAUUAGGUAUGGUACAAAUAAAAAAAUGCCCUUGAAUCAAGGGUAAAAAUGGUUUUAUUUAAAUUCUAUAAAUUAUUCUAACAAUGUUAACCUUAAUCUAAAUUUUACUUUAUUAGUUAUGGUACAAAGUCAAAAAUACACUUGAAUCAAGGGUAAAAAUGAUAUUUUAUUUAAAUUCUAUAAAUUAUUCUAACAAUGUUAACAUUUUGGUGAAUGGUUGAUAUAGAUUACAAACUUAGAAUAGAAAAUCAAAUAAAUUCAAAUUUUCGAACUAUUUCCGAUAUCAGGGCAAACUUACAAUAUAUGGUUGAUAAUUUUCCUAUGUCUUUUUAUGUUAAAUUGAGUUUCAAAGGGAGAAUGGACAAUUUAUUAUAAUUCUGUUAAUUCUUUAAUGGAGGCAAACAAUAUAAUGGAGGAAUGAUAUUUUAUAAUCUAUAUCAUUGUAGUAUUUAAAGUAUUGUAGUAUUUUUAAUAAUAAACAAUUUAAGAAUUGGACAGGUGAUAAUUUAAGCAUUAAUGAAGCAACUACAAUUUUUUUUUAACACAGAAUAAUAAUUGAAAUGCUUUGAGAAAAAUAAAGGAAAUUAGGUAUCUUUUUAAAAAAGCAUAAUUGAGUAAAAUCAUUUUACAAAAUGCUCUUUCAAAUGCACAUUCCACAAGCCAAGGAGAAUCAGCGGCUAACAGAAGGUACGGGUACCAGAGAGUGAGAAACACCCAUUUAUAGCCAACCCAUUUAUGAGCUUAUAAUCUCACUUCACAAAAUCCAACAAUAACCAACACUCUCACACACUGAAAAGUAAAAUUUUGCUGUCACGACAUUACACACCUUCUUUGCCAGCUAGAAAGCUAAAACAUUUUGAAGUUCCUCAAUACAAAAUGCAUACUACUACUAAAUUGGCCCAAUUAGUGGCCAUCGAAAAGGCCAUCAAUUUAGCCACCAAAUUUGCCAAAGCUUUAACAACUGAAGAAACAAUUAACGCAAAAGGAACAGGUAAAUUUUGAAGUUGAACAAACCUUGAGAUAUAUACAACAAAGCCUUCAAACUUUAGUCUUCACAAUUUAAGCACGCAAUAAUAUUAAGCUUCUACCUGGAAAACAAGUAUAGAACAAAGCUUGUCAGCUUCUUGGGCAAUAACUAUGAAUGAUGAGUAAAAUUAAAAAAGCAAACAGAGAAAAUUAUAACAAGAAGAAAAGCAAAUAUUAAAAAAAAAAUUAGAAGGAAAAUUUUGGUAGAACUCCAUGGCUCAUCUGUGAAACUAAUGUCAAUAUGUAUUUGUAUGUAAAGAGGGUCUCUUGAUUUUAGGAUGAAUAAAUUAGCUAUCACAAACGAAAACAUGAACCAACUGUAUAUAGAGUCAAUUAAUUAAAGUUCUCAAGAACUUACCUCUGCUCCAGAAUUCUCGGAAUCAUCCAUCUCCUUCUGAAUUUUCAGGAAGCUUGGGACAAUUAUGAACAGCAACUUCAUAUGAUGCAGAUGGAAAUGGGAUCUGAUAACCCGCAGGCCAAAAGCUGGUGAGGUUUGGUAAGUCUUCCAGUCUCAAGUCCCAAAGUUCAUUCAUAACAAUUUCAUUGUAAUCCACGACGUCUGCUCCAUCUUUAUGCAGAAUACUUCUUCUAAUUCAUUAUUUUUUUCUAUCCAUAGACGAAUUAGUUUUUGAAGACUUGGAGCUACGUUGAUAUGAAAUAGAUGCUUUAGUUUGGGCAAUCAUGGACAGAGAUAUAAUUGAGUUUUGGGAAACAUACAGGUUGGAGAUGAUCCUCAUCCUCAUCCUCAUCCUCAUCAAUGAUUUGCUCUAAUUCCCAGCAACUCCAAAUAUGUAACUCCUUCAGUUGCAACAGAUUUCGAGCAAGUGUUGAUGACAGGAGACGUCUCAGCAUAGUGCACCCCUCUACAGUUAAUUCGGUAAGAAGUCUUCACAAUUUAAGCACGCAAUAAUAUUAAGCUUCUACCUGGAAAACAAGUAUAGAACAAAGCUUGUCAGCUUCUUGGGCAAUAACUAUGAAUGAUGAGUAAAAUUAAAAAAGCAAACAGAGAAAAUUAUAACAAGAAGAAAAGCAAAUAUUAAAAAAAAAAUUAGAAGGAAAAUUUUGGUAGAACUCCAUGGCUCAUCUGUGAAACUAAUGUCAAUAUGUAUUUGUAUGUAAAGAGGGUCUCUUGAUUUUAGGAUGAAUAAAUUAGCUAUCACAAACGAAAACAUGAACCAACUGUAUAUAGAGUCAAUUAAUUAAAAGUUCUCAAGAACUUACCUCUGCUCCCGAAUUCUCGGAAUCAUCCAUCUCCUUCUGAAUUUUCAGGAAGCUUGGGACAAUUAUGAACAGCAACUUCAUAUGAUGCAGAUGGAAAUGGGAUCUGAUAACCGCAGGCCAAAAGCUGGUGAGGUUUGGUAAGUCUUCCAGUCUCAAGUCCCAAAGUUCAUUCAUAACAAUUUCAUUGUAAUCCACGACGUCUGCUCCAUCUUUAUGCCAGAAUACUUCUUCUAAUUCAUUAUUUUUUUUCUAUCCAUAGACGAAUUAGUUUUUGAAGACUUGGAGCUACGUUGAUAUGAAAUAGAUGCUUUAGUUUGGGGCAAUCAUGGACAGAGAUAUAAUUGAGUUUUGGGAAACAUACAGGUUGGAGAUGAUCCUCAUCCUCAUCCUCAUCCUCAUCAAUGAUUUGCUCUAAUUCCCAGCAACUCCAAAUAUGUAACUCCUUCAGUUGCAACAGAUUUCGAGCAAGUGUUGAUGACAGGAGACGUCUCAGCAUAGUGCACCCCUCUACAGUUAAUUCGGUAAGAUUUUGCGGGCUAAAAUUAUGCGUGGGACCUUCAUGAUAUAAUACUUGCAGUUCUCGAAGAUUUUUCAAGUACAACCUCUUCAAACAUGGGAAUAGUUUGUUUCUUGUCCCUCAGCGAUAAUAGCUUCCAAUUGAAAUACCACCCAUACUCCAACCUGGCUAAUACCCAAUUUUUCCAAAUUUUUUAAGUCGUGCUUCAACAGAGCGUGAAUUGCGUCAUGCAAAUGGGAGCAUUCGUAUAUUUUUAGAAUUCGUAAUUUCUGAGACAAACAAUAAAUAACUUGAUGUAAUUAAAAUCUAUUAGCAGUUAAGAUUAUCACAUGAUAAGUGAUGAACACCGCAAAAAACGAAAACAGAAACAAAUCCAUACAAAAAUAUAAUAAUACAUAUGUAAACAAUAAAAUAAUUAAAAAAGUAAUGGAUUUAAAAAAAAAAUGAAAUUAGUUAAAAGAGAUCAUGUGAAGUGAUGUAAAGGUGACAUUAGAUUGUUUGAGAAAAAUUAGUAUUCUAUUAAUUUCUAUGGAUUGAUCAACUAAUUAAUUGAAUUUGAGUAAUUUAUAUACACUUCAGAAGUGUUUGCAUCAAUUCUUUCUAAAUCAAAAUGAGAUAUGACUUUUAUUUGAAGAAUGAUUUUAGGCCCUAAAAUAAAGAAAUUUCCCUAAGAUAUUUGAGCAUUAUUAUUAUCAUCAACAUCCACCACCAUCAUCAUCUCCAUAGGACUUGAAUAAUUAAUGGCUGAUCAUAAAAUUUAUUGCUAAAUUAUCAUUUUGAGUAAAAUUGAGGGAAAAGAAAAAACAUAAACACAAACGAACAUACCUCUCCAAGAUACUGCAAAUUGGCUUCAAGUUCAGUACUGUUGACAGUCAAGUUGGGACAGAUGCUUAGGUAUAACUCUUCCAAUGUUGGCCAAGUUGAACAAUAAUUUUCUGAACAGAAGCUCAUGAGUUCUGAGAGAUCAUCAAGUGAUAAUUCUCUCAACAAAGGAGGGCGAGCAUCAUAUUUCCAUCUUCGACACUUAUUUCCCCUUCAUUGUGAUCAGACUUUGCUUCGACAAUACAUUCCAGUCUCUCGCAUUCCCUCACAUAGAGACUUGUAAGCUGCUUCAAACUUCGAGCUUGUGACAACGUGAAGAUAUAUGUCAAAUUGUUGCACCUAUACACAUUCAAUUCUGUAAGAGUUUGGAGAUUGAUCACAUGUUGGGCCGGUGCCUUCCAUAUCCGCUUCAGUUCUGGUAAUUCCCACAUAUAUAAUCUUGCUAAUCUUGAGAGCAUCAUAGGAUUCCCACUCUCUCCAUGCGGCGACUGAGAGGCAUCCAUUAUGCAUUCUAAAUCUCCACAAUUGGUGACAAAAAGAAAAGUCAACUCAUUUAAGCCCCUUGGAUCUAUGCUUGGCACAAUAUUAUGACAACCUAUUAUACUGCCCAAAUCAAGAAACUCCAGAUUUUGAUACAAUGCUGAAAAAAUAACGAGCGAGGUCGCUUCAGGGCGGUUAUUAUAAAUGAUUAAGCUCCUUGUCUCAUGACCAUCUUUCCCUUUACAGAUGACGUACCUUUGCAAUUCCGGGAAUGUAAAGUCUUUUGGAAGACAUACAACAGAUCCGUCGGCUUGGGAGUUCAACUCAGCAAGCCUAGCAUUACUUUCUUCUGAGCUCAUCCCUUCAACCUCCCAUUUUUUUAUCGAACCAUAAAAUUCUUCUAAUUGAGGAAAUUUUUUAUCGUAAGGGGAGAAAUAGUUGUAUAACCGAUAUGCAGAAGUUUCAAUUCGUGAAGUUCAUCCCCCAAUUCUUCAGGAAUUUCAACGGGACACAUCUGGAGACAAAGAAGUUCAAGUCUCUUCAACUUUCCAAGAAAAGACGCGUCACUCACAUCACAUCCAAUCAACUGCAGAACUCGGAGGCUAUUGGCAAGGAAUCGAAGCGAUUUUAGUGAAAGGACUCCAUUUAUUAUAGUAAUAACUUUCAAUGCUGGCAUCCCUUCAAAAAAAUUUUCCGGAACUUGCAAUUUGUAGCCAAAUAGACUAUUGUCCAGUCGCAAAAUAUGAAGGUUAGGGCAUGUCAAACUGCUGGGAAGUUCUUCUUUUUUAUUUACGACCAAAGAGAUUCCUUUGCACUGUUCCAGGCCUUUUUCCACCGCCCGUUCCACCAAUCGGAUGCCAUUUAUACUAAACAAUCUCUCUUUCUCCUCCGUCUUCUCUUUGCUUAUCCAUAUGGCUACAUCACGAACUAUGUCAUGCAUUUUCACAGAUCUGUCAUUACCAGUGUCUAACAGCAGUGACGCAGCUUUGAGCGUGUUAAUCGUUUCAUGCAGUCGGCUUCUGGCGUUUUCUAUUGACGGAGCACAUUGAUACCAAAUAACCCCCACUGCGUAUCCAACCAAAUCCUCCAAAUAAAUCUCAUAAUCUUCUGGAAACAGAGAACACAACAAGAAGCAUAACUUGGACUCCUCACUAUUUAAAUUGUCGUAACUGAAUUUGAGACAAACGUAAACGUCUUGGUCAUUCUCGUCAAUACCUUCUAUUGCAUAGAGUUUUGCUUCCUUUAGAUUAUUUAGAGCUAGAUUCCUUUAUCAAAUCCUUUUCCUUUAUGUAGUGCACUUCCAACGGCUUUAAUAGCUAAAGGCAACCCCUUACAUUCGGCAGCAACUUGUUUCGAAACACCAUCCAAGGUGGAGUCGUUUACAUCAAUACCGGCAUUUUUUUUAGUAGAGUCAAUCCUUCUUCUGGCGUUAGAAUAUCAAGUGGAAUCUGUGGGUAACAAUCGAAAGAAUCGCAAACUGACUUUUUGCGAGUGGUUAGAAGGAUUUUGCAGCAAUUGUCUCUAUCACCAACAGGAAUACCUAAUUUUUCCUUCAAGUUGAGUACAUUCCAGACAUCAUUGAGGAUUAUGAGGAUCUUAGUGCUUUUACUCGCAGAAAACAUCGAGCACAAAUUGGUCUGCUCCAUCUUUUUCAUCUUUCUGUUCUAAUUCCCAACCUAAUGAAUUUGCCAGCUCCUUUUGAACAUUUAUUAUGGUUGGAUGCCGAGAUACAGUGGCUAUCCCCUUUAUGGAAAACCUCUUGUUGCCGAAGUUGAUUGCCCACAAAUUUUGCCAGGGUCGUCUUUCCUACACCACCGAGACCAUGCAAUCCCACCAUCUUUGUGCUCUCUCUUCCAGUGCGUCAAUGAUCUGAUUGCAAGCUGAUUCUGUGGUCUCGAAAGUAGAAGUAAAAUGACUUGGUAAACUUAAUUCUCUCUCUAAUGGUAGAGGUUUAGGAAAGGCAACUGUGUUGAAUUGGCUGCAGUCUUGUAGCAGAUCGGACAACUUGCUAGUCUUCUCUGAUGCUUUUCUGCCCAGCCAAUAUCGG